AAUAAGAUGAGGAAUAGACUCAUGUUUCUAUUUAGUUUAUUUCUGUUAUGGACGUGUAAUUUGGAGUUUGAGACUUUUGUUAUUUUUUUUAUGUCCUCGGGAGAGAUUAUUUAGUAUUAGACGUUUGAAUUUGUGGAUUUAUUCGAAUAAGAAUUUGAGGUAUUUCAGUUUGAAACUUAUGAGUAAAGAUUAUGAUUUGUAAGUAACCUCCUUCUUCACGUGCUCCGCACGUGUUAGAUUUGGGGUGUUACAAUUGUGGUAUCAGAGCAUUAGGUUUGGGAUUCUGUAGACUUUAUUUGAGACUAGAUUUCUUAAGCACAAUCAAUUAGUUCAAUGGUAUUGCUUGCCAUGAGGUUAUCAGAAAGAGUAGAUCUUUAAGGCGAGGAGUAAUUUUGGUCUUUUUGAUUUUCUAGUUGCUUGUGACUUUGUAAUAACUCCUUGAUAUAGGAUUUUGGUAUUAACGUAGAAUGAAAUAUUUGUUUGCUCUUGUUGUCAAUCACUAAUGUUUCUCAGUUAUACUACUUACUCAGUACUUUGCGCACUAGCAAGGCCUUUAACUAUGAAUUAUUUACCGUUUUAUUUAUUUAUUUAUUUUUAUUCUUCGUGUUAUAGUCAAAAGAUGUUGCGUAGGGGAGGUGCUAGGCAUGCCUCUAGCUCGAGAGAUGUUUUAGGAAUCGCUGAUGACGUUGACCCAACCUUGCGUGAGAUGGCUAACGAAGGGAAUCCUAUGAUGCGCGCAAUGGUUAGAUUGAUGGAACAACAAAGUAAGUUGAUUCAAGAUAUGGCUAGAGGUAAAGUUGGGGCACAGGAGAAUGUGCCAGUUGAAAGACAAGGUGGUGGAAGAGAUCAGGGAGGUAUGAUGAGCUUAGAGCGGUUUAGGAAAUUGGGACCACCUACCUUUCAGGGGACUGCCGAUCCUAUGGUUGCAGAGGCAUGGUUAAGACAGAUGGAGAAAAUAUUUAUGGCUAUGGGUUGUAAUGAUGAUCAUAGGGUGAUAUUGGCCUCAUUCGUCCUUUAGGGCGAGGCAGACCACUGGUGGGAUGCCAAAUCCCGUCUUUUGAGGGCCGGGUUACAAGAUGCACCUAUUACUUGGGAGUUAUUUCUGGAGGCUUUUCAUGAAAAAUAUUUUCCUGAACGAGUUCGACAUCAGAUGGAGGUUGACUUCCUGAAAUUGACUCAAGGAACAAAGUUUGUUGCGGAGUAUGAGGAGCAAUUUACUGCUCUAUCUCAUUUUUCUCCUACCUUAGUUGCUAAUGAGGGUAGUAAGUGUAGGAAAUUCUUGGAAGGGUUACAUCCAAACAUCAAAAGACGGUUGACCAUCCUUAAGCUUAAUAAUUAUGCCGAUUUGGUGGAUCGUGCGAUUAUUGCAGAGAGGGAUAUAAUUCAAUCUCAAGUUGCACGAUCUAAUCGACAUAAUAACCAGCCAAUAAAACAUGAUAGUAAUGGUAGCGAAGGUGAACAUAAGGACUCUAAUGGUGGGUCUAUUCAAGAGAACAAACCAUUCUGUAAUCGUUGUGACAAGUACCAUAAUGGCACGUGCUAUUUAAAGAUAGAAGCUUGUUUUGGCUGUGGAAAGAUGGGGCAUAAGGUUAUAGAUUGCCCAAAAAAGCGCAGUGGUAACAUAGAUUCUGCCGAGAACCAAAGGAAAAAGCCAUGUGUCUUCGCCAUGGUGGAGCAAGAUAUUAAGAAACCGAAUAACGAAGCCUCAGGUGCAUUACCUAUUUUCCAUAGAAAGCCUUGAAUUUUUGAGUAAUUGGUAUUGUGCUUUUCCUCCAUCCUUUCUGAUUGGAUGCAUCGUAGCUAGAGUUUUUAGCCUAAUAAUUUCUUUUUUCAUCCAUUGAAUUUCUAUGGUACAUUAGUAGGAUAUGACGUGUGAUUUUAUAAGGCCAUUAGGAUUAACUUAUGGUUGGAUGGAGUAGGGACUAAUAUGAUAUUUAGUAGGAUAUGUGAUGAAGAUUGCAAUAAAAGUGUUUCACCAGCAAUGUGCGAGCGCAUUGAACAGUUUUGAAGUUGAAUGUGAAGUGAUAAAAAAUAUUCGCCAUCGAAACCUUAUCAAUGUUAUUGGCAGUUGUUCGAACGAUGACUUCAAAUCAUUAGUCCUAGAAUACAUGUCCAACGGGAGCUUGGAGGAUUGGCUGCAUUCUAGCAAUUAUGUGCUUAAUAUUUUUCGCAGGUUGAACAUAAUGAUUGACGUUGCAUCAGCUUUAAAAUAUCUCCACUUCGAUCAUUCAACUCGUAUCAUUCAUUGUGACUUAAAGCCUAAUAAUGUGUUGUUGGGUGAAAAUAUGGUUGCUCAUUUGAGUGAUUUUGGCAUAGCAAAGCUUUUAAGUGGAAGAUGAGUCUACGAUGCGAACAAAAACCCUUGCCACUAUAGGUUAUACGGCACCAGGUUUGCUUGAAACAACUUUUUUUUUUAGUUUAUUUUAAAAUUUCCAAAUUAUUGAUUUUUACGAUCCUCAUAUCAAAAUGUUAUUGAUUAUUUAUCUAAUUAUGAAAUAAUUUAAUUCAUAGAGUAUGGCAUAGAAGGAGAAAUAUCUGCAAAAAGUGAUGUUUACAGCUAUGGGAUUAUGUUGAUGGAAACUUUUACCAAGAAAAAACCCACAGAUGAGAUUUUUGUUGGAGAAUUGAGCUUAAAGCGUUGGGUUAAUGACUUGCUUCCUAAUUCAUUAGUGGAAGUUGUGGACAAAAUUCUGAUAAUUGGAGAGGAAAAACAUUUUGCCGCAAAGGAGCAAUGUCUGUUCUCUAUCUUUAUUUUGGCUCUGGAGUGUACAAUGGAAUCACCGGAAAAGAGGAUCAAUACAAAAGAUAUUGUUACCAGAUUACUCAAGAUAAGAGACACAUUGAGUAAAAGGAUAGGAAAUUUAAGUUAAUUUUGUUUGCUUUCAUUGAUAGUUACUUUGAAUUCAUGUAAUAAGUGUAAGAAUCGUUUAUCUUUUCUUUUGAUAUUUUUUUCUUGAGAAAACUGUUGUAGUCAUCUUUUUUCAAUGGGCAGAGUUGAUUUAGUUCUUCCAAGAAAUGCUAUUGUUGAUCUUUGUUAUAUACUUUUGUCUUUUUUUGCAUGCAUUUAGGUAGAAUAGUGGUCUAGCUGCAGGCUAACAAGUCAAGCUACGCUAAAAGGGUAUGAUUUAAUUUAUUAAACCUAACUUCAAGUUCAAGAAUUGUAUCUCAUUGCCACCAAUGCUUUAGACACCUAUUGGUAGGUUUGUGUCCUCAACUUUGUUUAGAGCAAAAGUUCCAGUCCCAUGGAGGCUCAAAUAUUCCUCUCCUACGUCCCGAACACACUAAAUUCAUCAGCCUCUUGAACCCUCUCCUGAGGGCGCCUUCUGUCCUCUGUUUUCUGUUUCCAUACACAAAUAGCAAAAAGAAUUCAGAAUGACAACUGGGACAUAUAUAAGAGUGAAAUAAUUAAAAAAAAUUAUGCUUUUUUGUUUGUCGUGUUAAAAUCGUAAGGUAUCUAAGUACUAUGAAAGAGAUUAGUUUACGAAAACUGAAGCCAAGGGUUCAUAAAAAAGUGCAAAGAGAAUAAAGGACAACGCUUAUGUAAAGCGACAUAAUUGUAUUGGUAGCACAAUGUCACGUUCAUACAGAGAUCAAGUACAUUAUUUACAGCUGGUAAGGGCUAAGAAUUGAUGUAGCUAGAAUACAAAUAUGAUAAGGUAUGUUGUGCACUAUUGUUUUAUUCUACAAUCAAUCUUGACCCUUGAUGCUUGGCUCUCAAUCUUGUCCAUUGAUCUUCUCUGAUCUCGAAAACUUCAAGACCUUUCAAUCUCAUGCCUUAUUAUUGGUAUGUUCUAUGCUGUUAAUUUCAAAUACUAGCUUUUCCGCCAACUUGCCAAUUAUUUGUUCAUUGGUGCGUUCUGUCAAACAGUGUGGAUACUUAUACCAAACGCUUUCUGUUUUAACUCCCCCUUUCAAGCUCAACUAUCUGGGAAGACACUAAUAAGCUUGUUUCUCAAGUAUAUGUAUCUGAAAAUUAAAUUUUCAAAAUUAUAUUCGGACUCUACAUUUUCUAAUGAACAUUGGUUUGGCUCAUAAGCUUAUUAUACUUGGGCUUGGUAGGAUUAUCGGUCGGUAGAUGAACAAGUGUUAGAGCUUUCGAAUUUAUGCCAAUUAAAAAAAAAUCUAUAUAAAUUUUCCACUAGGCUAUUACCACAAUAAACAUUUGGAUGAACUAUUAUUGAAACCUUAUUGAGAAGUAGGACAUGUCGCAUACCAAUGCACUGACAUAUCUUCAAAUAGUGGUAACUCCACACAACAUGGCACAAUAAAUUAGAGUUAUAUAGAUAAAAUCUUUCACUCUUUGGUAAUCAUCAAUGUCGGCAUGGCAAUGCGUCCGACAAAAUUCAUAAAUCAAAACAAAAAUAGAGAAUCAUAUUUGUUUCAGAUUGUAGUGAUGGUUGUUCAUAAUUCACAAUUUUAUUUAAUAUCUUCAAAUUCGCAUUUUAAAAUGCACAAAUGUUUGUGUAUACAUAAUUAGUAAUCGAUUCUCAAGCUUGGACAUUUAAAAGCACUGCUAAAAGACAAAAUUUUAAUUCACUAUUUUUUGUCUUUUAAUUUUCUUUAAGUUUUAAUGAUUCCGCAUUUUAAAAUCCUGUGGAACGUACAUGUAAAAUUCUUUUAUCUUUUAGAGGAAAAUGGGCAAGAGAAGAAGAUUUGGCAAAGGAAUUGCAACCGCAUUUGGAGCUAGUUUUAAUUUUGUCUUUUAAUUCUUUUACACUUGGCUUUUGUUAUUGAUGUCAACUUCGAUGUGUGUGCGUGUGCGACUGAAUUCAACUUACAUGCUAUUGAUGCAGCCACCAAAAAGGGGUGGUCCAUCAUCAAUCAACAAGGUUUAUUAUUAUUUCCAUAUUGAUUUUCUUAAUUAUAAAUAAUACUAAUGUUAUUUCAUAGUUAUAAAUAUAUUAGAAUUAAUCGAAAUCAUUUUUUAGUGUGGCAUGGCUAAAACUACCUUUUUUUUUUAUAAGUAAUUACUACUUUCACAUUAAGAAAAAUACUCCUAUUUUUAAGGAAAAGUCAAGUACCUGUAGUUGUGAAGACUCAAGCUCACUCCCUUAUGAUAAAUCUUCAUAUUAAUUACGUAAAUAUCCUCUAAAAUUUUAAAUUAGCUAUUCAAAAUUUGAUGUUAUACGGGUAUUUCAUUUAUUUGAGUAGGGGUUAGGGGUCAAUUGGAUACAAAUUCAAAAUUAUCCUUACUUGAGAAGGUGAUAAAAAUUGGGGAUUUAGUUUGGAUGUCAUUAGCUACAAAUAUUAAACUCAUACAUUUAAUUCAAAAUUAGAGGGCUGAUAUGUGCGCAUCAUCGUCCACGUUAUAGUGACACUGCGUCACCAUUCCACAACCUCUCCAAUGAAAAAUUGACAUGCUUCUUGUGCGCAUCUAAUCAGAAUCUUGAAAAUUAAUCACAAAAUUGUACUUUUAUUAUAAAAAGAAUAAAGAAACUCCAAGAAAAAAAAAAAGACUUACAUAAAUAGAUUGAAAAAUCUAGAUUUCAAGUUGUCUAUAUUAGCUUGAUAUUUUUAUUAAUAGUCAUCCUCCCAAAAAAAUUCCAUCAAAAUAUAUUUUAAUUUUAUGUUAAUUCAUAAACAUGAAAAAAUCAUUUUAGAAUUAAUUAAAACAUAAUUUAUUGUUGCUCAAAAAAGGUAGAACUUAGUUAUCAGAAAAAAGUGUCUAAAAUAUAUGUUAAAAAAAAAUCAUGGUUGGUUGGACUGAUUGAAUUUUUUUUUUCUUUUUUAAGAAUUAAGACAAUUGGAUGGAUUGAGUAAUAAUAAUACAUAUUUAUUUGGCAAAUGGCAGGGAGGCUUUCGUCUGAUGCAGAUUGAUUAGAGAGAAAAUAUAACAAUUUUAAGCUCGUCAGAUUCGAAGCUGCUUACCUGUCGUGUGGGGAUCACUUCCGUGUCUUAUUUUUCUAGAAAAAUCUGGACCAUUGGAUUUACCAUUAGUCAAUAGAGAAAUGUUGAUCUUGAUUCUUGAUCAAGAUCGAAGUUUGAUUCUAACUAACACGAUAUCAGAUUGCGAAGCAAGCAAAUUGAAAGUCACUUGUUCUAUGGAAGAAACACAAGUUCUAAUAAAACAUUCUCAUAGUAAAGUGAAUUACCAUCCAACGAUCCAACUCAUGUUUUCAAAUUGUAAAUUGCAAAUCGUGUGUUUGCUCCAUUACAGAGUUUCUUCAAUCUGAAAUAGCGAAUCAUUUGUGUUCUAGAUUAAUCGUGGGUCUAUAUCCAAAUCUAAAAAUUGACUAACUUGAUUUCUAUUAAAUUCUUAAUCCUAACAAGAAAAAUUGAAGAUUAAAAACGACUAAUUUGGUACCAUACCACUAUUGUAACAUAGGUAGAUCCUCUAUUAAUUGGAGUAAAGAUUGAAUUAUCUCAUUUAUUAAGGUUUAUCAAAAUCUUGUGUCAAAAUCUAUUAAUGAUAUAGGUUCAAGGAUGAAAAAGUCACUGCAUUACUUUUGAGUUCCCAAAUAGAUGAAUGGAUGUUAUUUUUAGAUUCCGGAGAGUCGAAAAUAUUAAGAUAGGUGCUAAAUCGAAUUAAGUUGUAGAUACGAUAGAAAUGGAUUUGGAGAGAUUGGAAUCCUAGGUAAUCCGGUGCACGUUGUCGUGUUAAAUUCUCGUUGACUUCACGUUGACUGAAGCAUUAUUGGAAGAAACAAGUUUAUUGAUGUGAGGCCUUUGAGGUUGUAAGUGUUAAAUCUGAGAAGAAUACCCACACACCCAUUAUCCUAUUACUCUUAUAUCACAUGAAGAGAAUUCAACAUUUGAUUCACACGGAAAAAAUUUGUGAGGAAUGUGAGGGUUGAUGGAAUAUAAUUUAGAUACAAAGUGUUUACCAGUGCGAUGCUUCGCAAGUGUUCUUGAAUCAAUAUAAACUCACAUUAUUUUCAUAGUGAUUGUUUCAUCUGCACGUUAAUAUAAUCACAUGUCGAGAUUUUUUUCCUUAAAUUAUGGUCUUAUUUAGUAUUGAGGUGUUAUAUCUUUUAAGGUACAAUUAUUGUUGGAAAAAAGUUACAACUAUCAAAUAAAAUUAAUACUAUGUGCUAAAUAUAAUUGUUAAAUAAUAAUUUUGACAAAAUUAGUGAAGUUAUAUAGAUUUUUUUCAUCAUCCAAGUAUAAAAUCAAAUCAACUUAACUUCUAAGUUAUAUAUCGGCUACUGUUUAUCAUAUGUUUUAGUUUUGUAACUUUUAAAUUAUAGUUACCCAACCUCAAUUCUAAACAAGACCUAUAAAGAUCAAAGAUUUCCUCAUUAAAUUAUAUGUCUUGUGAUUGCUUAUUUAAUUUAUAUUUUUGUUAUUUAUCUUUAUUAAUUAUAAUCAUCUUUUUAUAAAUUAAAAUUGAAGGAAGUUGAUUGAUGUUGUUGACACACACACGCACGCGCACGCACACACUCACAAAGAUAUAUUGGAAGUGCUUACGUCGACUCGAAGUUGUUGGGAAUUAAUGCAUGUAUUGAUUUAUUGGGAGUGUUUAAAUGAUUUUGUGAUUUACUUGAUUUAUUGAUUGAAUAUUGUUUGAUUGCUUCAUAUCCAUUCUAGAAAGUUUAUUUCUUUGUGAAAGUUCAACGAAAUAUGUUUUUUUUUUUAAAUAAGGGUGUUCUAAAUAAUUUUAAAAAAUAUAUGCUUGUCUUCCCAAAAUAGCCUUUGAAUACACAAGUAAAUGUCUAGCCUUUGGUGAGGAUAGUUUGGUCAUUGCAUUUUACAAGUAAGAUGAGUGGUGGAGAAAAAUGAGGAGUGCACAUAACUCUUCAGCAAAUCCCACCAACAAUUCCAUUUUCUUAAUUAAUUAAUCUCCUUUUUUAUCCCCAAACAAAUCCUAAUGAUACUAUUAUCAGGUUUAAAACAGUACACAAAUAGUGAAAAGCUAACUAGUCUGUAGAGUAAUUUGCUAAUUGCUAUCUCCUCUCUAUGCUCGCUGAAUAAUUUGUUGCAUGCAAACUUUUUAUUUUAUGCAAAUCAUACGUACUGUAACAUUGGAAUUGAUGUAUAAGCAAAAAUACAAUAAUAUUUAUGUCAAUACAAAUAGUUUUUUUUCCCUUUUUAAAUAAACACAACGCGAUGUUGCUCUGCUCUACAUUUUUGCUAUCUCUUUAUUAUUAUUAUUUUUUUUUGGGCUUCUUAAAGCCUCAAACUUUGAUAACCAAAACUUCAUCGACCUAUGAAAAAAUCUGCAGAUUAGUUUUUAUUAUCGGAAUAAUUGUUUGAGAAUACUAAAACAAAAUAUAAAAUAAGAAAAUACGGGGUUAAAUUUGGGGAAAACAAAAAGGCAUGUUGGAUAGAUUACUAUAGUUUAAGGGGAAAAAAAAAUUCAAUUGGAAAUUUUUUUCUUUAAUUUUUGUUUUACUUGAUUGAGAUUUCUCCUUAGUCCUUACAGUUUUAAGUUUGGAUGCCGUAGGGUUAGUAAUUUAGUAUUUCCCUUGCAAGCUGAGCUUAAGGAUGAAAUUUCUUUUAAGAAAUUAAAAAAGAUUAAAAAAAGCAUACCAAUAGGUAAUUAUAAAUAACCAUAAAUAAACAUAAACAAAAUGUUUAUGAAGUAAAUUACACAUGCACAUAUUAUUUUUUUGUUAUAUUUCUUACUUGUCUAUUUUAUUUGCUGCUUGAUAACCCGUAAAUACUAAUCUAGUACUGCUAAUUUCAGACACAAAAUGUUUAACUCUAGGCUGCAGUUUUACUCAAAAUGAUGACCACUGGCUUCGCACCAUUUAACCGGCAUACAUUUCUACAAAUUGAACAAGGCUAUUGAUUUUCAUUAUUAUUUUUUAUUUAUUUAUAAAUUACUAUUUUAAUUUUCACUUUUUAUUGGGUUGUUUACAGAUUAGUGAAGUUGGUGGUCGUGAUGCACUCACAAGGUACAAUUUUAUUUUAUAAUUUCAAAUUUGUAUUUUAAAAUGCAGGUACAUUAUGUAUACAUAAUUAUUGAUUUUCAUAUGUGGGUGUUUUGAAAUAUUGCUAAAAGACCAAACUUUAAUAAACUAUUUUUUAUCUUUUUUUUUCCUAAAGUUUGAGUGAUAUCCGCAUUUUAAAUUCAUGUGGAACAAAAGCUAAUGUAUGCUCAAAAUUCUUUUAUUUUUUCCGAGAAGAAUGGGUAAGAGAAGAAGAUUUUUCUGUUGAAAAAGAAAAACUAAUACGAUGCAAGCAUAGGAAAGAGGUCAGUGUUUUGGAUUAGAAUUUAGUAUUGAGCUGAAUUUUAUACUAAACUCUUUUAUAGUACUGCGAUUAAUAAACUCAUGAUUUGCUUUUGCUUUUACUUCAAGUGAAAGAAAGAGGAAACCGUUUGAUUUUUGUUUGAUUCUUGACUAUAGAUGUUACCUAUAUAGAGAGUUGAGGUAGCUGCCUUAAGUGAUGGUUAUAAAAAGAUUAAGCAGCGCACACAAUCUUACUGUCGUCCAGACCAUCCAGCUAUGAUGACUCUAGUUUUUUGGUUACAUUAACUUUAGUGGAAAGGAGGGCCAAUUUAACAAAGACUAGAUUUGGUGGCUUACUAUAAUGCUUAUUCUCAGGGAAUCUAAUGUUAUAAGAUGAUUUAAUGAUCUUCUAUGAUUGUGAGUAGUAUAGUAUAAUUGAAAAGAGCUUGGGCUCCUAUGAUGAAUAUUUAAUAGUAACACAGUACUGUUAUUGAAAAAAACACAGUUACAAUAAACUCUUCAUUUAUUCAUUGUGGAGAUUGAAUGGCAAACAGAGAAUAAAAUGAAGCAGAGGAAUCUCAUUGCCAGUAAAAUUGACCCUCUUUAAUGUUAUAUGGCACAGGUGUGUGUACAGCAAGAUCAAGUUACUUGCAGUUUUUAUUGUAAAAUAUAUAGGUUAUGACCAUGAUCAUUGUAGUUAGGUUUUGAUGAUUUUAGAUGCUUUUUUUAUUUUUUUUAAAAUUGUGACACCUUUGAUUUAUGGUAGCUUUGCAGAAGAAAAAUAUAUAUAUAUAAAUUAGGAGGGAUGAGUUAACUAACGAUUGCAAUCAUUACAGUAAUGUUGAUGAGUGAUACAUCAUUUGAAAUUUACUUGUCAGUUACUGAAAUGAUGAAAAAAAACAAUAAACAAUAGCAGUAAUAUUUUUAUGGAAAAUCUUGGUUUUUAUGGAAAUACUCUUGCUGAAAUUCUAAUUUUGACUUUCAACUCUUGGUUUUUAUGGAAAGUAAAAUGACUUGUUUGUUAUAUUCAUACAAUCCACUCUACAUAAUGAUUUCAUUUUAAUAAAUGCUUGAUGAUCUCCACUGAAAAACUACUUCAAUUCUUUUGUUUUAUUUAACUUUUUGGUUGUUGAAAAUAGCCUUAAUUUUCAAAUAAUUGGAGAAAGAGUAAAGAACAUUUAACAAAUUUAUGUGCCAAAAAUAAAGGAGAAAUUGAAGAGAAAGGGUGCUUGCAGAAGUGGGUGCAAAGAUAAAUCAGUCCAUAAGAAUUAUUGUGGUUAUUAAGUUUUUGGCAAUAUAAAAAUUUUUCAGCAAAUAAAAAUUGAUUUUUUCCGAUUUACUAAAAAAUUAAUUAAAAACUUCGGUGAUAGCAUUUUUUAUGGGUGCAUGUACCCUCCCUUUAAAAAAAAUAUAAUAAUUAAUACUUAAUAUAGUAUUAAAUACGAAAAUAUCAAUAUUUGACUACACAAAUUUAUAUCAUUAGGUCCUUAAAAUUUAAAAUUGAAGACACAAAAUGAAAUAUAUAUAAAUUUCAUUCUCACAGGAAAGGAUCCUCUUAUAAUCUUAAAAUAUUUGAGCUUUGAAAGAUUUUUUAAAACAAAUGUACUUUUAUUUUUGUACAAUCAAUAUUUACUUAUUUAUUAUAUUUUUAUUCAUUAACUAUCAAUCAUGUGAGUAUAUUUACUCAGAAAUAUCAUAUCAAGGAAGAAUCUUGAUCCCACGCACACACAAAUAUGUUAAUUUCUAUACGCUUCACUUACCUGUAGAAUCAAUUAUCUAAAAUGCAAGUUUGUGGCCACAAAAAAAGCCAAAGAAAGAAGAUAAUAACAAUUGACUUGUAUAUUAUACUCAUACAAUCCACUCGACAUAAUGAUAUCAUUUUAAUAAGGCAAUGGCUGAUGAUCUCCAUUGAAAAACCAAUUCAAUUUUUUUGCUUCAUUUAACUUUUUGGUUGUUGAAAAUAACCUUAAUUAUCAAAUAAUUGGAGAAAGAGUAAAGAACAUUUAACAAAUUUAUGUGCAAAAAAAAAAAAAAAAAAAGGAGAAGUUGAAGGGAAAGGGUGCUUGCAGAAGUGGGUGUCAAAGAAAAAUCUGUCCAUAAGAAUUAUUGCGGUUAUUUUUUGGCAAUAUAAAAUUUUUAUAGCAAGUAAAAAUUAAUUUUUUCCAAUUUACUAAAAAAUUAACUAAAAACUUCUGCGACAACAUUUUUUAUGGGUGCAUAUACCCGCCCUUUAAAAAAAAAAAUAAUUAAUGCUUAAGUUAGUAUUAAAUACGAAAAUAUCAAUAUUUGACUACUCAAAUUUAUAUCAUUAGGUCCUUAAAAUUUAAAAUUGAAGAUACUAAAGGAAAUAUAUAUAAAUUUCAUUCUCAUGGAAAGGAUUCUCUUAUAAUCUUAUAAUAUUUGAGUUUUGAAAUUUUUUUGAAACAAAUGUAAUUUUAUUUGUGUACAAUCAAUAUUUACUUAUUUAUUAUAUUUUAAUUUAUUAACUAUCAAUCAUGUAAGUAUAUUUAGUCAGAAAAAUUAUAUCGAGAGAGAAUCCUAAUUUCACGCAAACACAAAUACAAGACAAAUAUGUUAAUUUCUAUACUAUUCACUUUCCUGUAGAAUCAAUUAUCUAAAAUGCAAGUUUGUGGCUAUAGAAAACUCGCCAAAGAAAGAAGAUAAUAACAAUUGAGCAUUGAUAGCAAAACUAAUGCAUCAUUUUCUUCUUGACUUGAUGAGAUGGUGCCAUUACAAAACAAUAAUUACCUUAAUUGACGGGCACUGAGUGAUGUGAAUACUACCAGCCAGUUCAUCUCUUCCAGUCUUGCUUAAUCACAAUCACAAACACCACGAGAUUGACAUUUGCAUUAUAUAUAUCUUCAGCAAUCGAAACACCUUGCAUUACCAAAUUAACCGGUAACAAACAAAGCAACCUUUCAUGGAGAGAAACUUUAGUCUCAGUAUGAUCACUGUGUCAUUAACCCACUUCCUGCUUCUUUGCUUGGUUGUUGCAGCAGCAGCAGCAGCAGCAAGCAACAAUAUUACCACAGACCAACAAGCUCUUCUUGCCCUGAAAGAUCAUAUAACUUAUGAUCCAACCAAACUUUUUGCCCAUAAUUGGACCUCGAAUACCUCUGUUUGCACCUGGAUUGGCCUCAGUUGUGAUGUCAAUAGCCAUAGAGUCACAGCCUUAGAUAUUUCUCAAUUCAAUAUACAAGGCACCAUCCCUCCUCAACUUGGAAACCUCUCUUCACUCACAACACUUAAUCUUAGUCGUAAUAAGCUUUCUGGAAGCAUUCCCCCCUCCAUCUACACCAUGCAUACGCUAAAAUUUCUAGACUUCACUGAUAACCUGCUCUCUGGUUCAGUGUCUUCCUCCGUCUUCAACAUGUCUUCAAUAUUAGACAUUCGUUUGACCAAUAACAGACUUUCUGGUGAGCUUCCGAAAAAUAUUUGCAACUAUCUUCCUUACUUGAAAGCCCUUUUUCUGGACAAAAACAAGUUGCAUGGCAAAAUUCCUUCAGCUUUAUCAAAUUGCAAACAACUGCAACAAUUGCAUUUGCAGUUCAAUAAUUUAUCCGGUGCAAUACCGAAAGAAAUCGGCAACUUGACUAUGCUCAAAUGGAUAGAUCUCGGCUACAACAAACUCCACGGUAUGUUUCAUAAUGCUAUCUAAAUAUUUUAAUUUAUCACUUGUUUAUUUUAAUUUCUCACUUGUUAUUUUUCUUGAAUACUUUAGAUAAGAUCUAGUAAGUGAGAUUUUUUGCAUCUAUGUUAAUUUACCAGGUGAGAUACCCCCCGAAAUCGCUAAUCUUCGAAAUCUAGAGGCUUUGGUGCUUGGAAUGAACAACCUAGUGGGUGUGUUACCAGCUACAAUCUUCAACAUGUCAACACUGAAGGUAGUUAUCCUCAUUAAUAACUCUCUCUUCGGAAGUCUCCCAUCAAGAAUAGACCUUUCACUUCCAACUAUUGAGCACCUUAACUUGGCACUUAAUAGAUUUUCUGGAACCAUUCCUAGUUCCAUCACCAAUGCUUCUAAGCUCACCUUUCUAGAGUUGGGAGGAAACACAUUUUCGGGCUUUAUUCCGAACACAAUUGGUAAUUUAAGAAACCUUGAGUGGCUCAGCUUGGGUAAUAACUACUUGACAUCUUCAACCUCAAAAUUGAGCUUUCUUUCCUCUUUGGCAAAUUGCAAGAAAUUAAGAGACAUAGGCUUAACAGGCAAUCCACUCGACGGUAUCCUUCCAAGUUCAAUAGGUAAUCUUUCCAUGUCUUUGAAAACACUUUACAUCGGCAAUUGCAGUAUUAGUGGCAACAUUCCUCAAUCAAUUGGCAAUUUAAGCAACUUAUUGGCCUUAGUAUUAGAAGGCAAUAAAUUGACCGGACCAAUCCCAACUACAUUCGGCCAACUGCAGAAACUCCAAGGCUUAUUUCUUACAUUCAAUAAGUUGGUAGGUUCAUUCCCAGAUGAGCUUUUCCAUCUAGCUAGGCUGGAUAAAUUGGUAUUAUUGGGAAAUAAGCUUUCAGGAUCUAUGCCUUCAUGCUUAAGUAACCUCACUUCUCUGAGAUCUCUCUACUUAGGGUCCAAUAGGUUUACUUCUGUUAUUCCCUCAACUUUCUGGAGCCUAAAAGACAUCUUGUUCUUUGACUUUUCAUCAAAUUUCUUGGUUGGUACUCUUUCUUUCGACAUAGGUAAUUUGAAGGUGCUUCUAGGAAUAAGUUUAUCAGAAAAUAACUUAUCGGGUGAUAUGCCAGCCACAAUUGGAGGGAUAAAAAAACCUUCAAAUUAUGGACCUAGCAUAUAAUAGAUUGGAAGGGCAAAUUCCUGAAUCAUUUGGUGACUUGACAAGUUUGGAGGUUUUGAAUUUGUCAAAUAAUAAAAUCUCUGGGUCUAUUCCAAAAUCCAUGGAGAAACUCUUUUACCUCCGAGAGUUAAAUCUCUCUUUCAAUGAACUAGAAGGUGAGAUUCCUAGUGGAGGAAUUUUUGCCAACUUCACAGCUGAGUCAUUUAUGGGAAAUGAGUUAUUGUGUGGUUUACCAAAUCUUCAAGUCCAACCAUGCAAAGUUAGCAAGCCGAGGACAGAACAUAAAUCAAGGAAAAAGAUACUUCUCAUUGUGAUUGUUUUGCCAUUGAGUAUUGCUCUAACAAUAGCAAUCACUCUACCUCUCAAAUCUAAGCUGAUCGAAUGUGGAAAAAGAAGCACAGUGUUGUCAAAUGAUAGUGUCUUGUCAUCACAAGCAACACUAAGAAGAUUUUCAUACUUAGAACUUUUACAAGCAACAGAUAAUUUUGCUGAAAACAACGUAAUUGGCAUAGGAGGUUUUGGUUCUGUUUACGGUGGAAGACUUGAAGAUGGGAUGAAGAUUGCAAUAAAAGUGUUUCACCAGCAAUGUGCAAGCGCAUUGAAGAGUUUUGAGGCUGAAUGUGAAGUGUUAAAAAAUAUUCGCCAUCGAAACCUUAUUAAAGUUAUCAGCAGUUAUUCAAACAAUGACUUCAAAGCAUUAGUUCUAGAAUACAUGUCCAACGGGAGCUUAGGGGACUGGCUGCAUUCUAGCAAUUAUGUGCUGAAUAUAUUUCAGAGGUUGAACAUAAUGAUUGAUGUUGCAUCAGCUUUAGAACAUCUCCACUUCGAUCAUUCGACUCCUAUUAUUCAUUGUGACUUAAAGCCUAGUAAUGUAUUGUUGGACGGAAAUAUGGUUGCUCAUUUGAGUGAUUUUGGCAUAGCAAAGCUUUUAAGUGGAGAGGAUGAGUCUAUGAUGCGAACAAAAACCCUUGCCACUAUAGGUUAUAUGGCACCAGGUUUGCUUCAAACAACUUUUUUUUUUUAGUUCAUUUUAAAUUUUGCAACUUAUUGAUUUUUACGAUCCUCACAUCAAAAUGUUAUUGAUUAUUUAUCUAAUUUUGAAAUUAAUUUGAUUCAUAGAGUACGGCAUAGAAGGAGAAGUAUCUACAAAAAGUGAUGUUUACAGCUAUGGGAUUAUGUUGAUGGAAACUUUUACCAAGAAAAAACCCACAGAUGAAAUUUUUGUUGGAGAAUUGAGCUUGAAGCGUUGGGUUAAUGACUUGCUUCCUACUUCAUUAGUGGAAGUUGUGGACAAAACUCUGCUAAGUGGAGAGGAAAAACAUUCUGCAGCAAAGGAGCAAUGUCUGUUGUCUAUCUUUAGUUUGGCUCUGGAGUGUACAAUGGAAUCACCGGAAAAGAGGAUUAAUGCAAAAGAUAUUGUUACAAGAUUACUCAAGAUAAGAGACACAUUGAGUAAAAGGAUAGGAAAUUUAAGUUAAUUUCGUUUGCUUUCAUUGAUAGUUAAUUCGAAUUCAUGUAAUAAGUCUAAGAAUCUUAUAUCUUCAAAUUCGCAUUUUAAAAUGCACAAAUGUUUGUGUAUACAUAAUUAGUAAUCGAUUCUCAAGCUUUGGACAUUUAAAAGCACUGCUAAAAGACAAAAUUUUAAUUCACUAUUUUUUUGUCUUUUAAUUUUCUUUAAGUUUUAAUGAUUCCGCAUUUUAAAAUCCUGUGGAACGUGCAUGUAAAAUUCUUUUAUCUUUUAGAGGAAAAUGGGCAAGAGAAGAAGAUUUGGCAAAGGAAUUGCAACCGCAUUUGGAGCUAGUUUUAAUUUUGUCUUUUAAUUCUUUUACACUUGGCUUUUGUUAUUGAUGUUAACUUCGAUGUGUGUGCGUGUGCGACUGAAUUCAACUUACAUGCUAUUGAUGCAGCCACCAAAAAGGGGUGGUCCAUCAUCAAUCAACAAGGUUUAUUAUUAUUAAUUUCCAUAUUGAUUUUCUUAAUUAUAAAUAAUACUAAUGCUAUUUCAUAGUUAUAAAUAUAUUAGAAUUAAUCGAAAUCAUUUUUUAGUGUGGCAUGGCUAAAACUACCUUUUUUUUAUUAUAAGUAAUUACUACUUUCACAUUAAGAAAAAUACUCCUAUUUUUAAGGAAAAGUCAAGUACCUGUAGUUGUGAAGACUCGAGCUCACUCCCUUAUGAUAAAUCUUCAUAUUAAUUACGUAAAUAUCCUCUAAAAUUUUAAAUUAGCUAUUCAAAAUUUGAUGUUAUACGGGUAUUUCAUUUAUUUGAGUAGGGGUUAGGGGUCAAUUGGAUACAAAUUCAAAAUUAUCCUUACUUGAGAAGGUGAUAAAAAUUGGGGAUUUAGUUUGGAUGUCAUUAGCUACAAAUAUUAAACUCAUACAUUUAAUUCAAAAUUAGAGGGCUGAUAUAUGCGCAUCAUCGUCCACGUUAUAGUGACACUGCGUCACCAUUCCACAACCUCUCCAAUGAAAAAUUGACAUGCUUCUUGUGCGCAUCUAAUCAGAAUCUUGAAAAUUAAUCACAAAAUUGUACUUUUAUUAUAAAAAGAAUAAAGAAACUCCAAGAAAAAAAAAAGACUUACAUAAAUAGAUUGAAAAAUCUAGAUUUCAAGUUGUCUAUAUUAGCUUGAUAUUUUUAUUAAUAGUCAUCCUCCCAAAAAAAUUCCAUCAAAAUAUAUUUUAAUUUUAUGUUAAUUCAUAAACUUGAAAAAAUCAUUUUAGAAUUAAUUAAAACAUAAUUUAUUGUUGCUCAAAAAAGGUAGAACUUAGUUAUCAGAAAAAAGUGUCUAAAAUAUAUGUUAAAAAAAAAUCAUGGUUGGUUGGACUGAUUGAAUUUUUUUUUCUUUUUUAAGAAUUAAGACAAUUGGAUGGAUUGAGUAAUAAUAAUACAUAUUUAUUUGGCAAAUGGCAGGGAGGCUUUCGUCUGAUGCAGAUUGAUUAGAGAGAAAAUAUAACAAUUUUAAGCUCGUCAGAUUCGAAGCUGCUUACCUGUCGUGUGGGGAUCACUUCCGUGUCUUAUUUUUCUAGAAAAAUCUGGACCAUUGGAUUUACCAUUAGUCAAUAGAGAAAUGUUGAUCUUGAUUCUUGAUCAAGAUCGAAGUUUGAUUCUAACUAACACGAUAUCAGAUUGCGAAGCAAGCAAAUUGAAAGUCACUUGUUCUAUGGAAGAAACACAAGUUCUAAUAAAACAUUCUCAUAGUAAAGUGAAUUACCAUCCAACGAUCCAACUCAUGUUUUCAAAUUGUAAAUUGCAAAUCGUGUGUUUGCUCCAUUACAGAGUUUCUUCAAUCUGAAAUAGCGAAUCAUUUGUGUUCUAGAUUAAUCGUGGGUCUAUAUCCAAAUCUAAAAAUUGACUAACUUGAUUUCUAUUAAAUUCUUAAUCCUAACAAGAAAAAUUGAAGAUUAAAAACGACUAAUUUGGUACCAUACCACUAUUGUAACAUAGGUAGAUCCUCUAUUAAUUGGAGUAAAGAUUGAAUUAUCUCAUUUAUUAAGGUUUAUCAAAAUCUUGUGUCAAAAUCUAUUAAUGAUAUAGGUUCAAGGAUGAAAAAGUCACUGCAUUACUUUUGAGUUCCCAAAUAGAUGAAUGGAUGUUAUUUUUAGAUUCCGGAGAGUCGAAAAUAUUAAGAUAGGUGCUAAAUCGAAUUAAGUUGUAGAUACGAUAGAAAUGGAUUUGGAGAGAUUGGAAUCCUAGGUAAUCCGGUGCACGUUGUCGUGUUAAAUUCUCGUUGACUUCACGUUGACUGAAGCAUUAUUGGAAGAAACAAGUUUAUUGAUGUGAGGCCUUUGAGGUUGUAAGUGUUAAAUAUGAGAAGAAUACCCACACACCCAUUAUCCUAUUACUCUUAUAUCACAUGAAGAGAAUUCAACAUUUGAUUCACACGGAAAAAAUUUGUGAGGAUUGUGAGGGUUGAUGGAAUAUAAUUUAGAUACAAAGUGUUUUACCAGUGCGAUGCUUCGCAAGUGUUCUUGAAUCAAUAUAAACUCACGUUAUUUUCAUAGUGAUUGUUUCAUGUGCACGUGGAUAUAAUCACAUGUCGAGAUUUUUUUCCUUAAAUUAUGGUCUUAUUUAGUAUUAAGGUGUUAUAUCUUUUAAGGUACAAUUAUUGUUGGAAAAAAGUUGCAUCUAUCAAAUAAAAUUAGUACUAUGUGCUAAAUAUAAUUGUUAAAUAAUAAUUUUGACAAAAUUAGUGAAGUUAUAUAGAUUUUUUUUCAUCAUACAAGCAUAAAAUCAAAUCAACUUAACUUCUAAGUUAUAUAUCGGCUACUUAGGGAUGGCAAUGGAUUGGAUCUGACCCAAGAUCCACGUGAUCCAAAUCUAAUCGGAUCGGAUUUGGGUCAGUUUAAAAUGAAUUUGGAUCGGAUUUGGAUAUUGAUGUGCGGAUCUAAGACGGAUCUGGAGCAGGUCUGGAUCUAUCUUAGUAUCUAAAUCCAUAUCCAUAUCCACCCAUCUUUUAAUUUAAUUUUAUUUUAAAAGUUUCUUAACAAUUGUGGAAUUAUAAUGAUAAUGAAUUUUAUUCAUAGCAUAUUAGUGGUAUUUACCAUGCAUUUAAACUCUUUAAAAUUAAAGGUUAGUUUUGUAAAUUUAAAGACUAGCCAGGCCCAAAGCAUGUACAUGCAAUAUUCAAAUUGCAAGCCAAGUAAUACAACCUGGCAAUUUAUUUUAUUAUAUUGGCCAAAUAAUUUUUAAGGAAUAUAGGUAUUCAUAUAUUUUGUCAAAUAUGGUCAUAAUAAAAAUAAUAAAGGACUGAAUAUAAAUCAUAUUUUAUUUAUAUGUCAUUAUCUAAUAUUAUAAGAAUGAGGGUGGGUGUGUUGUAGAUAUUAGAAUGAUGAAUGAGACAAUAGAAUAUUAGAUUGAUCUUACUCCUGCAAUUACUUUUAAAGGAUAUUUUAUUAUCUUAUUUGUUGUUUUGGUGUAAAAGUAUAAGUUACAAUAUUUAUUAUAUUUUUGAGAAAAAUUAUAUAAUUUAUUUGUUAUCAAUACAUUUUAACCUUCAAUUUUCAUUCUAAAAAAUUAUUACUUUUUAAUUGAUGAGUUUUAGAAUUCAUGACAGAUCUAGAGCAGAUUUGGAUUUUAAUUUUUUUUUUCAGAUUUGGAGCAGAUAUAAAUAUUUAUUUCUUUUAUGGAUAUGGAUAUGGAGCGAAAAAUAUAGAUUCAUGAUGGAUCUGGAGCAGAUACGGAUCUUGAUUUUUAUUAUGGAUUUGGAUCUGGAGCAGAGUAGAUCCAACCCAUAUCUGCCCCAUUGCCAUCCCUACGGCUACUGUUAAUCAUAUGUUUUAGUUCUGUAACUUUUAAGUUAUAGUUACCCAAUCUCAAUUCUAAACCAGACCUAUAAAGAUCAAAGAUUUCCUCAUUAAAUUAUAUGUCUUGUGAUUGCUUAUUUAAUUUAUAUUUUUUUUUAUUUAUCUUUAUUAAUUAUAAUCAUCUUUUUAUAAAUUAAAAUUGAAGGAAGUUGAUUGAUGUUGUUGACACACGCACACACGCACACACUCACAAAGAUAUAUUGGAAGUGCUUACGUCGACUCGAAGUUGUUGGGAAUUAAUGCAUGUAUUGAUUUAUUGGGAGUGUUUAAAUGAUUUUUUGAUUUACUUGAUUUAUUGAUUGAAUAUUGUUUGAUUGCUUCAUAUCCAUUCUAGAAAGUUUAUUUCUUUGUGAAAUUUCAACGAAAUAUGUUUUUUUUUUUAAAUAAGGGUGUUCUAAAUAAUUUAAAAAUAUAUAUGGACUAAUUAGAAUUAAUUAUUAGGUAAUUAACUCAAUCUGUAUAGGGUGAAACAACAUUUAUCCUAAUUAUAUCAUGAUAAAUACUUUUCCUAUUAGAAUUAGGAAAUCAUAGGUUUAUUGAAUUGUUUUUUUUUUUCCUUUGCGGAAACGGAUUAGAGAAUUAGAAAACAAUCAUGUUGAUGUCAAAAUCUGAUCUAGUCGGUUAGCGACUUAAUAUCAUAUUACUGCACCAACAUUAAAUUUAUUGGGUGGAGAAUCGACUGGUCAAUUGUCAAGAUGUCCUGCAAUCACUAGCGAUUAACCUACGAAUACCUAAAAUCACAGAAGACGGUAAGAGGCACCGGAAGUUUUUUCGGCGUGAACCUUCCGACGCUCAAGUCAGUUUAUAGGUUUACCAUAAUAAAAAUAAAUAAUUUCUAUUUAAAAAAAAAUAGAGUUCAAAAGCUCAAAAAUAAAACCCAAUCCCAAUAUGAAAAUGAAUUUUUUUUUUUUUUUUUCUAGCUUGGCCGAAUCCUUCUGCCUCCUAAAGAAACAUAACAGAGAAGCAGGUAGCCAUGUUCCCUAGGUAACGCCCCACUCCCCUCUUUUAUUCCUCCCCCUCUCUUCCGUUUCCUUCUUUUGCUCACUAUCCUUCAUAAUUUUUUAUGCUUGUCUUCCCAAAAUAGCCUUUUAAUACACAAGUAAAUGUCUAGGCUUUGGUGAGGAUAGUUUGGUCAUUGCAUUUUACAAGUAAGAUGAGUGGUGGAGAAAAAUGAGGAGUGCACAUAUAACGCUUCAGCAAAUCCCACCAGCAAUUCCAUUUUCUUAAUUAAUUAAUCUCUUCAGCAAAUCCCACCAACUCUUCAGCAAAUCCUAAUGAUAUUAUUAUCAGGUUUAAAACAGUACACAAAUAGUGAAAAGCUAACUAGUCUGUAGAGUAAUUUGCUAAUUGCUAUCUCCUCUCUCCGCGCGCUGAAUAAUUUGUUGCAUGCAAACUUUUUAUUUUAUGCAAAUCGUACGUACUGUAACAUUGGAAUUGAUGUAAAAGCAAAAAUACAAGAAUAUUUAUGUCAAUAAAAAUAGUUUUUUUGGCCUUUUUAAAUAAACACAACGCGAUAUUGCUCUGCUCUACAUUUUUGCUAUCUCUUUAUUCUUCUUUUUUUUUUUGGGCUUCUUAAAGCCUCAAACUUUGAUAACCAAAACUUCAUCGACCUAUGAAAAAAUCUGCAGAUUAGUUUUUAUUAUCGGAAUAAUCAUUUGAGAAUACUAAAACAAAAUAUAAAUAAGAAAAUAGGAGGUUAAAUUAGAGGGGGGAAAAAAGGUAUGUUGGAUAGAUUACUAUAGUUUAAGAAAAAAAAAUCCAAUUGGGAAUUUUUUUCUUUAAUUUUUGUUUUACUUGAUUGAGAUUUCUCCUUGGUCCUUACAGUUUUAAGUUUGGAUGCCGUAGGGUUAGUAAUUUAGUACUUCCUUUGCAAGCUGAGUGCAAGAAUGAAAAUCUUUAAAGAAAUAAAAAAAAAAAAAAAAAGCAUACCAAUAGGUAAUUAUAAAUAACCAUACAUAAACAUAAACAAAAUGAGGUAAUUAUUAAUAUUAUUUUUUGUUUUAUUUCUUACUUGUCUAUUUUAUUUGCUGCUUGAUAACCCGUAAAUACUAAUCUAGUACUGCUAAUUUCAGACACAAAAUUUUUAACUCUAGGCUGCAGUUUUACUCAAAAUGAUGACCACUGGCUUCGCACCAUUUAACCGGCAUACAUUUCUACAAAUUGAACAAGGCUAUUGAUUUUCAUUAUUAUUUUUUAUUUUUUUAUAAAUUACUAUUUUAAUUUUCACUUUUCAUUGGGUUGUUUAACGGAUUAGUGAAGUUGGUGGUCGUGAUGCACUCACAAGGUACAAUUUUAUUUUAUAAUUUCAAAUUUGUAUUUUAAAAUGCAGGUACAUUAUGUAUACAUAAUUAUUGAUUUUCGUAUGUGGGUGUUUUGAAAUAUUGCUAAAAGACCAAACUUUAAUAAACUAUUUUUCAUCUUUUUUUUUUCCUAAAGUUUAAGUGAUAUCCGCAUUUUAAAUUCAUGUGGAACAAAAGCUAAUGUAUGCACAAAAUCCUUUUAUUUUUUCCGAGAAAAAUGGUUAAGAGAAGAAGAUUUUUCUCUUGAAAAAGAAAAACUAAUACGAUGCAAGCAUAGGAAAGAGGUCAGUGUUUUGGAUUAGAAUUUAGUAUUGAGCUGAAUUUUAUACUAAACUCUUUUAUAGUACUGCGAUUAAUAAACUCAUGAUUUGCUUUUGCUUUUACCUCAAGUGAAAGAAAGAGGAAACCUUUUGUUUUUUGUUUGAUUCUUGACUAUAGGUGUUACCUAUAUAGAGAGUUGAGGUAGCUGCCUUAAGUGAUGGUGAUAAAAAGAUUAAGCAGCGCACACAAUCUUACUGUCGUCCAGACCAUCCAGCUGUGAUGACUCUUGUUUUUUGGUUACAUUAGCUUUAGUGGAACGGAGGGCCAAUUUAACAAAGACUAGAUUUGGUGGCUUACUAUAAUGCUUAUUCUCAGGGAAUCUAAUGUUAUAAGAUGAUUUAAUGAUCUUCUAUGAUUGUGAGUAGUAUAGUAUAAUUGAAAAGAGCUUGGGCUCCUAUGAUGAAUAUUUAAUAGUAACACAGUACUGUUAUUGAAAAAAACACAGUUACAAUAAACUCUUCAUUUAUUCAUUGUGGAGAUUGAAUGGCAAACAGAGAAUAAAAUGAAGCAGAGGAAUCUCAUUGCCAGUAAAAUUGACCCUCUUUAAUGUUAUAUGGCACAGGUGUGUGUACAGCAAGAUCAAGUUACUUGCAGUUUUUAUUGUAAAAUAUAUAGGUUAUGACCAUGAUCAUUGUAGUUAGGUUUUGAUGAUUUUAGAUGCUUUUUUUAUUUUUUUUAAAAUUGUGACACCUUUGAUUUAUGGUAGUUUUGCAGAAGAAAAAAAUAUAUAUAAAAAUUAGGAGGGAUGAGUUAACUAACGAUUGCAAUCAUUACAGUAAUGUUGAUGAGUGAUACAUCAUUUGAAAUUUACUUGUCAGUUGCUGAAAUGAUGAAAAAAAACAGUAAACAAUAGCAGUAAUAUUUUUUGGCAAUAUAAAAAAUUAUUGCGGUUAUUUUUUGGCAAUAUAAAAAAAUUUUAGCAAAUAAAAAUUAAUUUUUUUCCGAUUAACUAAAAAAUUAAUUAAAAACUUCUGCGAUGGCAUUUUUUAUGGGUGCAUAUACCCUCCCUUUAAAAGAAAAAAUAAUAAUUAAUACUUAAUAUAGUAUUAAAUACGAAAAUAUCAAUAUUUGACUACACAAAUUUAAUAGUCUUGUGUAAUUAGUGAGUGAGAGAUUGGGUGUAUUGGAGUUUUGGGUAGUGAGCCAAAAUAUUACAAUACUUGUAAUCUUUAUUUCACUAGUGAAAUAUUUUCCUUCUGUUUUUGCCCGUGGACGUAGGCUAAAAGCCGAACCACGUAAUUUCUGGUGUCCUCUAUUGUACUUGUUCUUUAUUUGCUUCCAAUUUUAUUUUAACUGCGCGUCUGCUUCACCCAUCAAUUUCCUAACAAAUCUUGAUCCCAUGCACACGCAAAUAUGUUAAUUUCUAUACGCUUCACUUACCUGUAGAAUCAAUUAUCUAAAAUGCAAGUUUGUGGCCACAAAAAAAGCCAAAGAAAGAAGAUAAUAACAAUUGACUUGUAUAUUAUACUCAUACAAUCCACUCGACAUAAUGAUAUCAUUUUAAUAAGGCAAUGGCUGAUGAUCUCCAUUGAAAAACUAAUUCAAUUUUUUUGCUUCAUUUAACUUUUUGGUUGUUGAAAAUAACCUUAAUUAUCAAAUAAUUGGAGAAAGAGUAAAGAACAUUUAACAAAUUUAUGUGCAAAAAAAAAAAAAAAGAAGUUGAAGAGAAAGGGUGCUUGCAGAAGUGGGUGUCAAAGAAACAUCGGUCCAUAAGAAUUAUUGCGGUUAUUUUUUGGCAAUAUAAAAUAUUUAUAGCAAGUAAAAAUUAAAUUUUUUCCGAUUUACUAAAAAAUUAACUAAAAACUUCUGCCACAACAUUUUUUAUGGGUACAUAUACCCUCCCUUUAAAAAAAAAAUAAUAAUUAAUGCUUAAUAUAGUAUUAAAUACCAAAAUAUCAAUAUUUGGCUACUCAAAUUUAUAUCAUUAGGUCCUUAAAAUUAAAAAUUGAUGAUACAAAAGGAAAUAUAUAUAAAUUUCAUUCUCAUGGAAAGGAUUCUCUUAUAAUCUUAUAAUAUUUGAGUUUUGAAAUUUUUUGAAGCAAAUGUAAUUUUAUUUGUGUACAAUCAAUAUUUACUUAUUUAUUAUAUUUUAAUUUGUUAACUAUCAAUCAUUUAAGUAUAUUUAGUCAGAAAAAUUAUAUCAAGAGAGAAUCCUAAUUUCACGCAAACACAAAUACAAGAUAAAUAUGUCAAUUUCUAUACUAUCCACUUUCCUGUAGAAUCAAUUAUCUAAAAUGCAAGUUUGUGGCUACCGAAAACUCGCCAAAGAAAGAAGAUAAUAACAAUUGAGCAUUGAUAGCAAAACUAAUGCAUCAUUUUCUUCUUGACUUGAUGAGAUGGUGCCAUUACAAAAAAAAAAGUACCUUAAUUGACGGGCACUGAGUGAUGUGAAUACUACCAGCCAGUUCAUCUCUUCCAGUCUUGCUUAAUCACAAUCACAAACACCACGAGAUUGACAUUUGCAUUAUAUAUAUCUUCAGCAAUCGAAACACCUUGCAUUACCAAAUUAACCGGUAACAAACAAAGCAAUCUUUCAUGGAGAGAAACUUUAGUCUCAGUAUGAUCACUUUGUCAUUAACCCACUACCUGCUUCUUUGCUUGGUUGUUGCAGCAGCAGCAGCCGCAAGCAACAAUAUUACCACAGACCAACAAGCUCUUCUUGCCCUGAAAGAUCAUAUAACUUAUGAUCCAACCAACCUUUUUGCCCAUAAUUGGACCUCGAAUACCUCUGUUUGUACCUGGAUUGGCAUCACUUGUGAUGUCAAUAGCCAUAGAGUCACAGCCUUAGAUAUUUCUCAAUUCAAUCUACAAGGCACCAUCCCUCCUCAACUUGGAAACCUUUCUUCACUUACAACGCUUAAUCUUAGUCAUAACAAGCUUUCUGGAGACGUUCCAUCCUCCAUCUACACCAUGCAUUCGCUAAAAUUUCUUGACUUCACUGAUAACCAGCUCUCUGGUUCAGUGUCUUCCUUCGUCUUCAACAUGUCUUCAAUAUUAGAAAUUCUUUUGACCAAUAACAGAUUUUCUGGUGAGCUUCCGAAAAAUAUUUGCAACUAUCUUCCUUAUUUGAAAGCCCUUUUCUUAAACAAAAACAUGUUUCAUGGCAAAAUUCCUUCUGCUUUAUCAAAGUGCAAACAACUGCAAAAAUUAAAUUUGCAGUUCAAUAAUUUAUCCGGUGCAAUACCGAAAGAAAUCGGCAACUUGACUAUGCUCAAAGGCAUAUAUCUCGAAUACAACAAACUCCACGGUAUGUUCAUAAUACUAUGUAAAUGUUUUAAUUUCUCAAUUGUUAUUUUCUUGAAUACUUUAGACAAGAUCUUGUAAGGGAGAUAUUUUUGGAUCUGUGUUAAUUUGCCAGGUGAGAUACCCCACGAAAUCGCUAAUCUUCGAAAUCUAGAGGAUUUAUUGCUUGGAAUGAACAACCUAGUUGGUGUGUUACCAGCUCCAAUCUUCAACAUGUCAACACUGAAAUUAUUUGACCUCAUAAAUAACUCUCUCUCCGGAAGUCUUCCAUCAAGAAUAGACCUUUCACUUCCAACUGUUGAGUUUUUUGGCUUGGCACUUAAUAGAUUUUCUGGAACCAUUCCUAGUUCCAUCACCAAUGCUUCUAAGCUCACCGUUCUAGCGUUGGGAGAGAACACAUUUUCGGGCUUCAUUCCAAACACAAUUGGUAAUUUAAGAAACCUUGAGUGGCUCAGCUUGGAGAAUAAUUACUUGAAAUCUUCAACCUCAAAAUUGAGCUUUCUUUCCUCUUUGGCAAAUUGCAAGAAAUUAAGAUUCUUAAACUUAGCAGGCAAUCCACUUGACGGCUUCCUUCCAAGUUCAAUAGGUAAUCUUUCUGUGUCUUUGGAAACACUUUUCAUCGGCAAUUGCAGUAUUAGUGGCAACAUUCCUCAAGCAAUUAGCAAUUUAAGCAACUUGUUGACCUUAGUAUUAGAAGGCAAUAAAUUGACUGGACCAAUUCCAAUUACAUUUGGCCGACUACAGAAACUCCAAGGCUUAGAUCUUGCAUUCAAUAAGUUGGUAGGUUCAUUCCCAGAUGAGCUUUGCCAUCUAGCAAGGCUGGAUCAAUUGGUCUUAUUUGGCAAUAAGCUUUCAGGAUCUAUACCUUCAUGCCUAAGUAAUCUCACUUCUCUAAGAUCUCUCUACUUAGGGUCCAAUAGGUUAACUUCUGUUAUUCCCUCAACUUUCUGGAGCCUAAAAUACAUCUUGUUCUUUGACUUUUCAUCAAAUUUCUUGGUUGGUACUCUUUCUUUCGACAUAGGUAAUUUGAAGGUGCUUCUAGGAAUAAAUUUAUCAGAAAAUAACUUAUCGGGUGAUAUGCCAGCCACAAUUGGAGGACUGAAAGAUCUUCAAUUUAUGGACCUAGCAUUUAAUAGAUUGGAAGGCCCAAUUCCUGAAUCAUUUGGUGACUUGACAAGUUUGGAGGUUUUGAAUUUGUCAAAAAAUAAAAUCUCUGGGUCUAUUCCAACAUCCAUGGAGAAACUCAUUUACCUUCGAGAGUUAAAUCUCUCUUUCAAUAAACUUGAAGGUGAGAUUCCUAGUGGAGGAAUUUUUACCAACUUCACAGCUGAGUCAUUUAUGGGAAAUGAGUUAUUGUGUGGUUUACCAAAUCUUCAAGUCCAACCAUGCAAACUUAGCAAGCCUAGGACAGAACAUAAAUCAAGGAAAAAGAUACUUCUCAUUGUGAUUGUUUUGCCAUUGAGUAUUGCUCUAACGAUAGCAAUCACUCUAGCUCUCAAAUCUAAGCUGAUCGAAUGUAGAAAAAGAGGCACAGAGUUAUCAAAUGAUAGUAUCUUGUCAUCAGAAGCAACACUAAGAAGAUUUUUAUACUUAGAACUUUUACAAGCAACAGAUAAUUUUGCUGAAAACAACAUAAUUGGCAGAGGAGGUUUUGGUUCCGUUUAUGGAGCAAGACUUGAAGAUGGGAUGAAGAUUGCAAUAAAAGUGUUUCACCAGCAAUGUGCAAGCGCAUUGAAGAGUUUUGAGGCUGAAUGUGAAGUGUUAAAAAAUAUUCACCAUCGAAACCUUAUCAAAGUUAUCAGCAGUUGCUCGAACGAUGACUUCAAAGCAUUAGUCCUAGAAUACAUGUCCAACGGGAGCUUGGAGGAUUGGCUGCAUUCUAGCAAUUAUGUGCUGAAUAUAUUUCAGAGGUUGAACAUAAUGAUUGACGUUGCAUCAGCUUUAGAAUAUCUCCACUUCGAUCAUUCAACUGCUAUUAUUCAUUGUGACUUAAAGCCUAGUAAUGUAUUGUUGGACGAAAAUAUGGUUGCUCAUUUGAGUGAUUUUGGCAUAGCAAAGCUUUUAAGUGGAGAGGAUGAGUCUACGAUACGAACAAAAACCCUUGCCACUCUAGGUUAUAUGGCACCAGGUUUGCUUCAAACAACUUUCGUUUUUAGUUCAUUUUAAAUUUUCCAACUUAUUGAUUUUUACAAUCCUCACAUCAAAAUGUUAUUGAUUAUUUAUCUAAUUGUGAAAUUAAUUUGAUUCAUAGAGUAUGGCAUAGGAGGAGAAGUAUCUACAAAAAGUGAUGUUUAUAGCUAUGGGAUUAUGUUGAUGGAAACUUUUACCAAGAAAAAACCCACAGAUGAAAUUUUUGUUGGAGAAUUGAGCUUAAAGCGUUGGGUUAAUGACUUGCUUCCUAAUUCAUUAGUGGAAGUUGUGGACAAAACUCUGCUAAGUGGAGAGGAAAAACAUUCUGCAGCAAAGGAGCAAUGUCUGUUGUCUAUCUUUAGUUUGGCUCUGGAGUGUACAAUGGAAUCACCGGAAAAGAGGAUUAAUGCAAAAGAUAUUGUUACCGGAUUACUCAAGAUAAGAGACACAUUGAGUAAAAGGAUAGGAAAUUUAAGUUAAUUUCGUUUGCUUUCAUUGAUAGUUAAUUCGAAUUCAUGUAAUAAGUGUAAGAACCUUAUAUCUUUUACUUUGAUUUUUUUUUUCUUGAGAAAACUGUUGUAGUCAUCUUGUUUCCAUGGGCGGAGUUGAUUUAGUUCUUCCAAGAAAUGCUACUGAUGACAUUUGUUUUAUACUUUCUCUUUUUUUUUGCAUGUGUUUAGGUAGAAUAGUGGUUUGGUUGCACUCUAAGAAGUCUAACUACACUAAAAGAAUAUGAUUUAAUUUAUUAAACAAAACUUCAAGUUCAAGAAAAGUAUCUCAUUGCCCCCAAUGCUUUGGACACCUAUUGGUAGGUUUGUACGUGUCCUCAACUUUUUUUUGGAGCACAAAAUUCGAGUCCCAUAAAGGCUCAAACAUUCCUUUCCUUCAUCCCGAGGGCGCCUUCUGUCCUCUGUUUUCUGUUUCCACACACAAAUAGCAAAAAGAAAUUAGAAUGACAACUGGGACAUAUAUAAGAGUGAAAUAAUUAAAAAAAUUAUGCUUUUUUGUCUGUCGUGUUAAAAUCGUAAGUACCGAAGUACUGUGAAAGAGAUUAAUUUACAGAAACUGAAGCCAAGGGUUCAAAAAAAACUAUUGAUGUAGGUAGAAUGCAAUGUCAUAUUCAUACAGAGAUGAAGUAUAUUAUUUACGGCUGGUAAGGACUAAGAAUUGAUGUAGCUAGAAUGCAAAGAUGAUGAGGUAUGUUGUACACUAUUGUUUUUAUUCUACAAUCAAUCUUGACCCCUGAUGCUUGGCUCUCAAUCUUGUCCAUUGAUCUUCUCUGAUUUUGGAGACUUGAAGACCUUUCAGUAUCAUGCCUUGUUGUUGGUGUCUUCCGUGCUGUAGAAUUCAUAUACAAGUUUUCCCGCCGACUUGCCAAGUAUUUGUUCAUUGAUGCAUUUUAUCAAACAGUUGGCCUGCUCAGAGCAAACAGCUCCUGUUUUAACUCCCCCUCCGUAGCUCAACUAUCUGGGAAGACAAUUAAUUGAGCUUGUUUCACAAUUAUAUGAAUCUGAAAGUUCAAUUAUAUCCUCUAAUGGAGAGAACUCAUUGCCUCAGUAUGAUCACUGUGUCAUCAACCCACUCCCCGCUUCUUUGCUUGGUUGUUGCAGCAAGCAACAAUUUUACCACAGAUCAACAAUAGUUUGUCCAUUUGUUCCAGUGAGGUCGUCAUUAAAAAUUAAUUUUCAUAUUGAUUUUCUUAAUUAUAAAUAAUACUAAUGAUAUUUCAUAGUUAUAAAUAUAUUAGAAUUAAUCGAAAUCAUUUUUUAGUGCGGCAUGGCUAAAACUACCUUUUUUUUUUUUAAGUAAUUACUACUUCAAGGAAAAUACUCCUAUUUUCAAGGAAAAGUCAAGUACCCGUAGUUGUGAAGACUCGAGCUCACCCUCUUAUGAUAAAUCUUCUUAUCAAUUACAUAAAUAUCCUCUAAAUUUUUAGUUAACUAUUCAAAAUUCGAUGUUAUACGGGUAUUUCAUUUAUUUGAGUAGGGGUUCGGGGUCAAUUGGAUACAAAUUCAAAAUUAUCCUUACUUGAGAAGGUGAUAAAAAUUGGGGAUUUAGUUUGGAUGCAUUAGCUACAAAUAUUAAACUCAUACAUCUAAUUCAAAAUUAGAGGGCUGAUAUAUGUGCAUCCUCGUGCACAUUAUAGUGACACGUGUCACCAUCCUACAACCUAUCCAAUGAAAAAUUGACAUGCAUCUUGUGCGCUUCUGAUCAAAAUCCUGAAAAUUAAUCACAAAGUUAUACUUUUAUUAUAAAAAGAAUAAAGAAACUCCAAAAAAAAAAAAAGACUUACAUAUAUAAAUAGUUUGAAUAAUCUAGAUUCCAAGUUGUCUAUAUUAGCUUGAUCUUUUUAUAAAUAGUCAUCUUCGAAAAAAAAUUCCACCAACAUAUAUUUUAAUUUUAUGUUAAUUAAUAAAUAGAAAAAAAUCAUUUUAGAAUUAAUUAAAACAUUAUUUAUUGUUGCCAAAAAAAGGAAGAAUUUAGUGAUAAGAAAAAAGUGUCUCAAAUAUACGUUAAAAAAAUUAAUCAUGGUGGGUUCGAUUGAUUGAAUUUUUUUUUUUAAUCUUUUUCUUUUUUAAGAAUUAAGACAAUUGGAUUGAUUGAGUAAUAAUAAAAUAUAUUUAUUUGGCAAAUGGCAGGUAGGCUUUCUUCUGAUGCAGAUUGAUUAUAGAGAAUAUACAACAAUUUUAAGCUCGUCAGAUUCGGAACCUGCUUAUCUGUCGUGUGGGGAUCACUUCCGUGUCUUAUUUUUCUAGAAAAAUCUGGACCAUUAGGCAGUAGAGAAAUGUUGAUCUUGAUUCCUGAUCAGGAUCGAAGUUUGAUUCUAUCUAACAUGAUAUCAGAUUGCGAAGCAGGCUAGUAUGUAAAUUUCUUUUAUCUUUUAGAGGAAAAUGGGCAAGAGAAGAAGAUUUGGCAAAGGAAUUGCAACCGCAUUUCUAGUAUGUUCUGAUCAGAGAAGCGAAAUCCAUCACGGUCUUUUAUCUUUACCCAUGUGGAGAAAUCAAGGGAUUUCGAAUCAGAGAAGCGAUGGGAUUUAGUUCUGAUCUGGGAUUUUGGAGACUUAGGGAGUGUGCGGUCUUGGACCAACAUUGAUGACGAUGACGCUUCAAAUUCAAUGACUUGAAAGCAGAAAACAAAGACAGACAAAAACAGACAUGCACUACAGCAAGAAAGAUUGACUGAAUCUUGGGUUACUGUGUCUGUGGUCUCAAAUGAAACACAAGUGGGAAGCCUUGCUGCAGUUUCAGCUUUGGUUUGUGUUUGAAGUUUUGAAUGUAAAAAGAGAACCGAGCAUGUGGUUGCCGACAAGAAUGGCCUGAGGUUUCUUAAGCUUCAUUGUAAUGUUACAACUGCUACUAAUUUGGUGGGGUGGGAGGUCGCUGGGUCGCUGUCAGUCCAUUUGCUUCUUUUCUUUCUUUUUGUUAUUUGUUGAGUUUUUUCCAUUUCUACUUUUCUUAAUAUAUAAAUUAUCAUUUUUUUAACAUGCAAAAUAUAUAGAACAUUUUAUGAGUUUAUAAAUAAAAAUUAUAUUAUGGGAUAAUAGUGAAUGAGUUCCUGGUGCUUUGGAGUUCUUUAAAUUAAGGGCCCAGUUUGUCCAUUUGUUUUAGUUAGGUCCUUCUUAAAAAUUGAUUUUCUUAAUUAUAACUAAUACUAAUGAUAUUUCAUAGUUAUAAAUAUAUUAGAAUUAAUCCAAAAUAUUUUUUAGCGUGGCAUGGCUAAAACUACCUUUUUCUAUAAGUAAUCACUACUUUUGCAUUAAGGAAAAUAUUCCUAUUUAAAAAAAAAUUGAAUAUCUAUAGUUGUGAGGACUCGAACUCACUCGCUUAUGAUAAAUCUUUGUUGAUGCGAGAUUCUGGUUACCCACUCGACCACGUCCAGGAUCUCUGCUCAAUCAACUAACUCGACCACGAUCAGGAUCUCUCCUCGUAUGCUUUCUUCUUCAAAAAUUCCUGCGUACACAGAAACAAGUCAGAGCACGCCAGUUGUUUUCCCGGCGUAAACCCUCCGACGCUCAAGUCAGAUAUGAAGGUUUUGUGUUCCUGGGAACGUUAGCCACUAGUCUUAAGCUUUGCUUUUGGUAUCGAUUGCUGAAUGCUCUCUUUAUCUCAAUUUCCGUAUUAAAAGUUAACCCUUUUACCUUCGUUGGCUGCCUUUUUAUAGGCUCCACCUGAGUCCAGAUCCUCCCCUCCAUUCACGCCCGUUACCUUCCCACCUCUCGAAAGUGGAUGCUUUGUUUCCGUAAUCGUGGGUGAUUGCAUGGCCUUCGUGCCUCGAUUCUCAGGCUGGAGAGUACGUCUCGCCAACUGUCGUUGACUGGGUCUCCUCGCCUCAAACCUUAGCAGGAAUGGCUUUAUGCUUCUAACAAGAGACCGGCUUCGCGGAUGGCGUAUUCAUGGACGAGCAGAUAUUCCUGCUUAUGUUCCAAUGCUACCAGACCUCUGCUCAUCACGGCUGGUCUCGUCGAAGUACAUCCCCCAAACACCGGUCCCCCAGUUUCUGGUGUUGGGUAACAUAGUGAGCCAACAGUAGAAACUCGACAGUUCUUGCUCGCGCGAGAUAGGAAAAGACUGCCAAGAGUCGUGUCGCAUUUAAUGGCGGAUGAGGUGAUGUGGCAGAAAUCUACCCCUCCAUUUGAAUUUCAAACCGACGGUUACGAAACCCUAGGGAUUUGUGCCGUUAAAUGCCGGCAGCCCAAGAGUUUGUUCUUCAUUAGGAAAACCCAAAACCCCCAAAAGAGGAACUCGUCUUUUACUCCGUUUCUGUCUCUCCUGCGAAUGAGUCCUUCCUCUCCCUCGGCGUAAAAGCUUCCUUCCUUGUCUCUCUCCGACUAAGUCACAACUUCAGGUACUAUUUCUUUUUUCCUCGGUCGUGGAUAGUUGUAAACAAUUUCUUUUACAUUUUGCUUGGGUAGUGUUUGGUGGUGCAGUUCUGGUUAUAGUUUAGGGAAUGUCGAAAGGUAAGGAGAAAGUCAUUGAGAUUGAUGACGACGAGUUAGACUUCUUGCCUAGUCUGCUCGCCGAUUCUGCUUUCGACACCGGGAUCCCCUUAGAACCCGUUAGACCUAAUGUUGCGACUAGUGCUAGGAGGAUGUCCCCCCAAGUAACCUCCUCAACUGGAAAUAGCGACGACGAGGGUUCUUCUGGUUCGGAAGACACUUUGAGUGAAGAUCAGGGAAAUGAUUCUGGUGAGAUGUCCUCACCAGGAACAUCGUGACCAGAUAGGAGGGGCAUAGUAGGAGGUAGAGCUCUAUCACAGAAUUACACUAUUGAUUUUAUGACGUGCACGACCACAGUAGAUGAGCUAGUUAGUCUCCGGGCUAGAUACGGCAUCCCUGAUGAAAUUUCCCUUAGGAUCCCAGGAAAAAAAGAUACCCCCAGCCGGCCUCCUAGGGGAUAUAUUACUCUGUUUCUAGAGAGUUUUAAACUUGGGCUAAGGUACCCCAUACAACCCUACUUUGCCCGAAUACUCAAUGGGUUGAAUUUAGCUCCUGGUCAACUGAACCCCAAUGGGUGGUGAGUACUUUCUGGUCUGUUCAUAUUGUGAGACAGAUGUUGCCAAAGCGAGCCAACAAUUGACGAGGUGAAGCACCUGUACCAGCUAAAGAGCAGCCCCAAAGAUGUCGGCUGGUAUUACUUCCAGUCUAGUACCAAGACCAGGAAACCCAUAACCGAUCUUCCAACUGGUGGUGGUAGGACUUGGAAGAAAAAAUUCUUUUUUGCUGGGGGUCCCUGGGGUCAAGUUGCACAGAUUGACGAGAAGGAUUACCGUGUCCCACCUCAUUUCGUGGUCCCAGGUUGCCUACUCGCUUAAGAUGUUUUGUCUCCAUAGUCGUUCUCAUUUUGCUGAUUUGUUUCUAAUCCAAAAUCUGUUCGCAUUGCAGGUUCCUGGGGUGUGCACUACCAGCUUAAACCCGAGCCGCUCAAGCGAGUCGAAGCUGUACUGGCCAAUUUCUACACGAACCGAGAGCUGCUAACUACUUUCAAUUUGGUCGAAUCUCGUUUGGUGUCUACCGGCCAUAAAAUGGAGGAUGCUGUGAUCGGGGCUCUGACUCGGAAACGUCCCCAACCUCAUGCUACCAAGCAGGACCAGAAUAAAUAUGCUCCCACUGCGAAGCGGGUGAACAUUGUGCAGCAGGUUCCUCCCUUGAAGACCCUACCACCUCCUUCUGCCAAAGUCGGAGAAACUAGCGGAGCAGCCACCGAUCCCGCUUCCUCUUAUCCUCCAGUCGGGCCGAGAUCUCGUUUAUCUGACAAUCGAGCAAAACAUUUGGUCCCCUAUAUCAACGAGUUCUCUAAACUCGUGAGCAAGAGGGACCUAGAGGACUUUGACGACAGCACCUUGGGUGAGCUGGUGGGGGCCAUGCAAUAUAGCGCUUUCCAUCUCGACUGUAUGGCCACUUACUACAAGGCCAAGGUUGGUCGUUAUGACCGAAAGAUGAAGGAGGACAUUCAAUCGGCCAUGAUCAAAGCUGAUGCUGCCGAGAAGAAAGCAGGGGACUUGAAUCUCGAGAAUUUGAAGUUGAUAGAGCGAGAAUCUCUUGCUCAAGCAAAAGCCAUUACUCUCGAGGAUGAGCUAGCUAAGGUCAAGGAGGAUCUGCAAAGACAGCAGGCUAUGUACGAGGCCCAGCUCGAAUCUCUUCGGGAUUCCCACAAGGUUUAGGUCGAGAACCUGGAGAAGGAAGCUGAUAAUCAAUAUGACCAGGGGCUUCAGCACUCCUAUCAUUGCAUCAUGGCCGUCCUUGGGAAGCAGCAUCCGGAUAUGAAAAUGGACGAGCUUGCUACUGGUGUUGCUCAGCAUAUGGAUGAGGAGGCAGCAAAAGAGGACGCCGAAGAGGUGGAGCCAACUGAGGUUGAGGAGGGAAACACUCCUCCUCGUGCAAUCCUUGCUGAUGUCGCUGAGGCGAGUACCCCCCGAAUGCAACUGGUGAUACCCCCUGCCCCUGAGGUGGACCAGCCAACCAAGGCUGCUCGGCUUACUGACCCGCCGUCCUCUUGAUUGUAUUUUGUGUUGUAGUUGCUUUCUUGAAACGCUAUAUGUUAUGACUAGCAGUUUUUUCUGGUUGUUGAUUAAUAAAUAAGAAUGUUCUCAUUUGCUUUCUCGUCGUAAAUCAUUUUAAGUUUGAGGGUCUACUUGCCUUCUCUUGUACUAGCAGUUCUUGACACGCUUGGCUUCUGGUCUCGCCAUAGAACAUGCUUGUGACUUGGUGAGCCUUUGCAUGCCUUAGAAAUUUUUUCAAUGUUGGGAUUCUGCUCGCCUUCGCUUGGUCGAGCAGAUCUUGGCACGCUUGGCUUUUGGUCUCGCCAUAAAAACAGGCUUUGAAAAUUGGUGAGCCUUUGCAUGCCUUAGAAAUUUUUUCAAUGCUUGGGAUUUUGCUCGCCGUCGCUUGGUCGAGCAGAUCCUGGCACGCUUAGCUUUUGGUCUCGCCAUAAAAUAGGCUUUGAGACUUGGUGAGCCUUUGUAUGCCUUCGAAAUUUUUUCAAUGAUAGGGAUUCUGCUCGUCGUCGCUUGGUCGAGCAGAUCCUGGCACACUUGGCUUCUAGUCUCGCCAUAAAACAGGCUUUGAGACUUGGUGAGCCUUUGCAUGCCUUAGAAAUUUUUUCAAUGCUUGGGAUUCUGCUCGCCGUUGCUUGGUUGAGCAGAUCCUGGCACGCUUGGUUUCUGGUCUCGCCAUAAAACAGGUUUUGAGACUUGGUGAGCCUUUGCAUGCCUUAGAAAUUUUUUGCACAGUUACAAGUGAAUGAAAUUCCUCGACGUUUCAUUAAUUACAGAAUUCAACUUACAUAGGAAUGCAUAGCAACGAGAACAAAUUAAAGUAAUUUUUGAACAUGAGCAAGUCUUACUGGAAAUAUUUCCUGAGGUGCGCUGCGUUCCAUAGGCGUUUCACCUCGUGGCCAUCCGUGCGAACAAGCUUGUAAGCUCCGAGUCCCACUAUCUGCUUGACCCUGUAUAGCCCCUGCCAAUUCGGUCCAAGCACUCCUUGAGUCGAGUCUUUGGUGUUCUGAUUCACUCUCCUUAGCACCCAAUCUCCGACCCUAAACUGCCGUACAUUCACCUUCUGGUUAUAAUACCGAGCAACCCUCUGCUGGUAAAUGGCUAAUCGCUUCGAUGCUUGCUCCCUCUUCUCUACAAGCAAAUUCAGAUUCAAGCACAUCUGCUCGUUGUUAUCUUGCUCAUUGAAAUGAUCUGUCCGGUGCGUGGUCGUUCCUAUCUCGGCUGGUACGACCGCUUCAUGUCCGAAGGCCAAGGCGAACGGUGUUUCUCCAGUUGCUGUUUUGUAGGUUGUCCUGUAUGCCCAUAAAACACAUGAUAGCUCAUCAACCCAUGCUCCAUUUUUUGCUCCAAGCCUGGUUUUCAAAAGCCUCUUGAUCGUCUUGUUGGCUGCUUCUACUUGUCCAUUGGAUUGAGGGUGAGCAAGCGAGCAGUACUUCAACUCUAUCCCGAGGUUCUGGCAGAAAUCCCUGAAACUGUGAUUAUCGAACUGCCUGCCAUUAUCCAUUACCAAGGCAUAGGGGAUCCCGUACCGACAGACCAGGUUUCUCCAUACGAAGUCUGUUGUCUUCUUCUCUGUGAUCUUGCUGAGGGCUUCUACUUCUAUCCACUUCAUGAAGUAGUCUAUUGCUACUAUUCCAUGUGUUGUUGCUCCUCGUCCCCUUGGCAACGGCCCGAUCAGAUCAAUUCCCCACUGAGCAAAUGGCCAAGGGGAGGCUAUAGAGGUGAGCUUCUCUGGUGUUUGGCUGGAGAAACUUGCAAAACUCUGGCAGCUUAAGCAGCUCCUGGUCUUCUCCUGCGCAUCCUGGUGCAUUGUCGGCCAGAAAUAUCCCUGCCUUAGAACCUUAUGGGCAAGGGACCUCCCACCAGAAUGGUUUCCGCAAAUUCCUUCAUGUACUUCUCUCAGUACGUAGUCUGCGUUGUCCUCAUCUAAGCACCGAAGGAACGUGAGUGUAUAUCCUCGCCGAUAUAGCACCCCAUCAAUCAUUGUGUACCUUGAGUCUUGGGCUCUAAUCUUCCGAGCUCGUAGCUUAUCUGGUGGUAACACCCCGUCUCUGAUAUAUGAAAUUAUCGGAUCCAUCCACGAGCCUUUUUGUUCUAUCUGCAUCACCUUCAAAUUCUGCUCGAUGCUAGGGUUGGUUUUCACUUCCAAAGGGACCGUCUUAGGCAUUUUAGGGUCUGCUACAACUGUCAUCCUGGCCAGAAUAUCGGCUCGACUAUUUUGUUCCCUUGGGAUUUGUAUCAACUUAACCGCUUCGAACUUCCUCAUCAUCUGCCUGACUUUCUUCAAGUACUGCUCCAUCUUCUCAUCUCUCGGUUGAAAACUUUCACUGACAUGAUUUGCGACCAGCUGAGAAUAAGUUCUGAUCUUCACCCUAUCUGCUUUCAUUGCCUUAGCCAAUUCCAAACCUGCUAUCAAGGCUUCGUAUUCUGCCUGGUUAUUUGUGGCUGUGAACUCUAACUUUACAGCAUAAGAAAUCUCCUCCCCCUCUGGGUCUUUUAAGACAAUUUCUGCUCCUGAUCCUUGCUCACCUGAUGACCCAUCUACAGACAUCUGCCAUACUCGAGCUUUGCUGCUAUCUGUAGCGGUGUCCAGUUGGUCCAAACAUACUUCAAGCUCCGCGAAUUCUGCUAUGAAAUCGGCCGUUGCCUGAGCCUUUAUUGCUGCUCGGGGUUUGUAAUCUAUGUCGAACUCGCUAAGCUCUAUAGCCCACUUCACGAGCCGACCAGAAGCAUCUGGCUUGUGCAGAGUUUGACGCAAUGGCUGGUUUGUUAUUACCGUGACGGGGAAUGCUUGAAAGUACGGCCUCAGCUUCCGAGCAGCAACCACAAGGGCGAGUGUCCAUUUCUCCACCAAUGGGUAUCUGGUCUCGGCAUCGAGCAGGGUCUUGUUGGUGAAGUAUAUCGGGUACUGAACCCCUUCUUCUUCUCUUACUAGAACAGAACUUGCAGCAUGAUUUGAUACCGCCAAAUAUAAGAACAACCUAUCGUCAUCCCUUAGUGUGGACAGCAAAGGUGCUUGUUGCAAGUACUGCUUCAAGUUCUGGAAGGCUUCUUCACAUUCUGGGGUCCAUUCUGUAUUCUUUCCUCUCCUUAUCACUUGGAAAAAUGGCUGACACUUAUCUGUAGCCUUGGAUAUGAAUCGGCUUAAUGCCGCCAACCUCCCCGUAAGGCUCUGUGUCUCCUUCAGGUUACGAGGUGACCUCAUCUGCACGAUCGCCUGGAUCUUCUCAAGAUUUGCCUCGAUCCUGCUCGAACAUGGGGAUUUGGUUGUAUCCCGAGAAUGCGUCCAUGAAGCUGAGCAAGCCAUGUCCGGCUUUUAAGUCUACAAGCUGGUCAAUCUUUGGUAAUGGAAAGCUGUCUUUCGGGCACGCCUUGUUGAGGCCCGUGAAAUCCACACACAUCCUCCACUUGCCAUUAGCCUUUUUUACUAACACCACAUUCGAUAUCCACUCGGGAUAAUUGACUUCCCGAAUGAACCCUGCUUUCAAGAGCUUCUCCACCUCGCCGUUUAUAGCCUCAUACCUCUCCUGGUUGAAGCACCUCCUUUUCUGCCUUACUGCCCGAGCACCUUUCUUUAUUGCCAGUUUAUGACAUGCGACCUAAGGGUCGAUUCUUGGCAUGUCUUCAUGUGUCCAAGCAAACACAUCUGCAUGAGCCCGCAAGCAUUGCACCAACUCCUGCUUCUGCUAUUCUUUAAGCCUCAACCCAAUUCGGAUCGUUUUUCCCAGAUCCUUUGGUCCUAGGCUCACUGUCUUCAACUCCUCUACAGGUUCUUGUCUACCAGUCUUGGUUCCCACUCGGGUAUCAAGGGAUGUUAUCUGCAUUGCUUCCCUUGCUGACGAGGAGUAAUAGCUUCGUGCGAUUCUCUGGUCUCCUCAUACCACUCCAACUACCCCAUUCACCCGGUACUUGAGAGCUAGAUAAUGGUUGGAUGACACCGCUUUACUCAUCCUCAGAAAUGGUCGACCUAGGAUCAUCUGGUAAGGACCCUCUUCAUCGACUACCAAAAAAUCCAGCAUCAUAGUCCUUUCUGUCGGGGAGCUUCCAAUCGUGAUAGGCAGCUCAACCACGCCCAGGGGGACCAGCUUUCCUCCUCCAAAUCCCUUCAAGGAGGUAUUGGUGUGCUCCAACCUCAGGUCUGUUAUUCUCAUCUCCUCCAGAGUUGACUUAAACAACACAUCAACUGAGCUCCCUGUGUCAACCAGUAUCCGGUCAAACUUCUUGCUGGCGACGGUGGCCUUGAUGACUAAGGCAUCCUUGUGUGGGUAUAGAAUCCCUUAUUCAUCCUCAUCUGUCCACAUGAUUGGCACUUGUCAGACUCUUGCUCGUUUGGCUGCUGGGGUGUUGAAGAACACAUCUUUACUAGUCAUGGCAAAUUUAGCAUAAUUUUUCCUCGAUCUGUUGGAAUCUCCGGCCAACGUUGGACCCCCUAACAAUCACUCUUACUAUAGGCUGCCUGUGGCUCAAGUUCCUGUUACCCUGCUCCUCUUCACAUAUCGGGGCCACCGUCGGAAAAGUCCCAUCGAUAAACUCGUCCAGGUAUCGAUUUCUCACCAAAUCUUUAACCUGGGUCUUAAGGUCUCUUCAUUCUAUUGUGGUAUGGCCAUGAGUACCAUGGAACUUGCAAUAGUGCCCCUAUCCCUUCUGCUGGGUAGCUUUGUUAUUGGGGCUGGGAGGUACAGUAAUCCCCAGUCCUUUAUGGCCUCACAGACUUCGUCCAGUGGGAUAUUCAAGGAAGUAUACUGCCCAUAGUCCUGGUUCUGGUCGAUCAUAUGCACUGCCCUUUCUCUGUUUGUGCCAUUCUGAGUUGGAGGUGGUGGCAGCGCUUCUGGUCUGCUCCCCCUACUACCAUGGGGGUGUGGGUGAAGGUGACCGUAUGUCGCGUCAUGCCUUCUCCUAGGCUCCCUAGCUGGUGAGCGAGAAGGUUGCGCCCUGCUGUGCUGAUACUGUGGUGGCCUCUAAUGAGGUUGGUAAGCGGUUACCCGACCUCUUGUACCACUACCUAAGGCAUGGUGGUCCCUCCUCUUAAUCGGCCCAUUUCCUGGUACGGCUCUCUUCUCUUUCCUCUUUAAUCCUUCCAGCUGGUCUGUCUUAAUCCGUGCCGCCUUUUCCUCCUCUAUUUCUAUGUCUCUCUUAGCCUGCUCGUAAGCAACUGAAUAUGUCUGAAUAACUGGGCUUCUCAAGUUAUAUCACAUCCGUCUUAUCUUCACUCCUUCUUUCAAUCCCCUUAAUGCCUGAGGAUGGUUGAAGGCUCCCAAGUCGAGGACAGCACGGUGGAACCUUUUGAUGAAUUCCCGAAGGGUUUCCUCCUCUCUCUGCUUCAUGCUCGUUAACUCCAUCAUAUCAUCUUCCGGUGCCAUUACCCCACGAAACUGCUCUGCAAAUUCCUGGCACAUCUGCUCGAAGGCUUUAAUGCUCCCUCGAGGAAGUUUCCUGUACCACUCGCGUGCUCGUCCCUCUAGAGAUAGUGGGAACACCCUGCAUCUUUGGGCUUGAGAUAGUCCUUGCACCCCGGUCAUGUUGUUGAAGCGCUCUAUGUGCACCAACGGAUCAGUUCGCCCCAAAUAUCUGAGGUCUGGGAGGCGAAAAUCUCUUGAAAUGACUGCCCUCAUGAUCUCUGCCGAGAGCGGGGUUUCUCCGUCCAGCAUUAUCCUCCAACCAGGUGCUCUACUCCUUCCUUGCAUAUCAUCAAUUACUUGCGCUAGUUUGCGCACUUCCUUCUCUAGCUGCAUUGCACGACCAGGGUCACGUGCUGUAACUUGAUCCCGCUCUUUCUCUACAUCAUGUAAGUAUUGCCUGAGCUCUGUUUCCUCUGCAUUCACCACCCCAUCAUCCUCAUCAAAAAUCUAUCUUCUUGGGGAUUGCUCUUCUUCUCUAUGAAUUCCUCCCCGUAAAGAUAAGUUACCUCUCUCACCACCAAAUCUCCUGGUGGUCUGACUUCUCAUCAUACCAUCGUGCCCUGGUGCCACUCUGCCACCUCUCACCCUUUUCUCAUGGGUUCCCCUUCGUUCACUCCUUAGUUCAUGUAGGAUGGUUGUCAGGGUCUCCAUCUGCUUUUCCAUCCGUUCCAUUCGGUCAUGCAUGGCUUUUUCCCGUGCUUCAAUGGCUAUCUCCCUUAACGUCAUGGAUUCGUUAAGCCUCAUAUCACCUCCUUGUGCACUACUUCCUCCUACAUCCAUUGUUUCUUCUCUUGCUUUGUUUUUCCUUUCUCUGUCAACAGAAGUUUUUUUAUCAGCUCCCUACAGACGGCGCCAAAAUGUUGAUGCGAGAUUCUGGUUACCCACUCGACCACGACCAGGAUCUCUGCUCAAUCAACUAACUCGACCACGAUCAGGAUCUCUCCUCGUAUGCUUUCUUCUUCAAAAAUUCCUGCGUACACAGAAACAAGUCAGAGCACGCUGGUUGUUUUCUCGGCGUAAACCCUCCGAUGCUCAAGUCAAAUAUGAAGGUUUUGUGUUCCUGGGAACAUUAGCCACUAGUCUUAAGCUUUGCUUUUAGUAUCGACUGUUGAAUGCUCUCUUUAUCUCAAUUUCUGUAUUAAAAGUUCUAACCCUUUUACCUUCGUUGGCUGCCUUUUUAUAGGCUCCUCCUGAGUCCAGAUCCUCCCCUCCAUUCACGUCCGUUACCUUCCCACCUCUCGAAAGUGGAUGCUCCGUUUCCGUAAUCGUGGGUGGUUGCAUGGCCUUCGUGCCUCGAUUCUCGGGCUGGAGAGUACGUCUUGCCAACUGUCGUUGAUUGGGUCUCCUCGCUUCAAACCUUAGCAGGACCAUUAUGCUUCUAACAGGAGAUCGGCUUCGCGGAUGGUGUAUUCGUGGACGAGCAGAUAUUCCUGCUUCUGUUCCCAUGCUACCAGACCUCAGCUCAUCACGGCUGGUCUCGUCGAAGUACAUCCCCCAAACAAUCUUCAUAUUAAUUACGAAAAUAUCCUCUAAAUUUUAACUUAACUAUUCAUAAUUCAAUGUCAUUCGGAUAUUUCGUUUAUUUGAGUAGGGAUUAGGGGUCAAUUUGAUACAAAUUCAAAAUUAUCCUCAUUUGCGAAGGUGAUAAAAGUUAGGGAUUUAGUUUGGAUGUCACUAGCCACAAAUAUUAAACGCAUGCAUCUAAUUCAAAAUUAGAGGCAUUAUCGUUAUAUUGACAUGUGUCACCAUCCCACAACCUCUCCAAUGAAAAAUUGACAUGCAUCUUGUGUGCUUCUUAUCAAAAUCCUGAAAAUUAAUCACAAAAGUUAUAUUUUUAUUAUAAAAAGAAGAAAGAAACUCCAUGAGUGAAGAAAAAAAAAAAAGACUUACAUUAAUAGUUUGGAUAAUCUAGAUUUCAAGUUGUCUAUAUUAGCUUGAUAUUUUUAUAAAUAUCAAGAUUUCAAGUUGUCUAUAGUAGCUUGAUAUCUUCUAAAAAAAACUCCAUCAACAUAUAUUUUAAUUUUACGUUAAUUAAUAAAUAGAAAAUCCAUUUUAGAAUUAAUUAAAGCAUUAUUUAUUGUUGCCAAAGAAGGAAGUAUUUAGCGAUAAGAAAAAAGUGUCUCAAAUAUAUGUUUAAAAAAAAAUAAUCAUGGUUGGUUGGACUGAUUGAAUUUUUCUUUUCUUUUUUCUUUUUUAAGAACUAAGACAAUUGGAUUGAUUGAGUAAUAAUAAAAUAUAUUUAUUUGGCAAAUGGCAGGUAGGCUUUCUUCUGGUGCAGAUUGAUUAGAGAGAAUAUAUAACAAUUUUAAGCUCGUAAGAUUCGGAACCUGCUUAUCUGUCGUGUGGGAAUCACUUCCGUGUCUUAUUUUUCUAGAAAAAUCUAGACCAUUGGAUUUACCAUUGGGCAGUAGAGAAAUGUUGAUCUUGAUUCCUGAUCAGGAUCGAAGUUUGAUUCUAUCUAACAUGAUAUCAGAUUGCGAAGCAAGCUAGUUGUGAGUAACUUGUUCUAUUUUGAUGGAAGAAACACAAGUUCUAAUAAAAAAUUCUAAGUAUACAUUUUUUUUUUUAAUUUUUUUAUUGUGAUCAAUAUAACUAGUCAAAUCUAUUUUUAAACAUUUUUUUUAAAUAUUUUGUUAACAAUGAUAUGAAAAUAUUCGAACCCCUCCUCAUAUAGUAAAGUGAAUUACUAUCCAACGAUCCAACUAACGUCUUCAAAUUGUAAAUUGCAAAUCGUGUGUUUGCUCCAUUACAGAGUUUCUUCAAUUUAAAAUAGAGAAUCGUUUGUGUUCUAGAUUAAUCGUGGGUCUAUAUCCAAAUCUAAAAAUUGACUAACUUGAUUUCUAUUAAAUUCUUAACCCUAACAAGAAAAAUAGAAGAUUAAAAAUGACUAAUUUGGUUUCUAUUAAUUUGAGUAACGAUUAAUAUUUAUCAUUCAAUAGUCACUUAUAUUAUCAAAAUCUUGGGUCGAAAAUAUUAGGAUAGGUGAUAAUUGGAAUUAAGUUGUAGAUAAGAUAGAAAUGGAUUUGGAGAGAGAUUGGAAUCCUGGGUAAAUCCGGUACACGUUGGUGUGUUAAAUUCUCGUUGACUUCACGUUGACCGAGGCAUUAUUGGAAGAAACAAGCAAGCUUAUUUUCUUCUCUCAUUUUUAACCUUUGUCUAAAUUUAUUGGUGUGAGGCCUUUGAGAUGGUAAAGUGUUAAAUCUGAGAAGAGUACCCACACUAUUACUCUUAUUUUAUCACGUUUUAUCACAAUAUUACUCUUAUAGUCAAUGUUUGAUUCGCACGAAAAAAAAUUUGCGAGGAUUGUGAGGGUUGAUGCAAUAUAAUUUAGAUGCAAAGUGUUUACAAGUGCGAUGCUUCGUAAGUGUACUCGAAUCAUUAUAAACUCACGUUAUUUUCAUAGUGAUUAUUUCAUUUGCACGUGAAUAUAAUCAUAUAUGUGGAGAAUUUUUUUUCCUAAAUUAUGGUCUUAUUUAGUAUUGAGAUGUUAUAUCUUUUAAAUUAUAAUUAAUAUUAGUAAAAAAACUGCAACUAUAAAAUAAAAGUUAAUAUUAUGUCCUGAAUAUAAUUGUUAAAUAAUAAUUUUGACAAAAUUAGUGAAGACAUACAGAUUUUUUUAUCAUAUAAGUGUAAAAUUCUAUCAACUUAGCUUUUAAGUUAUACAGCAUCUAUUGUUUACCAAAUACUUUAGUGUUGUAACUUUUAAGUUAUAACUGUCUAACCUUUAACCUCAAUCUCAAACGAGGCUUAUAAAGAUCAAGGAUUUCCUCAUAAAAAUUAUUACGUCAUGUGAUUGCUUAUUUAAUUUAUAUUUUCGUCAUUUAUCUUUAUUAAUUAAACAUGCACAUAUUAUUUCCUUUUAUUUUCUGCUUGGUAACCCGUAAAUACUAAUCCAGUACUACUAAUUUCAGACAGAAAAUUUUGAACUCUAGGCUGCAGUUUGACUCAAAAUGAUGGUCACUGGCUUCGCACCAUUUUACCGGUAUACAUUUCUACAAACUGAACAAGGCUAUUGAUUAUUAUUAUUAUUAUUUUAAUUUGUUUAUAAAUUACUAUUUUAAUUUUCACUUUUUAUUGGGUUGUUUAACGGAUUGGUGAAGCUGGUGGUCGUUGAUGCACUCACAAGGUACAAUUUUAUUUUAUAAUUUCAAAUUCGUAUUUUAAAACGCAGGUACAUUAUGUAUAUACAUAAUUAUUGAUUUUCGUAUGAGGGUGUUUUGAAAUAUUGCUAAAAGACCAAACUUUAAUAAACUAUUUUUGAUCUUUUUUUUUUUUCCUAAAGUUUGGGUGAUAUGCGCAUUUUAAAUUCACGUGGAACAAAAGUUAAUGUAUGUAUAAAAAUUCUUUUAUUUUACUGAGCAAAAUAGGCAAGCGAAAAAGUUUUGGCAAAUGAGUUGCAACUGAAUUCAAAACCAAUACAAUGCGAGCAUAGGAAAGAGGCCAGUGUUUAGGAUUUGAAUUUAGGUAGCGUUUACUUUUUGGAUUGGAUUGGGAAUCCUGGGGAGUGGGAAUCCUAGGAUUGAGAGUGUGGAGUGGGAGUGGGAGUAGGUUGUUUACUUACACUGGAAUGGAAGCAUGGAAUGGAGAUCAGAAUCCAAUUUAUGUGUUUACUUUGUCUUGGAUUGGGAGUAAAUAGUUUCAAAUUACAAUUUUAUCCUUAUUUAAAGAAUUAUAAUUUUAAUUACAAAACUAAUAAAAUAUAUAUUUAAUGAAUAAUAUUUAUUUUAUUAUAUUUGUAAAUUUAUUAUAAUUAUUAAUAUUCUUAAUUAUGAACAAUAAAUUAUUAAUUGUAAUUUUAAUAUAAAAUGAAAUGUUAUUUUAUUUAAUAUAAUUAUAUUAAAUUUAUUAUUAUAUAAAAUAAUAAUAUAAUAUUAUUUAGUACAAAAUUAAUAUUUUCUUAGAAUAAAGUAUUUAUUAUUAUUAUUAAAUAAAAUAUAGUACUAUUAUUUUUAAAAUAAAUAUAAUAAUAUUAUAUUUAUUAAUUCUCUAUUAAUAUAAUAAUAUUAUUUUAAAAUAAUUUUAACUUAGAAUCAAUGUAAAUUAUUAUUUAGUUAAAUAUAAUAUUAUUAUUUAAAUAAAUAUAAUAUUAUUAUUUAAAUAAAUAUAAUAUUAUUUAUUUUAUUUUAUUAAUUAUAAAACAUAAAAUAAAAAAAAAAAGGGUAGAAAUGGGAGAGGUGGGAGUGGAUUCCCACUCCCACCUCCCCCAAUGGGAGUCCCACUCCCACUCCCCACUCCAAAAAUGGGUGGGGCCCACGGAGUGGGACUCCCAAUUCCUUCUCAUUUUAAGUAAGUAAACGCUGGAGUGGGAGGAAUCCACACUCCUCACUCCCACUCCAGCAAGUAAACACAACAUUAGUAUUAAGCUGAAUUUUAUGGUAAGCUCUUUUAUAGUACUGUGAUUGAUAAGCUCAGCCCCGGAUUUGCUUUUGCUUUUGCUUUUACUUCAAGUGAAAGAGAGAGGAAACCUUUUGUUUUUUUCUUUGGUUUUCAACUAUGUUACCUAUACAAAGAGUCAAGAUACCUGCCAUAAGUGAUGGUGUUAAAAAGAUUAAGCAGCGCACACAAUCUUACUGUCGUCUAGACCAUCCAGUGAUGACUCUAGUCUUUUGGUUACGUUAGCUUUAGUUGAAAGAAGGGCCAAUUUAACAAAGACUAGAUUUGAUGGCUUACUAUGUUUAAUGUAAUGCUAAUUCUCAGGGAAUCUAAUGUUAUAACUUAUAAGACGAUCUCCUAUGAUGAAUAACAGUAACACAUUACUGUGAUUGAGAAAACUCAGUUACAAUAAACUAUUCAUUUACUCAUUGCGGAGAUUGAAUAGCAAAUAGAGAAUAGAAUGAAGCAGAGGAAUCUCAUUGCCAAUAAAAUUGACCCUCUUUAAUGUUAUAUGGCACAGGUGUGGAGGAAGAACAAGUUACUUGCAGUUUUUAUUGUAAAAUAUACAGGUAUGACCAUGAUCAUUACAGUUGGGUUUUGAUAAUUUCAGAUGCUUUUUAAAAAAAAAAAAAAUUAUGACAUCUUUGAUUUACGGUAGUUUUGCAGAAAAAAAAAUAUAAAAAUUAAGAGGGAUGAGUUAAACUGACGAUUACAAUCAUUCCAGCAAUGCUGAUGAGUGAUACAUCACUUGAAAUUUACUUGUCAGUUGCUGAAAUGAUGAAAAAAAAACAAUAAACGAUAACAGUAAUAAUGUUCCGUUGCUGAAAUUCAAUUUUGACUUUCUACUCUUGGCUUUUAUGGAAAGUAAAAUGACUUGUAUAUUAUCCUCAUACAAUCCACUCUACAUAAUGAUAUCAUUUUAAUAAGGCAAUGGCUGAUGAUCUCCAUUUAAAAACUACAUCAUUUUUUUUGCUUCAUUUAACUUUUUGGUUGUUGAAAAUAACCUUAAUUAUCAAAUAAUUGGAGAAAGAGUAAAGAACAUUUAACAAAUUUAUGUGCAAAAAAAAAAAAGGAGAAGUUGAAGAGAAAGGGUGCUUGCAGAAGUGGGUGUCAAAGAUAAAUCGGUCCAUAAGAAUUAUUGUGGUUAUUUUUUUGGCAAUAUAAGAACUUAUGCGAUAGCAUUUUUUAUGGGUGCAUAUAACCUCCCUUUAAAAAUAUAUAUAAUAAUUACUGCUUAAUAUAGUAUUAAAUACAAAAAUAUCAAUAUUUGACUACUUAAAUUUAUAUCAUUAGGUCCUUAAAAUUUAAAAUGGAAGAUAUGAAAGGAAAUAUAUAUAAAUUUCAUUGUCCUGGUAAAGGGCCCUCUUAUAAUCUUAUAAUAUUUGAACUUUGAUAGAUUUUUUGAAACAAAUGUACUUUUAUUUGUGUACAAUCAAUAUUUACUCAUUUAUUAUAUUUUAAUUUAUUAACUAUUAAUCAUGUAAGUAUACUUAGUCAGAAAAAUUAUAUCAAGAGAAAAUUCUAAUUUCACGCAAAAACAAAUACCAAAACAAAUAUCUCAAUUUCUAUACUAUUCACUUUCCUGUAGAAUCAAUUAUUUAAAAUGCAAGUUUGUGGCUACAGAAAACUCGCCAAAGAAAAAAGAUAAUAACAAUUGAGCAUUGAUAGCAAAACUAAUGCAUCCAAUUCUUCUUGACUUGAUGAGAUGGCGCCAUAACGUAGACACAAGUACCUAAAUUGACCGGCACUGAGUGAUGUGAAUACUACCAGCCAGUUCAUCUCUUCCAGUCUUGCUUAAUCACAAUCACAAACACCACGAGAUCGACAUUUGCAUUAUAUAUAUCUUCUGCAAUCGAAACACCUUGCAUUACCAAAUAAGCCCGUAACAGACAAAGCAAUCUUUCAUGGAGAGAAACCUUAGUCUCAGUAUGAUCACUGUGUCAUUAACCUACUGCCUGCUUCUUUGCUUGGUUGCUGCAGCAGCAGCAGCGGCAAGCAACAAUAUUACCACAGACCAACAAGCUCUUCUUGCCCUGAAAGAUCAUAUAAUUUAUGAUCCUACCAGCCUUUUAGCUCACAAUUGGACCUCGAAUACCUCUGUUUGUACCUGGAUUGGCAUCACUUGUGAUGCCAAUAGCCAUAGAGUCAAAACCUUAGAUAUUUCUCAAUUCAAUCUACAAGGCACCAUCCCUCCUCAACUUGGAAAUCUCUCUUCACUCACAACACUUAAUCUUAGUCAUAACAGGCUUUCUGGAAGUGUUCCCUCCUCCAUCUACACCAUGCAUACGCUAAAAUUUCUUGACUUCACUGAUAACCAGCUCUCUGGUUCAGUGUCUUCCUUCGUCUUCAACAUGUCUUCAAUAUUAGUAAUUCGUUUGACCAAUAACAUAUUUUCUGGUGAGCUUCCGAAAAAUAUUUGCAACUAUCUUCCUUAUUUGAAGGCCCUUUUCUUAAACAAAAACAUGUUUCAUGGCAAAAUUCCUUCUGCUUUAUCAAAGUGCAAACAACUGCAACAAUUAAAUUUGCAGUUCAAUAAUUUAUCCGGUGCAAUACCAAAAGAAAUCGGCAACUUGACUAUGCUCAAAGGGAUAUAUCUCCUCUACAACAAACUCCACGGUAUGUUCACAAUACUAUAUAAAUAUUUUAAUUUAUCACUUAUUAUCUUUCUUGAAUAAUUUAGUUAAGAUCUUGUAAGAGAGAUUUUUUGCAUCUACGUUAAUUUACCAGGUGAGAUACCCCACGAAAUCGCUAAUCUUCCAAAUCUAGAGGCUUUAGCGCUUGGAAUCAACAACGUAGUUGGUGUGUUACCAGCUCCCAUCUUCAACAUGUCAACACUGAAGGUACUUAUCCUCAUAAAUAACUCUCUCUCCGGAAGCCUUCCAUCAAGAGUAGACCUUUCACUUCCAACUGUUGAGCAACUUAACUUGGCACUUAAUAGAUUUUCUGGAACCAUUCCUAGUUCCAUCACCAAUGCUUCUAAGCUCACCUUUCUAGAGUUGGGAGCAAACACAUUUUCGGGGUUUAUUCCAAACACAAUUGGUAAUUUAAGAAACCUUAAGUGGCUCGGCUUGGCUAAUAACUCCUUGACAUCUUCAACCUCAAAAUUGAGCUUUCUUUCCUCUUUGGCAAAUUGCAAGAAAUUAAGAUUCGUAAACGUAAUAGGCAAUCCACUGGACGGCUUCCUUCCAAGUUCAAUAGGUAAUCUUUCUGUGUCUUUGGAAACACUUGGCAUCGGCAAUUGCAGUAUUAGUGGCAACAUUCCUCCAGCAAUUAGCAAUUUAAGCAACUUGUUGACCUUAGUAUUAGACGGCAAUAAAUUGACUGGACCAAUCCCAACUACAUUCGGCCAACUGCAGAAACUCCAAGGCUUAGAUCUUGCAUUCAAUAAGUUGGUAGGUUCAUUCCCAGAUGAGCUUUGCCAUCUGGCAAGGCUGGAUCAAUUGGUCUUAUUUGGCAAUAAGCUUUCAGGAUCUAUACCUUCAUGCUUAAGUAACCUCACUUCUCUAAGAUCUCUCUAUUUAGGGUCCAAUAAGUUUACUUCUGUUUUUCCCUCAACCUUCUGGAGCCUAAAAGACAUCUUGUUCUUUGACUUUUCAUCAAAUUUCUUGGUUGGUCCUCUUUCUUUAGAUAUAGGAAAUUUGAAGGUGCUUCUAGGAAUAAGUUUAUCAAAAAAUAAUUUAUCCGGUGAUAUCCCAGCCACAAUUGGAGGACUGAAAGAUCUUCAAUUUAUGGACCUAGCAUAUAAUAGAUUGGAAGGCCCAAUUCCUAAAUCAUUUGGUGACUUGAUAAGUUUAGAAGUUCUGAAUUUAUCAAAUAAUAAAAUCUCUGGGUCUAUUCCAACAUCCAUGGAGAAACUCUUUUACCUCGGAGAGUUAAAUCUCUCUUUCAAUAAACUAGAAGGUGAGAUUCCUAGUGGAGGAACUUUUGCCAACUUCACAGCUGAGUCAUUUAUGGGAAAUGAGUUUUUGUGUGGUUUACCAAAUCUUCAAGUCCAACCAUGCAAAGUUAGCAAGCCGAGGACAGAACAUAAAUCAAGGAAAAAGAUACUUCUCAUUGUGAUUGUUUUGCCAUUGAGUAUUGCUCUAACAAUAGCAAUCACUCUAGCUCUCAAAUCUAAGCCGAUCGAAUGUGGAGAAAGAAGCACAGUGUUGUCAAAUGAUAGUAUCUUGUCAUCACAAGCAACACUAAGAAGAUUUUCAUACUUAGAACUUUUACAAGCAACAGAUAAUUUUGCUGAAAACAGCAUAAUUGGCAGAGGAGGUUUCGGUUCCGUUUAUGGAGCAAGACUUGAAGAUGGGAUGAAGAUUGCAAUAAAAGUGUUUCACCGGCAAUGUGCAAGCGCAUUGAAGAGUUUUGAGGCUGAAUGUGAAGUGUUAAAAAAAAUUCGCCAUCGAAACCUUAUCAAAGUUAUCAGCAGUUGCUCGAACGAUGACUUCAAAGCAUUAGUCCUAGAAUACAUGUCCAACGGGAGCUUAGGGGAUUGGCUGCAUUCGAGCAAUUACGUGCUGAAUAUUUUUCAAAGGUUGAACAUAAUGAUUGACGUUGCAUCAGCUUUAGAAUACCUCCACUUCGAUCAUUCAACUCCUAUUAUUCAUUGUGACUUAAAGCCUAGUAAUGUAUUGUUGGACGAAAAUAUGGUUGCUCAUUUGAGUGAUUUUGGCAUAGCAAAGCUUUUAAGUGGAGAAGAUGAGUCUACGAUGCGAACAAAAACCCUUGCCACUAUAGGUUAUAUGGCACCAGGUUUGCUUCAAACAACUUUUUUUUUUAAGUUCAUUUUAAAUUUUCUAAAUCAUUGAUUUUUACGAUCCUCAUAUCAAAUUGUUAUUGAUUAUUUAUCUAAUUGUGAAAUUAAUUUGAUUCAUAGAGUAUGGCAUAGGAGGAGAAGUAUCUACAAAAAGCGAUGUUUACAGCUACGGGAUUAUGUUGAUGGAAACUUUUACCAAGAAAAAACCCACAGAUGAAAUUUUUGUUGGAGAAUUGAGCUUAAAGCAUUGGGUUAAUGACUUGCUUCCUAAUUCAUUAGUGGAAGUUGUGGACAAAACUCUGCUAAGUGGAGAGGAAAAACAUUUUGCAUCAAAGGGGCAAUGUCUGUUGUCUAUCUUUAGUUUGGCUCUGGAGUGUACAAUGGAAUCACCGGAAAAGAGGAUUAAUGCAAAAGAUAUUGUUACCGGAUUACUCAAGAUAAGAGACACAUUGAGUAAAAGGAUAGGAAAUUUAAGUUAAUUUCGUUUGCUUUCAUUGAUAGUUAAUUCGAAUUCAUGUAAUAAGUGCAAGAAUCUUAUAUCUUUUCCUUUGAUAUAUUCUUUUUCUUGAGAAAACUGUUGUAGUCAUCUUGUUUCCAUGGGAAGAGUUGAUUUAGUUCUUCCAAAAAAUGCUACUGAUGACCUUUGUUUAAUACUUUCUCUUUUUUUGCACGUGUUUAGGUAGAACAGUGGUUUGGCUGCAGGCUAAUAAGUCAAGCUACGCCAAAAGCGUAUGAUUUAAUUUAUUAAACAUAACUUCAAGUUCAAGAAGUGUUUCUCAUUGCCACCAAUGCUUUGGACACCUGUUGGAAGGUUUGUUGUCCUCAGCUUUUGUUUAGAGCAAAAGUUCGAGUCCCAUAAAGGCUCAAACAUUCCUUUCCUUCAUCCCGAGGGCGCCUUCUGUCCUCUGUUUUCUGUUUCCACACACAAAUAGCAAAAAGAAAUUAGAAUGACAACUGGGACAUAUAUAAGAGUGAAAUAAUUAAAAAAAUUAUGCUUUUUUGUCUGUCGUGUUAAAAUCGUAAGUACCGAAGUACUGUGAAAGAGAUUAAUUUACAGAAACUGAAGCCAAGGGUUCAAAAAAAAACUAUUGAUGUAGCUAGGAUGCAAUGUCAUAUUCAUACAGAGAUGAAGUAUAUUAUUUACGGCUGGUAAAGACUAGGAAUUGAUGUAGCUAGAAUCCAAAGAUGAUAAGGUAUGUUGUGCACUAUUGUUUUAUUCUACGGUCAAUCUUGACCCUUGGUGCUUGGCUCUCAAUCUUGUCCAUUGAUCUUCUCUGAUCUUGGAAACUUCAAGACCUUUCACUCUCAUGCCUUAUUAUUGGUGUCUUCCAUGCUGUAGCUUUCAAAUACAAGCUUUCCCGCCAACUUGCCAAUUAUUUGUCCGUUGGUGCAUUUUAUCAAACAGUUUGGAUACUUAUACCAAACGCCUUCUGUUUUAACUCCCCCCCUCAAGCUCAAGCAUCUGGGAAGACAUUAAUAAGCUUGUUUCUCAAGUAUAUAUAUCUGAAAAUUAAAUUUUAUAAAUUAUAUUCGGACUCUACAUUUUCUAAUGAACAUUGGUUUGGCUUAUAAGCUUAUUAUACUCAGGUUUGGUAGGAGCCAUAUCACAAUGUUAACGCUAACCAGCAGUACUGCCAAAGCUGGCCAACUCAGCCUGCAAGUUCAUAGCAACCAUAGUUACAGUCCUAGUCCGGUACAAAAAUCGUAAAUAUCAUUUACAUUACAAUGGUGUGGGGGGGGGGGGGGGGGUUUGUUGGGUGGCUGGAGAGGGAAUCAACAAAGAUCUAGAACGAAGGGUAGGCUUGUAUCCGUAACCCAUGUCACAGUGUUAAUGCUAACCGUGGACCUUAUUAUAUUAGUUGCUGGACUAUUAUUACUUUUGAAUUGCCAUCUUUGAAUUUACGUUCAUUUCUGCCUCGACAAGAUGUUUGUAAAAAUAUGCUAAUUAUUAAUGUGCCGUGUACAAAUAAGCAUGUUACUGUGCAAGGAUUGUAGUCAUGAUACAGUGGUGCAAAAUGUACAUGCUACUUCUUCUUUUCCUCAGUUAGGAUCACCGUCGUCACCAUUUAAUUCUAAGUCCACCCAUGCGGCCUAUGCAAUUGAAAUCAUGUGACCAUGUAAUUUUAGGUUCUGAUCUUCCUUGUGGGGUUAAACCUCAAAACUGUGACCAUUUUGGGACUUUUAAUCAGUUCCAAUCAUUUUCUGGUUCCCAUUCGUCCACCCAAGCCUUGAUUCCCCCGAUAUAGCAUUGCAAUAUAUAUAGGAAUAUUAAGGUUGUGUACAGUUUUUUUCUUUUCUGUUUUUAAUUUGAUAUAAAUUAUCAAUCAUGAAUCUACAUAAAGUUUCAACUAGGCUACUACCACAAUAAACAUUUGGAUGAACUAUUAUUGAAACCUUAUUGAGAAGUAGGACAUGUCGCAUACCAAUGCACUGACAUAUCUUCAAAUAGUGGUAACUCCACACAACAUGGCACAAUAAAUUAAGAGUUAUAUAGAUAAAAUCUUUCACUCUUUGGUAAUCAUCAAUGUCGGCAUGACAAUGCGUCCCACAAAUAUGGCUCCUUAUCAAAAUUCAUAAAUCAAAACAAAAAUAGAGAAUCAUAUUUGUUCUAGAUUGUAGUGAUGGUUGUUGAUGCACUCACAAUUUACAAUUUUAUUUAAUAUCUUCAAAUUCGCAUUUUAAAAUGCCCAAAUGUUUGUGUAUACAUAAUUAGUAAUCGAUUCUCAAGCAUGGCCAUUUAAAAGCAUUGCUGAAAGACAAAAUUUUAAUUUACUAUUUUUUGUCUUUUAAUUUUCUUUAAGUUUUUAAUGAUUCCGCAUUUUAAAAUCCUGUGGAACGUGUAUGUAAAAUUCUUUUAUCUUUUAGAGGAAAAUGGGCAAGAGAAGAAGAUUUGGCAAAGGAAUUGCAACCGCAUUUGGAGCUAGUUUUAAUUUUGUCUUUUAAUUCUUUUACACUUGGCUUUUGUUAUUGAUGUCAACUUCGAUGUGUGUGAAGACUCGAGCUCACUCCCUUAUGAGCUAGUUUUAUUUUUCUACUUUCACAUUAAGAAAAAUACUCCUAUUUUUAAGGAAAAGUCAAGUACCUGUAGUUGUGAAGACUCGAGCUCACUCCCUUAUGAUAAAUCUUCAUAUUAAUUACGUAAAUAUCCUCUAAAAUUUUAAAUUAGCUAUUCAAAAUUUGAUGUUAUACGGGUAUUUCAUUUAUUUGAGUAGGGGUUGGGGGUCAAUUGGAUACAAAUUCAAAAUUAUCCUUACUUGAGAUGGUGAUAAAAAUUGGGGAUUUAAUUUGGAUGUCAUUAGCUACAAAUAUUAAACUCAUACAUUUAAUUCAAAAUUGGAAAGCUGAUAUAUGCGCAUCAUCCCACAACCUCUCCAAUGAAAAAUUAACACGUUUCUUGUGUGCAUUUGAUCAGAAUCCUGAAAAUUAAUCACAAAAUUGUCCUGGAAAAAAAAAUGCUUACAUAAAUGGUUUGAAAAAUCUAGAUUUCAAGUUGUCUAUAUUAGCUUGAUAUUUUUAUAAAUAGUCAUCCUCUCAAAAAAAUUCCAUCAAAAUAUAUUUUAAUUUUAUGUUAAUUCAUAAACAUGAAAAAAUCAUUUCAGAAUUAAUUAAAACAUAAUUUAUUGUUUCUCAAAAAAGGUAGAACUUAGUGAUAAGAAAAAAGUAUCUCAAAUAUAUGUAAAAAAAAAAAAAUCUUGGUUAGUUGGAAUGAUUGAAUUUGUUUUUUUUUUCUUUUUUAAGAAUUAAGACAAUCGGAUUGAUUGAGUAAUAAUAAUAUAUAUUUAUUUGGCAAAUGGCAGGUAGGCUUUCGUCUCAUGCAGAUUGAUUAGAGAGAAAAUAUAACAAUUUUAAGCUCGUCAGAUUCGAAGCUGCUUUCCUGUCGUGUGGGGAUCACUUCCGUGUCUUAUUUUUCUAGAAAAAUCAGGACCAUUGGAUUUAUGCGAAUCGUACUGAACAUUGGAAUUGAUGUAUAAGAAAAAAAUUCUGUAGUUUAAGAAGAACAAAAAGGCAUGUUGAAUAGAUUACAAUAGUUUAAGGAAAAAAAUUAUUCAAUUGGGAAUUUUUUUUUCUUUAAUUUUUGUUGUACUUGAUUGAGAUUUCUCCUUAGUCCUUAGAGUUUUAAGUUUGGAAACCGUAGGAUCAGUAAUUUCGUACUUCCUUUGCAAGCUGAGUAUAAGGAUGAAAUUCUUUUAAGAAAUUAAAAAAGAUAAAAAAAAAGCAUACCAAUAGGUAAUUAUAAAUAACCACAAAUAAAUAUAAACAAAAUGUUUAUGAAGUAAAUUAAACAUGCUCAUAUUAUUUUCUUUUAUUUUCUGCUUGGAAACCCAUAAAUACACUAAUCCAGUAUUACUAAUUUCAGACAGAAAAUUUUGAAUUUAACCAGUAUACACUAAUCCAGUAUUAUUUUUAUUAUUAUUUUAAUUUGUUUAUAAAUUACUAUUUUAAUUUGUUUAUAAAUUACUAUUUUAAUUUUCACUUUUUAUUGGGUUGUUUAACGGAUUAGUGAAGCUGGUGGUCGUUGAUGCACUCACAAGGUACAAUUUUAUUUUAGAAUUUCAAAUUCGUAAUUUAAAAUGCAGGCACAUUAUGUAUACAUAAUUAUUGAUUUUCAUAUGUGGGUGUUUUGAAAUAUUGCCAAAAGACCAAACUUUAAUAAACUAUUUUUGAUCUUUUUUUUUCCUUUGUACCUAAAGUUUGAGUGAUAUCCGCAUUUUAAAUUCAUGUGGACCAAAAGCUAAUGUAUGCACAAAAUUCUUUUAAUUUUUUCCGAGAAAAAUGGGUAAGAGAAGAAGAUUUUUCUCUUGAAAAAGAAAAAAUAAUACGUUGCAAGCAUAGGAAAGAGGCCAGUGUUUUGGAUUUGAAUUUAGUAUUGGGUUGAAUUUUAUGCUAAGCUCUUUUAUAAUACUUUAUAGAAUAAAAAUGUAAGGGAUAUUUGGCUAGGCAUGUACUUUAUAGAAUAAAAAUGUAAUAAUGUAAGUCAGUGCAAUGAUCUGCUGUCAUAGUAGUUAUAAAUAUUUAUGUGUAAUACAGUAACAUGAUGCUUAAUCAGUUAAAAAAAAAUUGUAUAUCUUUUUUUAUUUUUUUUAUUGUGAUCAAUAUAACUAGUCAAAUUUAUUUUUAAAUAUUUUUUUAAAAAUAUUUUUAUCGUGUGUUUGCUCCAUUACAGGGUUUCUUCAAUUUAAAAUAGAGAAUCAUUUGUGUUCUAGAUUAAUCGUGGGUCUAUAUCCAAAUCCAAAAAUUGACUAACUUGAUUUCUAUUAAGUUCUCAACCCUAACAAGAAAAAUAAAAGAGUAAAAAUGACUAUUUUGGUUUCUAUUAAUUUGAGUAACGCUUAAUAUUUAUCAUACAAUAGUCACUUAUAUUAUCAAAAUCUUGGGUCGAAAAUAUUAGGAUAGGUGAUAAUUGGAAUUAAGUUGUAGAUAAGAUAGCCUUUCAAAAAAAAGAAAAGAAAAAAAGUUGUAGAUAAGAUAGAAAUGGAUUUGGAGAGAGAUUGGAAUCCUGGCUAAUCCGGUGCACGUUGUUGCGUUAAAUUCUCGUUGACUUCACGUUGACCGAAGCAUUAUUGGAAGAAACAAGCAAGCUUAUUUUCUUCUCUCAUUUUUUACUUUUGUCUAAAUUUAUUGAUGUGAGCCCUCUGAGAUGGUAAAGUGUUAAAUCUGAGAAGAGUACCCACACACCCAUUUGUUGGAGGAUUAACAAUUAAAACACACUAUUUUAUUUCUUCAACAACACUCCUCACCAAUUACAACUCUUAUUUUUCACUCUCUACACCUUAGAGAUUUUGCUGCUUCACUUGAUGUUUAAACCAAAAGGGAGAGGGGGUAUUUAUAUAUGAAACAAACUAAUCACAACCAUUCAUUUAUUCAACUAAUAAACACAUCCUCACCAUCCAUUAAAACCUACCACUCACCUACUUCACCAACCACACCUAACACACCUAACACAAAUAAUUCAAACCUCACCAACCAUACCUACUCAUGGAACCUUCCAUGAGUUGGGCUUGAUUUAUUCAUCUUGGAUCAAGUUUAUGAUCCAACACCUCUCCUUAAACUUGAUCCUGUGACACCAAGCAAACUUCUGAAUCUUACAAAGUCUUCUUGUUUGAGUGGUUUAGUGAAGAUAUCAGCUGCUUGAUCUUGUGAUUUUACAUACUUGAUUUGCACUUCUUUUCUUGCAAUACACUCUCUUAUGAAAUGAUAGCGAGUGGCUAUGUGUUUACUUCGAUCAUGAAAGACUGGAUUCUUGGAUAGGGCAAUUGCUGAUUUGUUAUCAACACAAAUCUCAGUUGGCUCUUCUUGUGCCAAACUCAACUCCUUUAGCAAAUUUCUGAGCCAAAUUGCAUGACAAACACUUGAUGUGGCAGCUACAUAUUCAGCUUCACAGGUGGAUAGCGUGACAAUUGGUUGCUUCUUUGACAUCCAUGUGAAAGCAGUAUCUCCUAUGAAGAACACAAAUCCUGUGGUGUUAUUUCGAUCAUCUACAUCUCCACCCCAAUCGCUAUCGCUAUAUCCAACAAGCUUGUAGUCAUUAGAAAAUGAGUAUAGCAAGCCGAAAUUAGUUGUACCUUUGAUGUAGCGAAGGAUUCUUUUUGCAGCUUUAAAAUGGGUGGUCUUUGGAUUCUCCAUGUAUCGGCUCACAAGUCCAACAACAUAAAGGAUAUCUGGUCUUGUGCAUGUCAAAUAACGUAGGCUUCCAACCAAACUUUUAAAGAAUGUUGGAUCUAUAUCUUCGCCUUCAUCAUGUUUGGAUAACUUGACUCCGCAUUCCACUGGCGUGCUUAUAGGCUUACAAUCAUUCAUCUUGAACUUCUUGAGAAUCUCCUCUGCAUAGCUUUCUUGGGAGAUAAAUAUGCUUUCUUCCUUUUGCUUGACUUCAAUGCCGAGGUAAUAUGCCAUCAGUCCGAUGUCAGUCAUCUCGAACUCUUUGAUCAUCACUCUCUUGAACUCUUCAAACAAGCCUGGAUUACUUCCAGUGAAAAUGAGAUCAUCCACAUACAGGCACACAAUCAAAAUAUCUCCAUAUUUUUCUUUGACGUAGAGAGCAUGUUCAUAUGGGCAUUUGGUGAAGCCUUUCUCUUGAAAAUACUUGUCAAUUCUGCUAUUCCAUGCCCUUGGUGCUUGCUUUAACCCAUAAAGAGCUUUCUUCAAUCUCAAAACUUUGUCCUCGUGUCCUUUCACCACAUAGCCUAAUGGUUGUUCGAUGUAAACUUCUUCUUCAAGGAAUCCAUUCAAGAAAGCAGACUUCACAUCCAUUUGAAAAAUCUUCCAUUUGUUCUGAGCAGCCAAAGAAAUAAUAAGUCUAAUAGUUUUAAGUCGAGCUACAGGAGCAAAUACCUCGUCAUAGUCUAUGCCAGCCUUUUGACUAUAGCCUUUUGCAACUAGCCUCGCCUUGUGCCUUUCAAUUUCUCCCUUCGCAUUUCUUUUUGUUUUAUACACCCAUUUGACACCGAUCGCCUUGUGACCUUUUGGAAGAGUAGUAAGCUCCCAAGUAUCAUUCUUCACAAUGGCUUUGAUUUCUUCAUCCAUUGCAAUUCUCCACUUCUCAUCUAGUGCAGCUUCUUGGAAGUUGACUGGCUCACAAUCAGCAAAGAGGCAAAAGAGAGUGAGAUUAUCAUGUCUCUCAGUUACCUCAUAGAGAUCUUGAAGACUCCUUGCACGUUCUUCGGUUCUUUCAUUUAAGAAAGACGGCGGUGAAUCUCCGCAUGUGGUUGGUGCUGGUGAGAUAGGUGGAGUGGCAGGCUCUUGUUGUUCGUCUACUUGUUUUACCUGUGUAUGAUCAUCUUCUUCAAUGGGAAAGAAGUUGAAGUCAUCCACACCAGAGCCAAAAUCUCAUUCUCCUUCUUCAUCAAAAAUUACAUCUCGACUGAUCACAAUCUUUCCGUUGUUUGGAUUGUAAAGCUUGUAUCCUUUGGAGUUGUUGUCGUAGCCGAUGAAGAUGAACAACUCACUUUUGUCAUCCAGCUUGGCUCUACUUUCGUCUGGUACAUGUACAUGGGCAAUGCUUCCGAAAACUCUUAGAUGGGUGAUGCCAGGUUUUCUUCCACUCCAAGCUUCUUGUGGCGUCUUGCCCCACACGCUUCUUGUUGGAGAUCGAUUGGAUAAGUAGAUUGCACAUGCAACUGCUUCAGCCCAAAAUUCUUUAGGUAGCCUCUUACUCUUAAGCAUGCUUCUUGCCAUGUCGAGGAUGGUUCUGUUCUUCCUUUCUGCAACACCAUUUUGUUGGGGGGAUCUUGGAACUGUCAAAGGGCGUCGAAUUCCAUUUGCUUCACAAAACUCUAAAAAUUCUUUGGAAGUGAACUCUCCACCUCGAUCAGAUCUCAUGGCUUUAAUCUGGUAUCCACUUUCUUUUUCAACUGCAGCUUUAAACUUCUUGAAAGCUUCAAAGACUUCUGAUUUUUGCUUCAAAAAAUACACCCAAGUUUUUCUUGAAAAAUCAUCUAUAAAAAGAAUGAAGUAGUUACUUUUACCAAGGGAGUUUGGCUUGAAUGGACCGCACACAUCAGUAUGAAUGAGCUCGAGUGGCUUCUGAGCUCUUGAGUUUGACUCCUUUGGAAAGCUCUUUCUGAACUGCUUGCCAAGUAAACAUCCUUCACAAAGUUGAUCAGGGUGAUUGAUGUAUGGUAAGCCUUUCACCAUGUUCUUCUUAGAGAGUAGCUCCAGUCCUCUAAAGUUGAGAUGCUCAUAUCGAAGAUGCCAAGUCCAGGAUUGAUCUUUGUGACAGGCUUUGAGACAUUUUGCAACAUCAUUUUGAAUAUUUAAAGGAAACAUUCUAUUCUUUGACAUUCUCACUUUUGUAUUUAGAUUUCCUUUUUCAUCUCUUAGAAAAAGACUAUAAUCUUUUAAGUGAAUAUCAUAGCCCUUUUUCUAAAAGUUGACCUAAACUAAGAAUGUUGCUUUUCAUAUUGGACACAUAGUAAACAUUCGAAAUUAUUUGGUGGCUACCAUCUUUUGCACGAAAAAGAAUGUUACCUCUACCCUUCACUGGUACUUUUGAAUCAUCUCCAAAAGUGACACUGCCAUUCACAAAUUCACUUAGUUGCACGAACAUGCUUCUGUUUCCACUCAUAUGAUUGCUAGCACCUGUGUCAAGAUACCAUGUAUUUUCUUGACCUCCAUUUGUGUCAUUGCGUGCUAGUAAAAGUGUGUCAUCUUCACCAUUUUUCUCUUCAGCAUAGUUCACUCUCUCUUUAAUUCUGGUGCUUGGAGCUCUGCAUUCUGAAGCAUAAUGCCCAAACUUUUGACAAUUAUAGCACUGUACUUGGGAUUUGUCAUACCUCGAUCUUGAAUUGCCUCUGCCUUGUUCUCUGGUUGAGCUUUCUCCUUUGGCAUAAUUGGAGUUGUUGUUGUUGAAAUUCCAACCUCGUCCAUGACCACGACCUCUACCUCGUCCUCGACCUCUACCUCGGACAUAGUGCCUUCUCUCAUUGUCGGAGCUUUCUUCUCUUUUCUUUGGAUUGACUUCCAUCUUGAGAAGUUGUUCUUCGAUUCCUUGCUUCUUUUUUUGUUUUUCUUCAUAGGCUUGCAACCUUCCUUGAAGUUGCUCGAUCGUCAUAUCCUCCAGAUCUCUUGUUUCUUCAAUUGUCAUAACAAUAUGAUCAAACUUCGAGUCUACUGAUCGAAGUAUCUUUUCAAUGAUCCUUACCUCUUUUAACUCCUCGCCAUUUCUUUUUAAUUCAUUGGAAACGGUCACAACUCGAGUAAAGUAGUCAGAAAUUGACUCCGACACCUUCAUGUGUAAGGACUCAAAUUCUCCUCGUAAUGUUUGGAGACGAACCUUCUUAACUUGCUCUGCUCCUUUGUAAGAGGUCUUUAGUUUCUCCCAUGCUUCUUUUGAGGAGGUUGUACCAGCAAUCUUUUCAAAAGCAUCUUCAUCUAAUGAUUGAAAGAUGAGAUACUUUGCUUUAUUCUCUUUCUUCUUCAAGUCUUUUAAAUUCUCCUUCUGCGCCGCAGUUAAAGUGGCUUCAUUUUCUGGCACAAUAAAGCCUUUCUCCACGACAUCCCAUACGUCAUGUGCACUCAAUAGAGCCUUCAUUUUAAUACUCCAAUUGUCAAACUUACUUCCUUUUAAUUGUGGAACUUGAAAUGACAUCAUCAUACCACCGUUUGCCAUAACUCACAAAUUGAGUGAGAAUUUGGAGAUUCUGAAUGCACAGAUGGAUCCGGCACGUCGAAAAACCUUGGGAAGGACUCGAGUCAACUUUCGGUCAACGGUCAACGUCGGUCAACGGUCAACACCGGCUUGGUAGUCUCGGUUCGGUCCGGAUUGGUUCAGCUCGAGUUGGCUCGGUUCGACUUGAUUCGGUUCAGCUCGGCUCGGCUUGGUUCAGUUCGGCUCAGCUUGGUUCAACUCGGUGAGUCGACUCAGCUUCAGGACAUAAAACUUCCGGCGGCAGGUGUGGGCGCGUACGGUCUCGGAUCGGGAUGAUUUUUGCGGCGUCACGUUCCUCUCGUCGAGAUCUUCGAUUUGAUAUGCUAUAUGACUAUAUAUAGCAUCAAACACUAGCUCUGAUACCACUUUGUUGGAGGAUUAACAAUUAAAACACACAAAAAACACACUAUUUUAUUUCUUCAACAACACUCCUCACCAAUUACAACUCUUAUUUUUCACUCUCUACACCUUAGAGAUUUUGCUGCUUCACUUGAUGUUUAAACCAAAGGGGAGAGGGGGUAUUUAUACAUGAAACAAACUAAUCACAACCAUUAAUUUAUUCAACUAAUAAACACAUCCUCACCAUCCAUUAAAACCUACUACUCACCUACUUCACCAACCACACCUAACACACCUAACACAAAUAAUUCAAACCUCACCAACCAUACCUACUCAUGGAACCUUCCAUGAGUUGGGCUUGAUUUAUUCAUCUUGGAUCAAGUUUAUGAUCCAACACCAUUAUCCUAUUACUCUUAUUUUAUCACAUGCAGAGACGUCAACGUUUGAUUCGCACGGAAAAAAAUUUGCGAGGAUUGUGAGGGUUGAUUCAAUAUAAUUUAGAUGCAAAGUGUUUACAAGUGCGAUGCUUCGUAAGUGCACCCGAAUCAUUAUAAACUCACCUUAUUUUCAUAGUGAUUAUUUCAUCUGCAUGUGAAUAUAAUCAUAUGUGGAGAUUUUUUUUUUCCCUAAACGAUGAUCUUCUCUAGUAUUGAGGUGUUAUAUCUUUUAAAUUAUAAUUAUUAUUAGUAAAAAACUGCAACUAUGAAAAAUAAAUUUAAUAUUAUGUCCUGAAUAUAAUUGUUAAAUAAUAAUUUUGACAAAAUUAAUGAAUAUAUACAGAUUUUUUUAUCAUAUAAAUGUAAAAUUAUAUCAACUUAGCUUCUAAGCUAUACAACGGUUACUAUUUACUAAAUACUUUAGUGUCGUAGUUUUUAAGAUAUAUUUAUCCACCCUCAAUCCCAAACAUAACCUGUAAGGAUAAAAAAUUUCAUCCUAAAAAUUAUACGUCUUGUGACUUAUUUAAUUUAUAUUUUUGUUAUUUAUAUUUAUUAAUUAUAGUCAUCUUUUAAUAAAUUACAAUUGAAGGAAGGUGGUUGAUGUUGUCGAGACACACACACAAAGAUAUAUUGGAAGUGCUUAUGUCCACUCGAAGUUGUGGGGAGUUAAUGCAUGUAUUGAUUUAUUGGGAGUGUUAAUGCAUGUAUUGAUUGAUUGAGUGAUUGAAUACUGUUUGAUUGCUUCAUAUCAAUUCUAGAAAGUUUAUUUCUUUGUGAAAUUUCAACGAAACGUGUUUUUUAGAAUAAUAAGGGUGUUUUAAGUAAUUUUAAAAAAUGAAUGGACUAAUUAGAAUUAAUUAUUAGGUAAUUAACUCGAAUUGUAGAGGGUAAGCAAACAUUUAUCCUAAUUAUAUUAUGAUAAAUCCUUUUCCAAUUAGAAUUAGGAAACCAUAGAUAUACUGAAUUUUUUUUUAUUUCCCUUCGCGAAAACGGAUCAGAGAAUUAGAAAACAAUCCUAGUGAUACUAUUGUUAGGUUUAAAACACUGCAUAGAUGGUAAAAACAUUGGAAUUGAUGUAGAUUAAUUUGUUAAUUGCUAUCGUACUGAACAUUGUUUUAUGCAAAUUAAUUUGAGAAUUAGAAAAAAGUUUGUUGCAUGCAAACUUUUUGUUUUAUGCAAAUCGUACUGAACAUUGGGACUGAUGUUUAAGAAAAAAAUUCUGUAGUUAAAGAAAAACAAAAAGGCAUGUUGAAUAGAUUACGAUAGUUUAUUCAAUUGGGAAUUUUUUUUCUUUAAUUUUUGUUGUACUUGAUUGAGAUUUCUCUUUAGUCCUUUCGUACUUCCUUUGUAAGCUGAGUAUAAGGAUGAAAUUCUUUUAAGAAAUUAAAAAAGAAAAAAAAGCAUGCCACUACGCAAUUAUAAAUAACCACAAAUAAAUAUAAACAAAAUGUUUAUGAAGUAAAUUAAACAUGCACAUAUUAUUUUCUUUUAUUUGCUGCUUGGAAACCCAUAAAUGCACUAAUCCAAUAUUACAAUUAAUUUCAAACAGAAAAAAUUGAACUCUAGGCUGCAGUUUGACUCAAAAUGAUGACCACUGGCUUCGCACCAUUCAACCGGUAUACAUUUCUACAAACCGAACAACGCUAUUGAUUUUUAUUUUUUUUUUUAAUUUGUCUAUAAAUUACUAUUUUAAUUUUCACUUUUUAUUGGGUUGUUUAACGGAUUAGUGAAGCUGGUGGUCGUUGAUGCACUCAUAAGGUACAAUUUUAUUUUAGAAUUUCAAAUUCGUAUUUUAAAAUGCAGGCACAUUAUGUAUACAUAAUUAUUGAUUUUCAUAUGUGGGUGUUUUGAAAUAUUGCCAAAAGACCAAACUUUAAUAAACUAUUUUUGAUUUUUUUUUUCCUUUUUACCUAAAGUUGGAGUGAUAUCCGCAUUUUAAAUUCAUGUGGAACAAAGCUAAUGUAAGCACAAAAUUCUUUUAUUUUUUCCGAGAAAAAUGGGUAAGAGAAGAAGAUUUUUCUCUUGAAAAAUGAAAAAAAAUACAAUGCAAGCAUAGGAAAGAGGUCAGUGUUUUGGAUUUGAAUUUAGUAUUGAGCUGAAUUUUAUGCUAAGCUCUUUUAUAGUACUGCGAUUAAUAAGCUAGCUCAGGAUUUGCUUUUGCUUUUACUUCAAGUAAAAGAAAGAGGAAGCCUUUUGUUUUUUUGUUUGAUUUUUGACUAUAUAUGUUACCUAUAUAGAGAGUUGAGGUAGCAGCCUUAAGUGAUGGUGAUAAAAAGAUUAAGCAGUGCACACAAUCUUACUGUCAUCCAGACCAUCCAGUGAUGGCUCUAGUUUUUUUGUUACGUUAGCUUUAGUGGAAAGAAGGGCCAAUUUAACAAAGACUAGAUUUGGUGGCUUACUAUGUUUAAUGUAAUGCUUAUUCUCAGCGCACACAAUCUUACUAUGUUUAAUGUAAUGGUUAUGUUGAAUGAUCUUCUAUGAUUGUGAGUAGUAUAGUAUAAUUGAAAAGGGCCUGGGCUCCUAUGAUGAAUAACAGUAACACAUUACUGUGAUUGAGAAAACUCAGUUCCAAUAAACUCUUCAUUUACUCAUUGCGGAGAUCGAAUGGCAAACAGAGAAUAGAAUGAAGCAGAAGAAUCUCAUUGUUAGGUUUUGAUGAUUUCAGAUGCUUUUUUUUUAAAAAAAAAUUGUGACAUCUUUGAUUUACGGCAGUUUUGCAGAAAAAAAAAACAUAUAAAAAUUAAGAGGGAUGAGUUAACUGACGAUUACAAUCAUUACAGCAAUGCUGAUGAGUGAUAUAUCACUUGAAAUUUACUUGUCAGUUGCUGAAAUGAUGAAAAAAAACCAACAAACGAUAACAGUAAUAAUGUUCCCUUGCUGAAAUUCAAUUUUGACUUUCGACUCUUGGCUUUUAUGGAGAGUAAAAUGACUUGUAUAUUAUACUCAUACAAUCCACUCUACAUAAUGAUAUCGUUUUAAUAAGGCAAUGGCUGAUGAUCUCCAUUUAAAAACUACAUCAAUUUUUUUGCUUCAUUUAACUUUUUGGUUGUUGAAAAUAACCUUAAUUAUCAAAUAAUUGGAGAAAGAGUUAAGAACAUUUAACAAAUUUAUGUGCAAAAAAAAAAAAAAAAGGAAGAAGUUGAAGAGAAAGGGUGCUUGCAGAAGUGGGUGUCAAAGAUAAAUCGGUCCAUAAGAAUUAUUGUGGUUAUUUUUUGGCAAUAUAAAAAUUUUUUAGCAAGUAAAAAUAAUUUUUUUUCCGAUUUACUAAAAAAUUAACUAAAAACUUCUGCGAUGUCAUUUUUUAUGGGUGCAUAUACCCUCCCUUUAAAAAAUUUAUAAUAAUUACUGCUUAAUAUAGUAUUAAAUACGAAAAAUAUCAAUAUUUGACUACUCAAAUUUAUAUCAUUAGGUCCUUAAAAUUUAAAAUGGAAGAUAUGAAAGGAAAUAUAUAUAAAUUUCAUUGUCCUGGGAAAGGACCCUCUUAUUAUCUUAUAAUAUUUGAAAUUUGAUAGAUUUUUUGAAACAAAUGUACUUUUAUUUGUGUACAAUCAAUAUUUACUCAUUUAUUAUAUUUUAAUUUAUUAACUAUCAAUCAUGUAAGUAUACUUAGUCAAAAAAAUUAUAUCAAGAGAGAAUUCUAAUUUCACGCAAAAACAAAUACCAAAACAAAUAUCUCAAUUUCUAUACUAUUCACUUUCCUGUAGAAUCAAUUAUUUAAAAUGCAAGUUUGUGGCUACAGAAAACUCGCCAAAGAAAGAAGAUAAUAACAAUUGAGCAUUGAUGGCAAAACUAAUGCAUCCAAUUCUUCUUGACUUGAUGAGAUGGCGCCAUAACGUAGAAACAAGUACCUAAAUUGACCGGCACUGAGUGGUGUGAAUACUACCAGCCAGUUCAUCUCUUCCAGUCUUGCUUAAUCACAAUCACAAACACCACGAGAUCGACAUUUGCAUUAUAUAUAUCUUCUGCAAUCGAAACACCUUGCAUUACCAAAUAAGCCCGUAACAGACAAAGCAAUCUUUCAUGGAGAGAAACCUUAGUCUCAGUAUGAUCACUGUGUCAUUAACGUACUGCCUGCUUCUUUGCUUGGUUGCUGCAGCAGCAGCAGCGGCAAGCAACAAUAUUACCACAGACCAACAAGCUCUUCUUGCCCUGAAAGAUCAUAUAAUUUAUGAUCCGACCAGCCUUUUAGCUCACAAUUGGACCUCGAAUACCUCUGUUUGUACCUGGAUUGGCAUCACUUGUGAUGCCAAUAGCCAUAGAGUCACAACCUUAGAUAUUUCUCAAUUCAAUCUACAAGGCACCAUCCCUCCUCAACUUGGGAACCUCUCUUCACUCACAACACUUAAUCUUAGUCAUAACAAGCUUUCUGGAAACGUUCCCUCCUCCAUCUACACCAUGCAUACGCUAGAAUUUCUUGACUUCACUGAUAACCAGCUCUCUGGUUCAGUGACUUCCUUCGUCUUGAACAUGUCUUCAAUAUUAGACAUUCGUUUGACCAAUAACAGACUUUCUGGUGAGCUUCCGAAAAAUAUUUAGAGCUAUCUUCCUCAUUUGAAAGCCCUUUUUUUGGACAAAAACAUGUUUCAUAGCAAACUUCCUUCUGCUUUAUCAAAGUGCAAACAACUGCAACAAUUAAAUUUGAAGUUCAAUAAUUUAUCCGGUGCAAUACCAAAAGAAAUCGGCAACUUGACUAUGCUCAAAGGGAUAGACCUCGGCUACAACAAACUCCACGGUAUGUUCAUAAUACUAUACAAAUAUUAUCUUUCUUGAAUACUUUAGAUAAGAUCUUGUAUGUGAGAUUUUUUUGCAUCUAUAUUAAUUUUCCAGGUGAGAUACCGCACGAAAUCGCUAAUCUUCCAAAUCUAGAGGCUUUAGCGCUUGGAAUGAACAACCUAGUUGGUGUGUUACCAGCUCCAAUCUUCAACAUGUCAACACUGAAUGUACUUAUCCUCAUAAAUAACUCUCUCUCCGGUAGUCUUCCAUCAAGAAUGGACCUUUCACUUCCAACUAUUGAGCAUCUUAACUUUGCACUUAAUAGAUUUUCUGGAACAAUUCCUAGUUCCAUAACCAAUGCUUCUAAGCUCACAUUUCUAGAGUUGGGAGGAAACACAUUUUCGGGCUUUAUUCCAAACACAAUUGGUAAUUUAAGAAACCUUGAGUUGUUCGGCUUGGUUUUUAACUACUUGACAUCUUCGAGCUCAAAAUUGAGCUUUCUUUCCUCUUUGGCAAAUUGCAAGAAAUUAAGAGUCAUAGGCUUAACAGGCAAUCCACUCAACGGCAUCCUUCCAAGUUCAGUAGGUAAUCUUUCUAUGUCUUUGAAAACACUUCACAUCGCCAAUUGCAGUAUUAGUGGCAACAUUCCUCCAGCAAUUAGCAAUUUAAGCAACUUGUUGGCCUUAGUAUUAGAAGGCAAUAAAUUGACUGGACCAAUCCCAACUACAUUCGGCCAACUACAGAAACUCCAAGGCUUAGAUCUCGCAUUCAAUAAGUUGGUAGGUUCAUUCCCAGAUGAGCUUUGCCAUCUAGCUAGGCUGGAUGAAUUGGUCUUAUUUGGCAAUAAGCUUUCAGGAUCUAUACCUUCAUGCUUAAGUAACCUCACUUCUCUGAGAUCUCUCCACUUAGGGUCCAAUAGGUUUACUUAUGUCAUUCCCUCAACUUUCUGGAGCCUAAAAGACAUCUUGUUCUUUGACUUUUCAUCAAAUUUCUUGGUUGGUCCUCUUUCUUUAGACAUAGGAAAUUUGAAGGUGCUUCUAGGAAUAAAUUUAUCAGAAAAUAACUUAUCGGGUGAUAUGCCAGCCACAAUUGGAGGACUAAAAAACCUUCAAAUUAUGGACCUAACAUAUAAUAGACUGGAAGGGCAAAUUCCUGAAUCAUUUGGUGACUUGACAAGUUUGGAGGUUUUGAAUUUGUCAAAUAAUAAAAUCUCUGGGUCUAUUCCAAAAUCCAUGGAGAAACUCUUUUACCUUCGAGAGUUAAAUCUCUCUUUCAAUGAACUAGAAGGUGAGAUUCCUAGUGGAGAAAUUUUUACCAACUUCACAGUUGAGUCAUUUAUGGGAAAUGAGUUAUUGUGUGGUUUACCAAAUCUUCAAGUCCAACCAUGCAAACUUAGCAAGCCAAGGACAGAACAUAAAUCAAGGAAAAAGAUACUUCUCAUUGUGAUUGUUUUGCCAUUGAGUAUUGCUCUAACAAUAGCAAUCACUCUACCUCUCAAAUCUAAGCUGACCAAAUGUGGAAAAAGAUGCACAGUGUUGUCAAAUGAUAGUGUCUUGUCAUCACAAGCAACACUAAGAAGAUUUUCAUACUUAGAACUUUUACAAGCAACAGAUAAUUUUGCUGAAAACAACGUAAUUGGCAUAGGUGGUUUUGGUUCUGUUUAUAGAGCAAGACUUGAAGAUGGGAUGAAGAUUGCAAUAAAAGUGUUUCACCAGCAAUGUGCAAGCGCAUUGAAGAGUUUUGAGGCUGAAUGUGAAGUGUUAAAAAAUAUUCGCCAUCGAAAUCUUAUCAAAGUUAUCAGCAGUUAUUCAAACAAUGACUUCAAAGCAUUAGUCCUAGAAUACAUGUCCAACAGGAGCUUGGGGGAUUGGUUGCAUUCCAGCAAUUAUAUGCUGAAUAUAUUUCAAAGGUUGAACAUAAUGAUUGACGUUGCAUCAGCUUUGGAAUAUCUCCACUUCGAUCAUUUACCUCCUAUUAUUCAUUGUGACUUAAAGCCUAGUAAUGUAUUGUUGGAUGAAAAUAUGGUUGCUCAUUUGAGUGAUUUUGGCAUAGCAAAGCUUUUAAUUGGGGAGGAUGUGUAUGUCAUGCGAACAAAAACCCUUGCCACUAUAGGUUACAUCGCACCAGGUUUGCUUCAAACAACUUUUUUUUAGUUCAUUUUAAAUUUUCUAAAUCAUUGAUUUUUACGAUCCUCAUAUCAAAUUGUUAUUGAUUAUUUAUCUAAUUGUGAAAUUAAUUUGAUUCAUAGAGUAUGGCAUAGAAGGAGAAAUAUCUACAAAAAGUGAUGUUUACAGCUAUGGGAUUAUGUCGAUGGAAACUUUUACCAAGAAAAAACCCACAGAUGAAAUUUUUGUUGGAGAAUUGAGCUUAAAGCGUUGGGUUGAUGACUUGCUUCCUGAUUCAUUAGUGGAAGUUGUGGACAAAACUCUAGUAAGUGGAGAGGAAAAACAUUUUGCCGCAAAGGAGCAAUGUCUGUUGUCUAUCUUUAGUUUGGCUCUGGAGUGUACAAUGGAAUCACUGAAAAAGAGGAUCAAUGCAAAAGAUAUUGUUACCAGAUUACUCAAGAUAAGAGACACAUUGAGUAAAAGGAUAGGAAAUUUAAGUUAAUAUCGUUUGCUUUCAUUGAUAGUUAUUUUGAAUUCAUGUAAUAAGUGUACGAACCUUAUAUCUUUUCCUUUGAUAUUUUUUUCCUUGAGAAAACUAUUGUAGUCAUCUUAUUUCCAUGGGCAGAGUUGAUUUAGUUCUUCCAAGAAAUGCUACUGAUGACCUUUGUUUUAUACUUUCUCUUUUUUUGCAUGUGUUUAGGUAGAACAGUGGUUUGGCUGCAGGCUAAGAAGACUAACUACACUAAAAGAAUAUGAUUUAAUUUAUUAAACAAAACUUCAAGAAAAGUAUUUCACUGCCCCCAAUGCUUUGGACACCUACUGGUGGGUUUGUACGUGUCCUCAACUUUUUUUUGGAGCACAAAAUUCGAGUCCCAUGGAGACUCAAACAUUCCUUUCCCACAUCUCGAGCACGCUAAAUUUAUCAGACUGACAACUGGGACAUAUACAAGAGUGAAAUGUUUAGAGCACUCUAAGUUCGAGUGAAAGAGAUUAAUUUACAGAAAAUAAAGCCAAGGGUUCAGAAAAAAGUGCAAAGAGAAUAAAGGAACGUCUGAGCUAUUUAAAGCUUCAUGGAAAGUUGAAGGCUCUCCAUAUUUUGUUAGAAGAUAGUAUGCAACAUUGAUCUCUGUGACAUACUCCGAGUGCCACGUUGGCGGUCGUCUCUCACGAGUUGACCGACGAAUUUCUUGAGCCUCGGACUCGACUAGUUCUUGUUCCUCGUGCUCUGGUGCUGCUUCAGAAGAAUUUGAAUCUUUUGAAUUAUUUUUCACAUAUACCGGUACAGUCUCUGACUUUUCUUUUACAGUGCUAUCAUCCUCAUCUUUCCUUUGCAAUUGAUCUUCUAUAAAAAUAACAUCUCUGCUGAUGACGAUCUUGUGGGCAGUGGGAUCCCACAGACGAUACCCUUUUACUCCAUCAGCAUAUCCCAAGAAGAUACAUCUUCUAGAUUUUGCAUCCAGUUUUGUUUUUUCUUGAGCAUUGUACAUCACGUACACAGGACAUCCAAAUGUAUGUAGGUAGGAAUAAUCAGCUGGCUUUCCAGUCUAUAUCUCCAUCGCUGUCUUCAGCCCAAUUACUGUAGAUGGUGAUCGAUUUACUAUAUAACAGGCAGUUUUGGCUGCUUCUACCCAAAAUGAAUUGGGUAGACCAGCAGUCCUCAACAUAGCUCUUAUCCGUUCUGUAAUAGUUCUAUUCAUCCGCUCUGCCACUCUAUUUUGUUGAGGAGUGUAUGCCACCGUGAACUGUCUCUGAAUACCUUCUUGCUUACAGAAAACAAGAAACUCGCCGUCUAUAUACUCUCCACCAUUAUCUGUCCUCAAGCACUUGAUCUUUUUACCAGAUUCAAGUUCUACCGUGCUUUUAAACACUGGAAAUACAUCUGACUUUUUCUUAAUUGGAUACACCCAACAUCUUCUGGAAUAAUCAUUAAUGAAAGUCACCAUGUACUUUGCACCUCCCAUGGAUAUAUCCGGUGAUUCCCAAAUAUCAAAAUGAAUCAAGUCUAUAAUGCAUUUACUUCUAGCAAUAGAUCUACUGAAUUUUAAUUUAUGCUGCUUACUUGUAACACAAUGCUCGCAAAAUGGUAAACUUACCGAUUUGAGCCCCGGAAGCAAUUUUCGCUCAAAGAGAAUCUUCAAUCCUUGUUCUGACAUGUGGCCAAGUUUGAGAUGCCACAUCAUCGUUGACUCUUCUCCAUUUGACGCGACACAUGCAUCAGCCUCUUGUAGUGUUUCUCCUUUAAGCAUGAAUAAAUUAGCACCGAUCUUUUCUGCCUUCAUCAAUACAAACGCACCUUUAACGAUCUUCAUAAUUCCAUUCUCCACAUGAGUUUUGUACCCAUGACUAUCCAUUUGUCCCAAAGGUAAAAGAUUUUUCUUCAGGCCGUUGACAUGUCGUACCUCCCUAAUUGUGCGAAUUGUACCAUCAAACAUUUUUAUUUUGAUAGUACCAAUACCAACGAUCUCCAAGGCAUGAUCAUUACCCAUAUAUACAGAUCCUCCUGAGAUAGGUUCAUAUGUGUGGAACCAUUCUCUCCGAGAGGUCAUGUGUCAGGUAGCUCCUGAGUCUAUAAGUCAGACAUCAGAUAGUCGUUUUCUGCCUUCUAAAACAGUUGUUGCCUCGCUGUAGAGAAUUUCGCCAUCAUCCGAGGUACUUACGACACAACCCUGAGCAUUUGAUGACUUAGGUUCUUUGCCCACUCUUGUCUUCUAAUUACUCCAACACUCUUUCUUGACGUGCCCUUUCUUGCCACAGUUGUAGCAUUUAACAUUCUUCUUACUUCUAGAUUUUGAUCUACCAUGAUUUUGACUCCCAUUGGGGCCACGUUCCGUUGAUCUCCCUCUCGUCACCGAUAGCGCCUCCGCUUGCUGCGAACUUGCUUGUCUGUUUUUCUUAUUUUUUCGUCUGCUUUCCUCAUUUAAUACAGAGGCUGCAACAUCGUCGAAAACUAGACUGUCCACUGGAUUGCUGUUCGUUAGGUUGAUGAUGAGUUGAUCAUACGAAUCUGGUAGACUUUGAAGUAGAAGCUCUGCACGUUCAUUCUCCUCUAUAUUAUGACCCAACGUUGUAAGUUGUGAAAAUAGAGUCUUCAAGGUGUUGAUGUGAUCGGUUACCAUUAUAGAUUCCGCCAUUUGAAGAGUAUAAAGUUUCCUCUUCAAGAAGAUUUUGUUGUGUAGUGACUUGGCCUCGUACAAUUUUGUGAGAGUAUCCUAAAUUUCCUUCGCUGUAUUUUUCUUUGCCACACUGGAUAAUACUCCGUCUGCAAGUGCCAAGUGUAGAUCAGAAAUGGCAUUGCCAUCUAUCUCGUUCCACUUGUCAUCAGUUAUCUCCAUGGGCCUUUCUCCAAUUGCUUCCAAGUAAUUAUUUUUCCUCAAUACAACUUUCAUCUUAAUUUUCCACAACGAAAAAUUAUUUUCGUUAAAUUUCUCAAUUUCAUACUUUGCUGUCAUUUUGUUGAUAAAUAUUGUACACAAACUAGUGUAUCACCUUGAAUAGUUGUGAGUAUGUGUAAGAAUGCACACCAGAAAAGUUCCUAGGAAAGACUGGAGGGGUCACAAUAGUCCCACUUAAAACUCAGACUCCUUAAGCUCUUAUCGCCUUUGUGACAGAACUUUCCUAGACAUGUAUAAAACCACACAAUUGCUUUACUCACACCACUAUUCCCUGCUUUGUACCGCCAAAUUCUUCGAUCGCUCCCACCGUUUCACGUGAAUAGUACUGUAUACGUGAACAGUACCGUGUACGUGAAUAGUAUCCCUUACGUGAACAGUACCCAACUCUAAAAAAUACAAUAAAUAGCUCUGAUACCACUGUUAGGAAAUUGGUGGGUGAAGCAGGACCGCAGCUAAUAUGAAAUUGGAAGAAAAUAAAGAACAAGGACAAAAAGAGGAUACCAGAAAUUACGUGGUUCGGCUUUUAACCUACGUCCACGGGCGAAAACAGAAGGAAAUAUUUUACUCGUAAAAAGGAGUUACAAGUAUUGUAGUAUUUUAGCUCACUUUCCAAAAUCCCAAUACACCCAAACUCUCAAAACACUAAAACAAGAGCUUAUAAUUUCAAGCUCUCUAAACUCUCUCUAAAUACAAGAAAACUCUUCUCAAAAUUGGAUAAGCAAAUGAGGGAAUGAGCCCCUCUAUUUAUAGCCAAAAUCUUGGCUACUAUUCACUUUUUUUUAAAAAUUAUUUAUUAUUGUUCAAAAUUUCAACAUUCAAAGUUUGAUAUUCAAACUUUGAAUAUCUAGAAUUUUGAAUUUGAUAUUCAAAGUUUGAAUAUCUAGAAGUUUGAAUUUGAUAUUCAAAGUUUGAAUAUCAAGACACCCAAUCUUGACACUAAAUUCACCAGACUGACAACUGGGGCAUAUAGAAGAGCGAAAUAACUGGGACAUAUACAAGAGUGAAAUGUUUAGAGCACGCUAAGUUCGAGUGAAAGAGAUUAAUUUACGGAAACUGAAGCCAAGAGAAUAAAGGACAACACUUACGUGAAGCGACAUAAUUGUAUUGAAAGCACAAUGUCAAAUUCAUACGGAGAUCUAGUAUAUUAUUUACAGCUGGUGAGGGCUAAGAAUUGAUGUAGCUAGAAUACAAAGACGAUAAGGUAUGUUGUGCACUAUUGUUUUAUUCUACGAUCAAUCUUGACCCUUGAUGCUUGGCUCUCAAUCUUGUCCAUUGAUCUUCUUUGAUUUUGGACACUUCAAGACCUUUCAGUAUCAUUCCUUGUUGUUGGUGUCUUCCGUGCUGUAGAAUUCAUAUACAAGCCUUCCCGCCGACUUGCCAAGUAUUCGUUCAUUGAUGCAUUUUUAUCAAACAGCUGGGCUACUUAUGCCAAACACCGCCUGGUUUAACUCCCCCUCUCUAGCUCAACUAUCUGGGAAGACAAUUAAUUGAGAUAUGAAUCAGAAAAUUAAAUUUUAAAAAUUGUAUUCGGACUCUACAUUUUGUAAUGAACAUUGGUUUGACUUGUUAUACAUUUAUGCGUACAUAAUUAAUAACCGAUUCUCAAGUGCGGACAUUCAAGAGCACUGCUUAAAGACCAAAUAUUUUGAUUUACUAUUUUUUGUCUUUCAAUUUUCUUUUAAGUUCUGAUGACGUCCGCAUUUUAAAAUCCUGUGGAACAAAGGCCUGACGUGCAUAUAAAAUUCUUUUAUUUUUUCAGAGGAAAAUGGGUUAGAGAAGAAGAUUUGGCAAAAGAAUUGCAACGGCAUUUGAAACUAGUCUUCGUCUUUUAAUUCUUUUAUAUUUGUUUUUGUUAUUGAUGUUAGCUUGGAUGUGAACCCGUGUGACUGAAUUCAACUUAUAUUUGUUUUUGUUAUUGUUAUUAAUUUUAUUUGUUUUUGUUAAAUUGGACCACCAACAAGGGCGGUCCAUUAUCAAAUCAACACGGUUUAAUUAUUAUUAUUUCUACACUUUUUUUAUGAACAAAUAUAAAAUAAAAGGACAUUUACACCCUCAAUUUUAGUGAAAUAGUCAUUAACACCCCUAAAUUUUUAAAAGUAGACAUCAAGAUCAUUUUUUUACCUUAAUACUCUUAUACGGUACCUCUAUUAUUCCCAAAAAUUGAUUCUAAUGUUUUAUAAUAAAUAAAAAUAAAACAUUAAAAUAAAUGUAAUAACAUAUAUAUUUUAAAAUAAUUUCAAUAUUUAAAAAAUAUUUUUAACAUUUUACAAUCUAUUAACUAUAUUUUAUUAUAUUGAAGUAAAUUUUAUAAUAAAUAGAAUCAUAUUAUUAAAAUAAAUGUAUUAAAAUUUAAAUGAUUUUGAAUAUCAUGUACAAUAAUAAUUUUAACAUUACUAAUAUGUCAGAUUUUUUUUUAAGAAUGUAUUUAGUGCAAAUAUUUCUUUCAAAUCUCCACAAUAAAUAAAAGAUUAAAAUAAAUAUAAUAAUUUACAUAUCUAAAUUUAUUAAAAUAUUUUAAUAUUGUUAGUCUACUGCAUAGAUCACAAUAUUUAUAUAAUAUUUGUAUUUAUUAAAAACUUUAAAAUCAAUUCUUUUGAGAAUAAUAGAGGUAAAGGGUAUAAUGGUCAAAAUGGGGACUUUGUACUCCUUUUUGAAAACUUGAAGGUGUUGGUGGCUAUUUUUCCAAACCUUCAGGGUGUAGAUGUCAUUUUUCCACAAAUAUAUGAGAAAAUUAUCAAGAAAUACAGUAUCUGAACUCUGAAGUAACAAGGAUCACCUUUUAUGAAAUCGAUUGCUUUUCAUGAUAGACUGUUACUAUUUUUCUACAAUAGAUUGAAUUUAGUAAAAAAUUGAUUAAGAUGUCUACUCAUGGAGAGUGAAAUUUAUGUUCAAUACUAAUUUCAACAUGCAUGCACCACCGAACGUGUUUCUCACGGAAAAGUUGCUUGGAUUUUUGGGACUUCCUGUUCAAAUAUUCAACACGGCAUGCACCACGCGAUUGAACAUGCAAAAGUAGGGGUCUAUUAUCAUUUCCAGCAUUAUAGAAAUCUUAAUUUUGUUCAUUAUUUAUUUUGAUCAGCACUGUUGAAUCUCCAUGUAUUGCCAAUCACUGGGAAACAACAUAUUCUUAUUAAUUAUAUCCUCUAAUGGAGAGAACUCAUUGUCUCAGUGUAAGAUCACUGUGUCAUUAACCCACAGCCUGCUGAUUUGCUUGGUUGCUGCAGCAAGCAAAAAUAUUACCACAGAUCAAAAAGCUCUUCUUGCCCCAAAAGAUCACAUAACUUAUGCUCCAACCAAUCUUUUGACCGAAAAUUGGACCUCAAAUACCUCUGUUUGUACGGGGAUUAGCAUCACUUGUGAUGUCAAUAGCCGCAGCCUUGGAUAUUUCUCAAUUCAAUCUACAAGGCACCAUUAUUCCAAACACAACUGGUAAUUUAAGAAACCUUAAGUGGCUCGGCUUGGCUUAUAAACUACUUGACAUCUUCAACUUCAAAAUUGAGCUUUCUUUCCUCUUUGGCAAAUUGCAAAAAAUUAAGAAUCUUAGGCUUACUGGAAAUCCACUUGACCGUAUCCUCUCACGUUCAAUAGGUAAUCUUUCUAUGUCUUAGGAAAGAUUUCACGUCGCCAAUUGCAGCAUUAGUGGCAGAAUUCCUCAAGUAAUCAGCAAUUUAAGCAACUUGUUGGCAGUUGUGCAAAAUUUUAAUAUACUCGCAAGUGCACGAAUCUAGAAAUAGAAUAAUGGUAAUGAGGUCAAACCCAUAGGGAUUGUUUUAAAAUGACAAAAGAAUAGCUGCUGGUCUAGAGGUGGCUUACUACAUUCAUACAAGAUCGUUUCUUGUUCUCUAAGAUGUGCAUUAUACUAAUAAUGCUAUACAAACUUAUCCAAAGGUCUAUUAAUUAAUUCAUUAAUCCAACGGCUUGUUAGGUUGUCCUUUCAUCCAUACAGCUGCAUGCUUGUCUUCAUAUACACUGAUCUUAUCCUCUAGAUCUGUUCAGGCUGAGUGAUCUCUCACAUUUGCCAUAUCAGAAGAUUACAUGCCAGUAAUGUCAUGUGAUGACCUGUUGCUUGGUGAUGUCGAAUGCCUGGCCUUUACUUCUCUGAGCAAAUUGAUCAAACAAUUUGUUCAUUUUAUCGAACACCUUCACCAACUAACAUUUUAUUUACUUUGGAUGGUUUUUAAGUGCAUUUAAUGAUUAUUUUUGCUCCAACUUCAGAUAAACCAAACGCCAGUAUAUUAGAAGAAGAAGUUAACUGGCAGCUAACCAGGUCAAAAUAGCGACUCUAUAUAAAAAAAAUAUAUAAAAUAAAAAAAUGGGACUUUAUUUAAUUAAUUGUUGGUCUAAAGCUGUUGGUAUCCGUUGGCCACGUUUCUGAAGAGUCAUCUCAAAUCGAAAUUUUUAACGAACAAAGGACAUUGCUGCUGGCUGCCGCCCGUGAGAUAAAAGUGCUAAAAUCCAAAAUGUUCCACCAUCAUUUAUUCUAAUUUUAAUUUUCCAAUGGAAAAAAUUACAUAAUUAAAAUGGCUUCUAAUAUCAUUUCCACACCUCAAUAUGUGUCACUAUCAUAAAGUUGUUCUCAUGAUUCAUGGAAAAUUUGGAUUACAGCACCUGUACUUUCUGAUGGUUCAUUAUUUAUUCUCAGGAAUCGAGUCUCCUUACAUUACCAAACUAAUAACAAACAGGAAUCUUUUAUCCUUUCACGGUGAGAAAUUACAGUCUUCGUAUGAUCGCAGUGCCAUUAACCCACUGCCUGCUUCUUUACUUGGUUGUUGCAGUAGCAGCAGCAAGCUACAUUACCACAGACCAACAAGCUCUUCUUGCCCUGAAAGCUCAUAUAAGUUAUGAUCCAACUAAUCUUUUGGCUCAAAAUUGGACCUCAAAUACCUCUGUUUGUAACUGGAUAGGCAUUACUUGUAAUGUCAAUAGCCAUAGAGUUACAGCAUUUGGAUGAAUUUUUAUUGAAACCUUUCUGAGAAGUAGGACAUGUCAGACAUCAAAGCACUGAGAUAUCUUCAAAUAGUGGUAACCCCACUCAUCAAGGCACAAUAAAUUAUACAGAUAAAAUCCUCCACUCUUUCGUAAUCAUCGGUGUAGGCACGGUGAUGCGUCGGACAGAUAUGGGUCGGAUCCACUCCAGCUCCAUAUCAAGAUUCAUAAACCAUGACAAAAAUAGAGAAUCAUAGGUGUUGCAGAUAGUGAUGGUUGUUGAUGCACUCGUAAUUUAAAAUUUUAUUUUAUAUCUUCAAGUUCGCAUUUUAAGUGUACAUUUUUUUUUUAUUUUGUGAUCAAUAUAACUUGUCAAAUCUAUUUUUAAAUAAUUUUUUAAAACAUUUUAUUAACAAUGAUAUGAAAAUAUUCGACCCCUUUUCAUAGUAAAGUGAAUUAUUAUCCGACAAUCCAACUCAUGUUUUCAAAUUGUAAAUUGCAAAUCGUGUGUUUGCUCCUGUUAGAGUGCAAUUUAUGCACUAGUUUUGCAUUGUUUACUUCCCUUAAUAUCGAUGUUUUGCACUUAAUAAUAAUGAUUUACUUGUGUUUUACUUUUGUAGGUGCAAUUCUAUUGAUUUGUGAUAAAAUUGAGCUAUAAGAUGAUGUUUAAAGAUGAUUGUUCUCUUGGAGAAAUGAUGAGCGUCAGAAGAACUUUGUUGAUAAGGCGUGAGCGCGUGCUGUCAACUACGGGCCUGCUGUUUUUAGUUUAACGUGUUUUGUAUUUUUGGUUAUUUUUGUAAUUACGAAUUUAAUAUUUCAGAUAUUAGUAUUUUAUUUUAAAUAGAAUUCUAGAGGAGAAGAGAGAGAGAGUAUUUAAGGGAGGAAUCUAUUGUGAAAAAAGGGGAUUUUGGAUUGGAGGAAAAGAAAAGAAACCCUAGAUCUAAUUUUUCUCUUCUCUCUAUGAAGAACUAAACUUAUUUUUCUGGUUGAAGGAUAAUGAAGCUUUGAUUCAUCACUACUGUGAGAUCUUUCUUGUGCUUUAAUUGUUUUAUUGCUUUUUGGGUAUUUGUUUAUUCUCUGAAUUAUUUUCAUGAUUAUGUUUGUUAAUUAGAUAAUUGGCCACUAUUUAAUUAUCAACUUAAUCUAUUGUUAAUUAAAGGAUUUAUCGUAUGAAGAAUUUAAUGUUUGUGACAAAUAACAUAGCAGAGAGUUGUGUUGUGAGAAUAAACAAUCUAAUUUAAAUGAAUCAUCAUAUGUGUUGAUUAGGAUUUAGGUCUCUCUGGUUUUUCAGGCUGUCAAUUGAUUAAAUCCUAUGAUCGUAUCUAGGGUUGUCCAUUGAUUAGGGAAAUAUCCAACGGUCGUACCUUGGUUAUCGACUAAUUAAGGAGAGAUUGGCUAUUAGAGGGUCUCAGUAGCUAUAACCGGUCUAUUCAUAAGUAAUAAUAAUUUAUAUUUGAAUCAAUGAUCAGUAGUCGAAUCAAGCUGAGUUAAUUCCUUCAACCGGAGCUUUCUCCAAUUUGAAUUACAACUUUAAUUUGCAUUCUUGUUAUUUUAAUUUGAUUUUUAUUAUUGUCAACAAUUCCCCCAUUUUACGUUUUACGUUUCAAAAGGAUUUAAAUAAUUACCGAUCUCUGUGGACACGACCCUGCUCAAUCACUAUACACAAUUUAUUUAGAGUAGGAAUUUAUUUUUGUUGGCUUCGACAACCAUCAAAUUUUGGCACUGUUGCCGGGGAUUGGUGUCAUUUAUUUAAUCCUUUUUACGUUUUACUUGGUGUAUGAUUCGUUCUUCUCGUACAGGUACACUUUCGUUUGAUCCUGAAAUUGAGAAGAUAGCUCGCCACCUGAGACAGCAGACGAAGCGAGCUAAGCAACGAUCCUCGUCACCUUUGCUUUCUGAAACAGAUACGGUGCUUGAUUUAGUUGAAUCAUCUAGCGAUUCGGAAGAACAAGUGAUGGAUAGAGUUGCACCUGUAGAAAGAACUCUUAGAGAGUUAGCUGAACCAGACUUGAAUCAACAACCACUCUGCAUUCAAUAUGUAGACUUGGAGGUAAAUUUUGAAUUAAAGUCUGGUCUUAUUCAUUUAUUACCCAAGUUUCGUGGUUUUGCAGGUGAAGAUCCUCAUAAACAUCUUAAGGAGUUUCAUGUUGUGUGUUCAAGUAUGAGGCCACAAGGCGUGACUGAAGAGCAGAUUAAGCUGCGUGCUUUUCCGUUCUCUGUAGAUGGGCUAGCUAAAGACUGGUUGUACUACUUGCCUCCUGGAUCGAUUACAACGUGGAAUGGUUUGAAGAAGCAAUUCCUCGAGAAGUACUUUCCUACUUCAAGAGCUGCCAACAUCAGAAAAGAUAUUUGUGGGAUCAGACAACUUCCUGGGGAGACUUUGUAUGAGUAUUGGGAGCGAUUUAAACAAUUGUGUGCCAGCUGUCCUCAGCAUCAGAUUUCUGAUCAACUUCUUAUUCAAUAUUUUUACGAAGGACUGUCAUUGAUGGAUAGGAGUAUGAUAGAUGCUGCUAGUGGAGGCGUGUUGGUGAACAAGACCCCUACUCAAGCAAGGGAGCUGAUAUCAAAUAUGGCUGCCAAUGCACAACAAUUUGGCAGCAGGCAAGAUCCCACUUCAAGGAAGGUAAAUGAGGUAAAUAUUUCUUCUGUUGAACAACGUUUAGAUAAACUUACUUCUCUUGUGGAAAAGUUUGUUGUAGGUAAUGUGCAACAUAUGAAGACUUGUGGCAUUUGUUACAAUAUGGGUCAUUCAAUUGAUAUGUGUCCUACACUUCAAGAAGAACCCGUUGAACAAGCCAAUGCAAUUCAAGGAUUUCCAGGCAUGCCUCAGAGGAGGUAUGAUCCUUAUGCACAAACAUACAAUCCGGGAUGGAAGGAUCAUCCCAACUUCAGCUAUGGAGUUAGGCCGUCAGGAUUCCCACAACAGUAUCCACCAAGACAACCAGCACCUCCACAGUCAAACUCCAAGUCAGGUAUAUCUCUUGAAGAAAUUGUUAAAUCACUUGCGACUAACACUCAACAAUUUCAGCAGGCAACUACAGCAAGCAUUCAGAAUUUGGAGAACCAAAUGAGUCAAUUGGCGAUUACAGUGAGCCGUCUGGAGUCUCAAGUAUUAGGGAGAUUGCCUUCACAAUCUGAGGUGAAUCCAAAGCAAAACAUUAGUGCUGUCAUCCUUAGAAGUGGGAAGGAGUUGCAAGAGCCUAGUAAGAAAGUGACAAAGCAUGUAGAAGAUGAGUUUGAGAAGAAUGAAUUGAUGCCUCAAUCUCAAGAUGUGGAACCCACCAGAGCGAAACCCCUACCUAUUGUGAUACCUCCUCCUUUUCCAAGCCGGUUUGCAAAAUCCAAGAAGGAGGAACAAGAGAAAGACAUCCUUGAGACAUUUCGCAAGGUUGAGGUAAAUAUUCCUUUAUUAGAUGCUAUAAAACAAAUACCUCGAUAUGCUAAAGUCCUUAAGGAACUGUGCACCUCCAAGAGAAAAUUAAGAGGAGAUGAAAAAGUUCACAUGGGGGAGAAUGUUUCAGCAGUUCUCCAAAAGAAACUACCUCCUAAGUGCAAGGAUCCAUGUAUGUUUACUAUCCCUUGUAAAAUUGGUAGUGUUAGAAUUGAAAAGGCUUUGUUAGAUCUAGGAGCUGCUAUUAAUGUCAUGCCUCGUUCCAUUUAUUCAUCUUUAAAUUUGGUCCAUUAAAAGAAACUGGCGUGAUAAUUCAACUAGCUGAUAGGUCUAAUGCAUAUCCUGAUGGGGUAUUAGAAGAUGUCUUAGUACAAGUUAAUGAGUUGGUUUUUCCUGCUGAUUUUUAUGUACUUGAUAUGGAAGAGGAUAACUCCUCUAAUUCUGUCCCAAUUUUGCUAGGAAGACCUUUUCUUAAGACUGCUAGGACUAAAAUGGAUGUACAUAAAGGGACUCUUACUAUGGAGUUUGAUGGAGAGGUUAUAGAAUUCAAUAUGAAUGAUGCCAUGAAAUAUCAUAGUGAGGAACAUUCGGUAUUUUCUGUAGAUGUUAUUAACCCGAUAGUGCAGGAAGUUAUUUACAAGGAAAAAACGACGACAUUUCAUGAUAGAAUGAUUUUGUGAAAGGAGUUCUCUGUUGGUCAAAAAGUUCUUCUUUUUCAUUCUAAGCUUAAACUUUUUUCGGGUAAAUUACGUUCUUGCUGGGUUGGACCUUUUAUUGUUACUAAUAUUUUUCCUCAUGGUGCAGUUGAGAUUCGGAGUCCGACCUCUGACAAAGUUUCUAAGGUUAAUGGUCAUCGCUUAAAACCUUUUUAUGAAGGUUUUUCGGUGAAUAUUGUGGAGGAUGUGGCUCUCGAGAGUCCCAAUUAUGGAGAUUGAUGCAUAAAUGUGUCUAGCCAAAGACAUAAAACAAAGGCGCUUUUUGGGAGGCAACCCAAAUGAUUUAUUUAUUUUGGUUUUUGUUAUAUCUUCUUUUAAUUUUGAUUCUUUUUUUUUUUAAUGUGUUUGCUUAUUUUGGUCAGAAUAAAAUUUUUGAUAAGGCGUGUCCACGUCUUAACUAAUAAGUACUUCUGUGAUUUUUAAAGUAAAAUGGUUUUAAGGUGUGCCCACGUGCUUAUUAAAAAAGUGCAUCUGAAAUUUUUGUUGUCUCAAAGUGAUUCAUCACAAAAAUAAAAAAAAAAUUAUUUAUUUAUUAUUUUUUUUUCUAUUUAUUUUUUUUUAAAAAAACGAAAAAAAAAGGAGAUUUUCUUUUGUUCUUUCUUUUAUAUAUUUAUUUAUUUAUUUAUAAAAAAAAUUCAAAAAAUCACUGUUAAAAAAAAAAAUUUACUGUUCAUAAAAUCCCUAAUUUUCCAGAACUUGUUUUCUUCUCCAACCGCUUGCAGCACACCAGCAGCAAAGCAGCCCGCCGGAAAACGCACCACCCCGCGCGCGCAGCACCAGCAUCGAGCACCAUCCCGCGAGCGCAGCACCAGCAUUCUGUGUCUCGCAGCCCAGCAGCGCGCAACGAAGUCCCACCAGCGCGCAACGCAGCCUCACCAGCGCGCAACGCAGCCCCAACGCACAGCAAACGAGCACGCCCCGCAACGCAGAUCCGCAGCUCUAGCCCGCCCGCGCAGCGCAAAUCAAUCCAGCCAUCACCAUCGCGCAGCGCAUCGGUCCCGCGCGCGCAACGCAACGCAGCAUCAGCAUCCCACGUCCAGCGAGCAGCAACCCGCGCGCGCAGAUCUAGUCUUCGCCCAGCAGCGCGCAGAACCAGCGUCAGCCUAGCUCUCGCGCGCAACACAGCCCACGCAGCACGCAGAUCUAGUAGCCCCAGCGCGCGCGCACAACACAAUCAGCGCCAUCCCGCGUCCAUCAAGCAAGCUCCAGCCGAGCAGCAAUCGCAACGCAACCAACGUACGACCUAUAUUCCAGCUGGAUAAAUCGAAAUCCGUGAGUGCAAUUAUUGUAACAAUGCCGAAGAGAAAAGCAUCAACUUCCAAGUCAUCUAAAAAGACACCCGUCGCAAAUAAAUCCAAGAUUGCCGGUCCCACUACGGUUCCUUGGAACACAAUUUCAGAUUCACGCCAAGCCGUGAGACAAAGCUCGAAACAUGGAAAAGGCAUGAGUGUUUUGCCACUUGCAGAAUCCAAUCUUGGAGGGUGCCUCGCAUUCGCGACUCAACAAGAGAAAGAGAGGUACAAAGAUAUUUUCACGCACAAAAUACUUCCAGCUAAGUAUAUUCCUUACCUGACUCUUGAAAAAUUGAAUGUUAAGGAUAAUUUUGAUUCUUUGAUAGAUAAGAUUGGGUUGCGUAAGUUUGUUGAUGUUGAUUGUUUGGGUUAUGUUGAGUUGAUUAGGGAGUUUUAUGCUACUUUUCAAUUUAAUAUGUCGAAUGAUUUUACUUUGCAUACCCCGGAUGUCAUAAAGUUUAGGUUAAUGGGACGAAAUUUUUCACACUCUAUCACGGAUUUUAACCUAGCUUUAGGAUUCAUUGAUGAUGAUUAUUCUUCUAGUGAUGCAUAUUUAGGAACAACUUGUGACUUUAGCGAAAAUUUUGAGCCUUAUGGUCUUUGCCGUAAUUUAUCUGUUGAUCACAAUGCUUAUGACCCAAGUAAAUCAAAGAGUUCUUUCUUACGUGAUCCUGUUUUGAAAUGUGUGCAUCGAUUCUUAGCAUAUAAAUUUUUAGGCAAGAAAGAUCACUCAGGAGUUUUCUCUAAAACUGAAUUUUAUUUUAUCUGGUGCAUGUUAAAUGAUGUGAGGCCUAAUUUAGGUUUUUGGUUAGCGGAUUAAUUUCAAAGUGUGCUUAAACGGUAUAUGACUUUAUUUCUUGGUCCAUACAUUACUCUGUUAGCUGUAAACCUACCUAUGUGUGCUUGAUCUUGACAAUAAUGAUUUGCAUCUUGCUUGAUUUUUGGAUAUGUCUGAGUUUGAAAGAACAGGUGUGGUCGAAUUCAAGGAGGGGAGAUUUCAGUUUACUGAACCAGCACCCACUCAACCUCCGAAGAAGCUUUAUGCUAGAAGUGGUGCUACCUCUGAUGACGAGUUUGACGACGACACUGCUGCCCCGCCAACUAUUCCUUCUACAUCCGCACCACCUUUGAGCAUUCAGUUAGAGAAAAUGGAGCACAAGCUGCACAAGAUGGAGCAGAAUUUGGCCGCACACUUCGAGAGUGUGGGAUUUACCCCACCAUUUCCGCCAAGCCCAUAGACGUUAUGUGGAUCAAAGUUCACAAUUCAGGGAAGUUUCUUUUUGCCCUUAAUCUUUUAUCCUUACGCUUUAAUUUUUGUGUGAGCUUUGAUUAUCUUACAUUGGGGACAAUGUAAGUUCUUGGUGUGGGGGAGGGAUUUUUGCAUUAUUGAUGUCUGAAAUUAUUGUUUUCACUCUACUCAUCCUUAAAUGAUUUUGGAGUUAGUAUGCUUUAUAUAUUAUUAAUUUUCUUUUCCUUUCUCUCUCACUACUCUUUUCCCAUCUAUCUCAAAUUAUUUACAUCUAUUUUUUUUUCUAUCAUACUCUUUCAUCACUCACAUUUUAUCUUUCAUUUUUUUUACUACAUACAUCUUUCUCGCUUAUUAUCCUUUUUACCUUUCCUUUUAUAUCUCACUCAUACCUUCUUCUCAUUCUACACCACUAUUGAUGGUUGAUUCGUUUGAAGAGUGUACAGGAUUUGAUGGCAAAUUUACCAACUUUGUGAGGAUUUAAGCCUAUGAGCAACCACUUUGCUCUAAUUAUUUUUUGUUAUGUGAAUAUCAAUCCUAGUUUGUUUAUUCUAGAACUUGCUUUGUUAUGCAUGUUGAAGCCACAUUACGGGAUUUUAUGCAUUAAAAUGAUAAGGGCAAACCCUUUUCUAUUUUUCUAUUCUCCCAUUUUUUUUUCUCUAUCCGAAGACCUUUAUUUGCUAUCUUGGUUUGAGCCUUAACCAUUACCCAUCUAAUUCUCUCCGUCUACUUAACCAUUUUUCUUCUUUUUGAGCCUCAAUUUAAUGAGAUUUUUUUUGGACUCAUUGUGUGGAUAUAUUUUGUUGCUUUUUCUACCUUGUAUUAAAGUUUCUCAAUUAGAUCAACAAGCAUUAUGCUUGAAUUGAAUUGUGCAAGGUUCGUUUCUUUUGUUUGAUUCAAAAACAAAAAAAAAAAGAAAAAGAAAAAGAAAAAGAAAAAUCGAAAAAAAAAGAAAAAAAAUGUUUACAUUCUUGGUGACAUGAGUAGAAAUAAGCAUUUUGAUAUCAUAAGUUCAUUCAAUGAGUUCAUUCUUCUCAUUUUGAUCUCUUUUUCUUUCGUAAACCUUUCUUUUUCAUUCAACCUAUUUAACCCCAUUACAACCCUUUUAAGACCCUUAGAUUUUUGCAUUUUAUUCAUGUUUUGUGGAUUGAGAUGUGAUAUAUGAGCAAGCUUAUGGUAAUAGCAUUCUUUGAUUUGAUUUGAGUGAAUAAAUGACACCCUAAAUACUUUGAGUGCAUGGAGUGAAGUUAUUGAGAGGGCUAUUAAAUAUUGUUGCACUUGAAUUUUGAAUGGAUCUUCUUGGUGGUUGAAUGUUCUUAUUCUAUCUUAUGAAAUUCUAUGCUUUAAAAUCCUUGUCUCUAGAAUGUUGAUCGACUUAAUUUCUUGAGGUAUGCUUGCCUAAAAUUGUUUUUGGAUGAGUUGAGAUGAGAAUUGAGUGGAACUUUGGGAUUAAUCUUGAGUUAUAUGCUUGAGGACAAGCAUCAUCUUGGUGUGGGGGAAUUUGUUAGAGUGCAAUUUAUGCACUAGUUUUGCAUUGUUUACUUCCCUUAAUAUCGAUGUUUUGCACUUAAUAAUAAUGAUUUACUUGUGUUUUACUUUUGUUGGUGCAAUUCUAUUUAUUUGUGAUAAAAUUGAGCUAUAAGAUGAUGUUUAAAGAUGAUUGUUCUCUUGGAGAAAUUAUGAGCAUCAGAAGAACUUUGUUGAUAAGGCGUGGGCGCGUGCUGUCAACUACGGACCUGCAGUUUUUAGUUUAACGUGUUUUGUAUUUUUGGUUAUUUUUGUAAUUAUGAAUUUAAUAUUUCAGAUAUUAGUAUUUUAUUUUAAAUAGAAUUCUAGAGGAGAAGAGAGAGAGAGUAUUUAAGGGAGGAAUCUAUUGUGAAAAAAAGGGAUUUUGGAUUGGAGGAAAAGAAAAGAAACCCUAGAUCUAAUUUUUCUCUUCUCUCUAUGAAGAACUAAACUUAUUUUUCUGGUUGAAGGAUAAUGAAGCUUUGAUUCAUCACUACUGUGAGAUCUUUCUUGUGCUUUAAUUGUUUUAUUGCUUUUUGGGUAUUUGUUUAUUCUCUGAAUUAUUUUCAUGAUUAUGUUUGUUAAUUAGAUAAUUGGGCACUAUUUAAUUAUCAACUUAAUCUAUUGUUAAUUAAAGGAUUCAUCGUAUGAAGAAUUUAAUGUUUGUGACAAAUAACAUAGCAGAGAAUUGUGUUGUGAGAAUAAACAAUCUAAUUUAAAUGAAUCAUCAUAUGUGUUGAUUAGGAUUUGGGUCUCUCUGGUUUUUCAGGCUGUCAAUUGAUUAAAUCCUAUGAUCGUAUCUAGGGUUGUCUAUUGAUUAGGGAAAUAUCCAAUGGUCGUACCUUGGUUAUCGACUAAUUAAGGAGAGAUUGGCUAUUAGAGGGUCUCAGUAGCUAUAACCGGUCUAUUCAUAAGUAAUAAUAAUUUAUAUUUGAAUCAAUGAUCAGUAGUCGAAUCAAGCUGAGUUAAUUCCUUCAACCAGAGCUUUCUCCAAUUUGAAUUACAACUUUAAUUUGCAUUCUUGUUAUUUUAAUUUGAUUUUUAUUAUUAUCAACAAUUCUCCCAUUUUACGUUUUACGUUUCAAAAGGAUUUAAAUAAUUACCGAUCUCUGUGGACACGACCCUGCUCAAUCACUAUACACAAUUUAUUUAGAGUAGGAAUUUAUUUUUGUUGGCUUCGACAACCAUCAGCUCCAUUACAGAGUUUCAUCAAUUUGAAAUAGAGAAUCAUUUGUGUUCUAGAUUAAUCGAGGGUCUAUAUCCAAAUCUAAAAAUUGACUAACUUGGUUUCUAUUAAAUUCUUAAUCCUAACAAGAAAAAUAGAAGAUUAAAAAUGACUAAUUUGGUUUCUAUUAAUUUGAGUAACGAUCGAAUUACCUCAUUUAUUAAGAUUUAUCAAAAUCCUAUGUCAAAAUCCAUUAAUAAUAUAGGUUGGAUGAUGAAAUAGUCACUUAUUAUUAUUUUUGACUUCAUAAAUAGAUGAACGGAUGUUAUUUUUGGAUUCUGGAGAAUCCAAAAUAUCAGGAUAUGUGAUAAAUGGAAUUAAGUUGUAGAUAAGAUAGAAAUGGAUUUGGAGAGAGAUUGGAAUCCUGGGUAAUCCGGUGUACGUUGUUGUGUUGAAUGCUCGUUGACUUCACGUUGACUGACACAUUAUUGGAAGAAGUGAGCAAGCUUAUUUUCUUCUCUCAUUUUUAAAUUUGUCUAAGUUUAUUGAUGUGAGGCCUUUGAGAUUGUAAGUUUCAAAUCUGAGAAGAAUAACCACACACCCAUUAAUAAAUUUGUGAGGAUUGUGAGGGUUGAUGCAAUAUAAUUUAGAUGCAAAGUGUUUACAAGUACGAUGCUUCAUAAGUGUUCUUCAAUCAUUAUAAACUCACGUUAUUUUUAUAAUGAUUGUUUCAUCUGCACAUGGAUAUAAUCAUAUGUUGAGAUUUUUUCCUAAAUUAUGGUCUUAUUUGGUAUUGAGGUGUUAGAUCUUUUAAGAUACAAUUACUAUUGGAAAAAAUAGUGCAACUAUGAAAUAAAAGUUAAUAUUGUGUACUAAUUAUAAUUGUUAAAUAAUAAUUUUGACAAAAUUAGUGAAGAUAUAUAGUUUUUUUUUUAUCAUAUAAGUAUAAAAUCAAAUCAACUUAACUUCUAAACUAUAUAGCAGCUACUGCUUACCAAAUAUUUUAGUGCUGUAGCUUUUAAGUUAUAACUGCCUAACCUCAGUCUCAAACAAUGGCUAUAAAGAUCAAAGAUUUCCUCAUAAAAAUUAUACGUCUUGUGAUUGCUUAUUUAAUUUAUAUUUUUUUAUUUAUCUUUAUUAAUUACAAUCAUCUUUUAAUAAAUUACAAUUGGAGGAAGUUGAUGUUCGAAGUGCUUAUGUCGACUCGAAGUUGUUGGGAAUUAAUGCAUGUAUUGAUUUAUUGGGAGUGUUUAAAUGAUUUUGUGAUUUACUUGAUUGAUUGAUUGAAUAUUGUUUGAUUACUUUGUAUCCAUUCUAGAAAGUUUAUUUCUUUGUGAAAUUUCGACAAAAUAUGUUUUUCUUUUUAAAUAAUAAGGGUGUUUUAAGUAAUUUUUAAAAAUAAAUGGACUAACUAGAAUUAAUUAUUAGGUAACUAACUCGAACUGUACAAGGUAAGCGAACAUUUAUGCUGAUUAUAUCAUGAUAAAUCAUUUUCCGAUUAGAAUUAGGAAACCAUUAGCAUAUUGACUUUUUUUUUUUUUUUUUUCAAUCUCCCUUUGCGAAAACGGAUUACAGAAUUAGAAAACAAUCCUAAUGAUAUUAUUGUUAGGUUUAAAACACGGCAUAGAUAGUCAAAAGCUAACUAGUCUGCAGUAAUUUGUUAAUUGCUAUCGCCUCUCCAUGCGUGGUGAAUAAUUUGUUGCAUGCAAACUUUUUCCAUUUUAAAUAAACACAACGCGAUGUUUAUCUGCUCCGCGUUUUGCAAUCUGUUUAUUCGUUGUUUAUUUGCUUCGUAAGUCCUCAAACUUUGAUAACCAAAAAUUUCACCAAACUAUGAAAAUUAUUCUGCAGGUUAGUUUUUAUUUUCGGAAUAAUUAUUUGAGAAUACUAAAACACAAUAUAAAAUAAGAAAAUAGGGGGUUAAAAUUUGAAAAAAAAAAACAAAAGGGCAUGUUGGAUAGAUUACUGUGGUUUAAGAAAAAAAAUUAUUCAGUUGGGAAUUUUUUUUCUUUAAUUUUUGUUUUACUUAAUUGAGAUUUCUCCUUAAUCCUUACAGUUUUAAAUUUGGAUAACAUAGGAUUAGUAAUUUAGUACUUCCUUUGCAAGCUGAGGUUAAGGAUGAAAUUCUUUUAAGAAAAAAAGAUAAAAGAGCAUAACAAUAGUCAAUUAUAAAUAACCACAAAUAAAUACAAACAAAAUGUUUAUGAAGUAAAUUAAAAAUGCACAUAUUAUUUUUUAUUUUAUUUCUUACUAAUCUGUGUAUUUGCUGCUUGAAAAACCAUAAAUACACAGAUGACCAUUGGCUUCGCACCAUUUAAUCGGGAUACAUUUCUACGUACAAACUGAACAAGGCUAUUGAUUUUUAUUUAUUUAUAAAUUACUAUUUCAAUUUUCACUUUUUAUUGGGUUGUUUAAUGGAUUAGUGAGGCUGGUGGUCGUUGAUGCACUCACAAGGUACAAUUUUGUUUUCAAAUUUCAAAUUCGUAUUUUAAAAUGCAGCACAUUAUGCAUACAUAAUUAUUGAUUUUCAUAUGUGGGUGUUUUGAAAUAUUGCUAAAAGGCCAAACUUUAAUAAACUAUUUUUGAUCCUUUUUUGUUUCUUUUUUCCUAAAGUUUGAGUGAUAUCCGCAUUUUUAAAAGCUAAUGUAUGCAAAAAAUUCUUUCAUUUUUCUGGGGAAAAUAGGUAAGAGAAAAAGUUUUGGCAAAUGAGCUGCAACUGAAUUCAAAACCAAUACGAUGCGAGCAUAGGAAAGAGGUCAGUGUUUUGGAUUUGAAUUUAAAGAGGUCAGUGUUUUGGAUUUGAAUUUAGUAUUGAGCUGAAUUUUAUGUUUAACACAUGAUUCUAUUAUAGUACUGCGAUUAAUAAGCUCAGCCCCGGAUUUGCUUUUGCUUUUGCUUUUACUUCAAGUGAAAGAAAGAGGAAACCUUUUGUUUUUUCUUUGGUUUUUGACUAUGUUACCUAUACAGAGAGUCAAGAUAUCAGCCAUAAGUGAUGGUGUUAAAAAGAUUAAGCAGCGCACACAAUCUUACUGCUGUCUAGACGAUCCAAUGAUGACUCCAGUCUUUUGGUUACAUUAGCUUUAGUUGAAAUAAGGGCCAAUUUAGCAAACACUAGCUUUGGUGGCUUAUUAUGUUUAAUGUAAUGCUUAUUCUUAAGGAAUCUAAUGUAUAUAAGAUGAUUGAAUGAUCUUCUAUGAUUGUGAGUAGUAUAGGAUAAUUGAAAAGAGUCUGGUGUUAAAGGCUUACAGUUUUAAGCCUUUUAAACCAUGCGAUUUUAAAGUUUUACCGGAUUUUCCCGCACUUUAAAAUUUUAGACUGAAACAUUUUUGUAUAUAUAUACAUAAAAAUAUAUAUAUAUAAAUAUAUAAAUUAAGAGGGAUGAGUUAACUGAAGAUUAUAAUCAUUACAACAAUGCUGAUGAGUGAUACAUCACUUGAAAUUUACUUGUCAGUUGCUGAAAUGAUGAAAAAAAAAAUAAACAAUAACAGUGAUAAUGUUCUCUUGCUGAAAUGACUUGUAUAUUAUACAAUCCACUCUACUUAAUGAUAUCGUUUUAAUAAAUGUUUGAUGAUCUCCAUUUAAAAACUACUUCAAUUUUUUUCUUCAUUUAAGUUUUUGGUUGUUGAAAAUAACCUUAAUUAUCAAAUAAUUGGAGAAAGAGUAAAGAACAUUUAACAAAUUUAUGUGCAAAAAAAAAAAAGGGAGAAGUUGAAGAGAAAGGGUGCUUGCAGAAGUAGGUGUCAAAGAUAAAUCGGUCCAUAGGAAUUAUUUUGGUUAUUUUUUAGCAAUAGAAAAAUUUUUUAGCAAGUAAAAAUUAAUUUUUUUCCGCUUUACUAAAAAAUUAACUAAAAACUUAUGCGAUAGCAUUUUUUAUGGGUGCAUAUACUUCCCUUUAAAAAAAAUAUAAUAAUUAAUGCUUAAUAUAGUAUUAAAUACGAAAAUAUCAAUAUUUGACUACUCAAAUGUAUAUCAUUAGGUCCUUAAAAUUUAAAAUUGAAGAUACAAAAGGUAAUAUAUAUAAAUUUCAUUCUCAUGGGAAAGGAUCAUCUUAUAAUCUUAUAAUAUUUGAGCUUUGAAAGAUUUUUUUGAAACAAAUGUACUUUUAUUUGUGUACAAUCAAUAUGUACUUAUUUAUUAUAUUUUUAUUUAUUAACUAUCAAUCAUGUGAGUAUAUUUAGUCAGAAAAAUUAUAUCAAGAGAGAACCCUAAUUUCACGUAAAGACAAAUACAAGACAAAUAUGGCAAUUUCUAUACUAUUCACUUUCCUGUAAAAUCAAUUAUCUAAAAUGCAAGUUUGUGGCUUCAAAAAACUCGCCAAAGAAAGAAGAUAAUAGCAAUUGAGCAUUGAUAGCAAAUCUAAUGCAUCCAAUUCUUCUUAACUUGAUGAGUGACGUGAAUGCUACCAGUCUGUGACACCCAAAUUUUUAUUAUUUUAUUUAUUUUUUUAAUGGAAUUUGUAAAUGACGUUUUUGCCCUUAUAAAAAGGGUUAUUCAUGGAAUAAUUUUUAGGAAAGGGUUAUUUUUCCAAAUUCAAUAGGGUUUCUUAAGACUCCCUAUAAAUUCAUAUUUUUCUCCUUUCAUAACCCUAAAAGCACGACGUUUCUUCUUUUUCUAUACUGCUCAUUACACUCUUACCCAAACCCUAAGAUUCAAACCUUUGGUUAAGAGAGAAUCAAAGCGAUUGGUAAGUUUAUUCCCCUUAUUCUCUACAAGAUUCCCAAUCACUCUAUCUAGGGUCUAUAUUGGCAUGAUUUUAGAUUGUUAUAGAUCAUAAUACAUGAUUUAGAAUGUGUUUAGGCUUUGUUUAGAGUUUUGAUUUAUUAUGAGUUUAGUUAAUCAACCUUGACGUAUUAAGCACAUAGAAUAGUUCCAUAGAAUAUUAUGUUAUUCUAAGUUUUAGAUUAAGAGUUAAAAUUCUAAGCAUCAGACUUGUACGGGUACGAAUUAGAAAAAUCGGGUUCUUAGAAUAAGUUAUUAAUUGUCAUAUCUUGUAUUUGUUUAAGGUGAUUGAGGCUCUUAGAGGGUUAGAGGUGUGUUAAUUCAAAUUCUUUUGUCGAGGUAAGUAACUUCAUUCCUAAUGUACUGGAUAUAUAUAUAUAUAUAUGAUUAUUUUGAUAUUAUUAUAAGUACACAAAUUUUUUUACUACUUAGAAGAUUAAUUGAUUUUCAUAACAAAAUCAGUUUGUGUAAAUGUUUUCAAACCUAAAUUCCUUUUAAUAAAUUAUUUUGUAAAGGCUUUUAAAUAUGUAAGUUAUUUUAUGACAUGACUACCUUUUAUAAUUUUGUCUAUGAAAUAUUUGCAAGCCUAAAUUGUGGUUAUGGACUUUCAUGAAACUAAUACGAAUGUUUUGUACCUAUGUAUGAUUUCAAUUAUUUAUGAUUGUACGGGGGCCACCUCUUGGGACUAUAUGGGGGCCACCUCUUGAAAUUCAAAGCAUCACAAAAGUGCCACGUAUAAGUCAUUAUGUUUUGGCUCAUUAUCUGUAGUUAUUCUGAUUCUGAUUCUGAUGGUAUAAUACAAUAUAUGUCUGUUCUGGACCAGUACUAGGUUUUUGUUUUGAGUGUGCACAUGAUAUUCUGACUCUGUUUCUGGCCGGGUCACUAGGACUAUAGGUGACACUAUGUGACAUGAGCUAACCUUUUGUUUUCUGUGAAUGUGAUAUAUGAUUUGCUUUUGUAAAUAACUAUGCUUUUGAUAUUCUGAGUUACAAUGAAUUUAAAUUAUUUUAUAGUGAUAUAUCGUUUUAUGAAAUUUAUGGAUUAUGAUAUAUGUUUUAAUUAAAAGAAGGCUUGCAAUAUUUUUGGUAUUGAUAGGUCUAGUGUGUUAGGAAUAUUUUUACUUACCGAGUUGACGGCUCACCCCUCGUCAUUACUUUUUGCAGAUUAAGUUUCUUUUGAGAGCUGCGCUUAGCUUUGGAGUUAGUAAUUUUCUGUUUCCGUUUGCCAUUUGAAUAAGAGGAGAAAUAAACUCAUGUUUCUAUUUAGUUUAUUUAUGUUAUGAAUGUGUAAUUUGGAGUUUGAGACUUUUGUUAUUUUUUUUAUGUCCUCGGGAGAGAUUAUUUAGUAUUAGACGUUUGAAUUUGUGGAUUUAUUUGAAUAAGAAUUUGAGGUAUUUCAGUUUGAAACUUAUGAGUAAAGAUUAUGAUUUGUAAGUAACAUCCUUCUUCACGUGCUCCGCACGUGUUAGAUUUGGGGUGUUACAAUUGUGGUAUCAGGGCAUUAGGUUUGGGAUUCUGUAAACUUUAUUUGAGGCUAGAUUUCUUAAGCACAAUCAAUUAGUUCAAUGGUAUUGCUUGCCAUGAGGUUAUCGGAAAGAGUAGAUCUUUAAGGCGAGGAGUAAUUUUGGUCUUUUUGAUUUUCUAGUUGCUUGUGACUUUGUAAUAACUCCUUGAUAUAGGAUUUUGGUAUUAACGUAGAAUGAAAUAUUUGUUUGCUCUUGUUGUCAAUUACUAACUUUUC
Molecule: long non-coding RNA, 91538 nt
Filed under: Citrus maxima (pomelo)
Lineage: Eukaryota; Viridiplantae; Streptophyta; Magnoliopsida; Sapindales; Rutaceae
Description: long non-coding RNA (CMAX_LNC003929)
Source: RNAcentral